GUUUUUGUCACUGCCUCCACCUUCGGUUUCUAUCACUUUCGUUCUCCGACGGGGGAGAAUAGUCGUGACUGAAACUAAGAUAGAACUCGGAUUCUUCGCUUCGAGCUCUUCAUCACAAUAUUGAAGAUAAGUUCUCUCUCGCUCUCUGGUUUCAUUUUUCAAUUCAAGCAACAGCAUUGAUUCUCGGCCCUUUUCUGAAUCUCCAGUGGCUUCCUUAUCGACUUUCCUUCACCAUCGCCCUCCGGACACCGUUGGUACACACCGGUCGUUCCCGUCCGAAGUUCUGUUCGCCCCUGUUCUCGGUCAUCAUUGCUGAAGCGCUCGAACUGCAGUCAGCAUGUCUCUCAUGACGAUUCCAGUUCACAAAGCUGCUUCCACGAUCACCUUACUAAGGUCCAAUCAUGAAUCGCAACAGGUAAUUAUCCUCUAUCCAAUCAAAUCACAUAUGCUCUGUUUCAUGGUGUUCUACGUACAAACCACUGCCUGGGUAAAAAUCAAUUAUGACUGAGCCUGUGUUAAUGGUUUGAAUUUGCUACGUUGCUUUGUGAUGAUCUCGUUCACAUACAUGUACUGUAUUGACAUCCAUAUUUGAUUUUCAUAUCUGAUUUUGUAGUGCGUUCUUGAUCUGAGACAUUUUACAGUAUGUUUGUCGACUUACUUUUGUCAAUUGGUUCAAUGCAGGUAUAGAAAAAGUCGAGUCUCGACAUGUUGUGCUGAUCAACGAACCUGUGUUUGGAUUUGCUGGAACUAGCUCAUACCUGACUGGUAAUGUUUAGCUCAUUGAUAUGGUGUUGGGUUGUUUAAUUACUUUUCUCUGCUAAAUCCUACCUGCGAGAUGUUUCGCUCGUGUAUCCCAUUUUAGAACUGAACAUCUCAGCGGAUUGCAUAAAUGGUCGUAGUUUGUCUGCCGCUGCGUCUGUAGAUCAUGUGGCCACGGGAAAUGCACUCUUACAGAUUCAAGCAGUAUGCAGAAGGCUUCACUAGGUGACCAUUGUAAGCUCGAUGAAAGUGCUCCCAGAAGCCCCGAUAAAACCAAGUAAUGAUCUUCUUCGGUAACCAGAAAGUGAGACGGAGUCGCAGCAACGACCAUCUAGUUCGUGAAUAAUUCCCCCAGAAAUGAAAAAUAGAUACAAGAGAAUCUUCUCAAGUAUUAAGGAAAGUACAGAGUAAUAACAACUAUCAGAGGGAAAGGUCACGAGUUUCUAUCUUCAGACUGCUGGAACAUACAAAUUGAAUGCUCUCAAAGGAGAUCUGAUUUUUCAUUAAAAAUCCUUCAAAAACAACGACAUACCUUGGAAGGAUUGAUCUAGAUGUCAAUCAUCUUUUGAAUAAAAAUGCAGCUGAGUCUUGAAAGGCCCAAGACACCUUGAACAAAGUAGACCAUCACAACUGCAAUAUUGUCUGGGGACAAGUCGACCCCAAAAAACUUAUUGAACUUGUAUAGCUUUUUUCCCUGCGAAGAACAUUUUUACUGGAAGUGCUUGUUUCUCUGUCAUUGUUUGCUGUCAACAUAUCCCCAUUUCCUGCCCCUGGAUUACCGACGGAGACAGAUAAGGAAAAAACAGCAUCAGAGCAGUAGUGGCAUUGGGGAAGCAGCAUCACACUUUUAUUGAUAAUGUUUGAGAAAUGAUUGUAACAAGCUAAUUAUGCUCCUGACUAGAAUUCGACAGCUGCCAAAAUGAAUAACAAGGAAAAAAGCCACUUCAGGUCAGUGACCCUUCACAGAGGAGUCCACUUCCAGAGUCCAUUUCCAACGUAAGUCGUGAAACUCCAUCACUUCACAGGCCGACACAUUUUUCAUGUUCCAAAAGAUUGAGCAGUUGAGAUAAUGCGCUUGCAUUCUCCACCCAACCAAGAAGCAGCACAUAUUUGCCCAUAAAAUCGAUAUUUCAGCAGGUUUCACUUCACUUGAACGGUACUUUACAAUGCUCGAAGAACACUUUCAUCUCUACUUGUGCAACUUCAACUAGACCGGAGAGGUGACAGAUCAGUUCAACUUAAAUCAGAGAUGAGCACAAGCAAAGAUGAUCGGCCAAGAGGACCAAUCUACCGCAGCAUGAAUUGAAUUAUACCCAUCACCAUUUAACCAGUUAAACCCACAACAACUUCAUCGCCACCGUCACGUCAAGCAGACUCACAAGUCCUUCAGACCAACAUAAACCCAAACAAGCAAAACCCAUAAAUGGUUACCAAACAAACAUCCGAAAUUCAAGAAUCAUCUUCCACCUACGCUCAAUCAAACACCAUAAAUUCCUCAAGGAUAAAACGAAUGCGUCAACGAUUGGGGUAAAUUGGCGAAAACAAUCAUUGGGUAAGAAAAAAUCGACGCAAUGAAAUUUACCCAUAGAAUUCAGCAACCGGUCAUGAUCCUCGUCCCACCGGCGAGGGGCCGCCGGCAUCUGGACGGCGGUGGACAUGUCGUUACCCGGCGGCGGCCGCGGCUGCACCGGCGGGUUCUUCCGGUGAGCUCGUCUCCGGUGCCGGGCGACGAGGUUGGACGAGUUCCUGCGAAUGCGGGACGAGAUGAGGAGAGCAGGGCAGCGGGAGAUGGAGGAGAAGGGUCGGAUCUUUGGGGAGGGCAGUUCGGAGAAGGAGAGGGUUGUAAGGAUUGCCAUUAAAAUAGAGAUAAAAGGUUUCGACUUUAAUUUCUUCGAAAAUUCUGUAUGGCUUCUGUUUUUAUUUUAUUUUGUUGUCUCCCAGUUUCGCGGGGUUUUGGUUGGUUGGAAUUGGAGUGAACUGUCCUCCUCCUCUUGUGAUAUUAUGCACAGAUCUCUCCACAAAAUUAAUUUGCUUCAGUACACUUUGUAAUUCCUUAGGAAUGUAAUACGUAAUUGAUUGUCCGAAAAGCUAGUCUUGGAUAUUUUUCACGAAGAAGACCCACUUUGUACAUAAAAAUUAUUUCCCUUUUAUAAAAUCCACUAAAAUCAGAAAGUUUACUUGGAUUAGAUUUUUUUUUUUUAAGGUCAAAUUCGAGAUGUAAUCUUAGUAUUUUAUGAUUUUGAAUCCAUGCAAAUCCAGUCAAAAAUAAAAAAAGAAAGUAUAAUUUAUCUUUGAUCAAUACUAGUUUAAUUUAUGUGUCUCAACUGCCCACAAACAUAAAAUGAUAUAUAUCUUCUUUUCUUUGUAGAUGCUCAAAACCAGUGAUGAAAUUAUUUAGAAUAAAACAAAACUUUGAAUUUUCUUUUUAGAUUUUUUGGCUUACUUAAUUGAAAAUUCAUUUUACCAUCCAUUUUCAACAAGGUAGUAUAGGGUAGCUUGAAACUCAUGAAACCAAGAGAUUUUAAGCAAGUUCAAAAUGUUCGUGAGAUAAGUUUAGAUUUCAAAAACUUAAAAUUGAUACCUACAUCAUAAGUUAAGAUAGUGAUCUAUAAGUUUAUAAGUAAUUGUGAGAGGAUGGCUCCCCUACCUCCCCUAUUAAGUAUUCCACAUUGAGUAAGAAUCCAAAAUAUCAAUACUUGAAAACUAACCGGAAAUUAUUGGUAUCUCAUCCAAGAAAUCAUACUUAUUGAAAUUGAUUGAGUUCAGAUCUCAUGAGAAAAUUUCUCUCCAUUGUUUGAUUACUUACAUUAAUGGUAGUAACGUGCUCUAAUUAAGAUUAAUAUGUAUGAUGGUUUUCAAAGCCAAUCUAAGAACCUCUCUUACCUCUAAUAAAAGCAGCUAUUUUUUUUUUUUUUUAACAGCAGCUACUUUAAAGAUGCAAAAACAGGGGCUCUCAAGUUGGCGAAUCUAACAGCUAAAUUCGAAGUAAGCCUGAAGAUUAUAAUCCAUUUAAAUAUGACUUCUUUCUAAAGUUCACAACCCGUCUUUCUUCUAUUUAAUUUUCCACAUAAUCUCAUACCAACGGUUUUAUUGGUCCCAGUCCCACAUUUUCUUUUCCUUUGUUGUAAAGGGAGGGUGGAGAGUAGCAUUCAAGGUGACCAUGCUCUAUUUCCCUUUUUCUUUUCUUUUUUAAGUGCGUUAUUGCUCUAUUGAGUUGUCAUAAAAAAGCUCACCCCUGCCAUAAGGUAUUCCGAUGUAGAAUUGUGAGAAGGUUGUCAUCCAAUACCACUUGCAACCGAAUUAUCUUGCAUAGACAAGUCCAGUUACAAGAAGCACACCAAAAUCACUUGAGGUCCUCUUGUAGGCAAGAUAAGAUACACGUUGCUAUCCUCGUCGGUGGGUUAUCUUUAUGACCCAACACUUCUGAAAUCAUCACGUCAUACCAUUAGGUCGACAUUACUGGGGAUCUAUAGUCUCCCAUAACUCUACAUUAAUAUAAUCAAAAGGGCUAUUCAAGAAAAAAAAAAAACAAAAUGAUCAAAAGGGUCACUCAUUUAUGAGACUUGGAAUAGGAAGUACCCUGAUAUGUCUUUUUCGUAGGUUUUUGGUUGCUUUCGUGUGAGUAUGAAUACAAUUGUUUGUCCAAUUACUCUUAUAAUUAUUUAUUUACAUGACAAAAUAAUUUUUAACGGGGGCAACUUGAUUUUCUCAUCAUAGAUUCUUUAUUUAUUCUCAUUUUUCUCUCACUAACAAGCUUUGGGUGGAAUUUGAAGAGUCCAAAAUGAUUGAUUGAUAUGAAAUUUUUGCAUUGAUGAUCGCAAUUGGCAAAAAAAGGGAAUUAAAAAAAAUUCUAGGGCCUAAUUAUUAUUUCAAGUGGUAUAAAGUGGUCUUUAGUUUAUUUUUCAUAUAUACACCUCUAAGUAUAACAUUGACACUACUAGAAGAAAGCAACUAUCAACUAAUUAGCGCUCUGCUUGAUUAACUGAAAAUUUAGUAUUUUCAACUGGUUUUUUAGAAUUAAUUUUCAAGUAAAUGAUAUUUUUUUUCAGCGUUUGGUAAAAAUUUGAAAAUGAAAAAAAAAUUAUUUUAUGCUGUUUGGAUAAAAAAUUAGAUAUCAUUCUCUUAUAUGGGCAGGGAAAGUGGUUUGGGCCAAAUAUUUCUUCACAUUUUUGGUCCAACAUUCUCCUAUUCUUCUUCUUACCACUUUCUUUUAUCCCUUCUUCUCUGCCCGGCACCGUGAAAAGCUAAACACCAUUCAUUCACACCGCAGCCAUGGUAGUCACAGAAUACAAAGUCAAAUGGUGGCGACUAGGUGGCAGAAAAGCUCGAGAAGCCCCUCCUACCCACAUUUUUCGAUUACUUGGCCAUCCGAUUGGUGAAAUUUCCUCCGCCCUAGCUUUCUUUUUCUUUUUUCCUGAAUUUUUGCUGGCUGUGAACGGUGGCGGUGGCGGUCGUGGUGAUCGAGUCUGUGGUGGUGCUUGUUAUUGCGGUUGGGAAUGGUUUUGAAGGAGGAGGGUUCAAUGGGGUUGGGGAUUUGGGUCUGUUUGGUGAUCGAUGGCGGCGGUGGAUGAUGAUGGUGUGUAAAUGGGAGGGUGGCAUUUGCGUGUGUUUGCAGAGGAGAGGAGACGGAUGAUGAUGAAAUUGGUCUGCGAUAGUGAGAGGGGUAAGCAGCAGUUUUAGAUUUUAUGAUCUGAAAUUAUUCUCCUCAAUUUUGAGGCAUGGCUUUUCCUCUCAGUGGAAAUUAUUUUCCUGGACCAACUAAACUUUUAGCAUCAAACAAUAGAAAAGAAGAAGAAGAAGAAGAUAUUCACUUAGGAAUGGAAGAGGAGAGAUGUGAAAGGCAAAGCAACAAACCCAAUUGGCGUACUGCAAAGUCCUGGUCUUCCUGGAUUUCAUUGAAGUUUCGUUCCCACAGAGGGAUUGAACACGACUUUCCUGUUCAUUAAUGUGAUGCUUAGAUAGUUAUUAUUCCAUUGAUUAUAUGUUAUUCGUUAGUGAUUUUUUAACUCAUUUACUGUUUCCAGAUUAAAAAAAACCAAGCUGCUUAAUGGAUUAGUUAGUGUGCCUGACUUGUAGAUUGGUAGUGCAAAGAGCGUGCUUUUGUUUUCCUCAUCGAAUAUACAAAGUUAGCUGCCUCUGAUAACUUGUAGAUGUGUAACAAAAAGUCUUUGUCUUCGAAUAAGAUAUCUGGGGAUAAUCUCUAAACAUUAAGAGAGGAGAAGUUUUGGGCAAAAAGUAUUUUACCUUGAUAUCUAACCAUUGAUGUGUAUCCUUGGAAGUCUUGGUCUUUGUUUAAUGUUUUCGAGAGGUGAAAGUCUUUCUCGCCAUCGCUUCACUUCACCAUAACCCUUGCUGUUAUAUACUGUGACUCAUUCACCCAUUUUAUAUCUCCAUUAGCUCAUUGUCACUUUGCUUCACCAUAACCUGUGUUCUCUACAGUUGACGGAUUCACCCAUGGCCAUUGGGGAGAUCCUUUUGAGUGCCUUCCUUUAGGUCCUGUUCAAGAAGCUGGUUUCUUUAGGACUAGACUAUAUGCAAAGGGAAGGAGCAUUGCCCUUCUCUGGAAUCAGCAUCGACUUGCUCAAUAAAUGGGGGAAGAUGCUGGACACAAUCAAUGCAGUGCUGGAUGAUGCAGAGGACAAGCACUUGAGUGGUAAUGGUUUAGUGAAGCUAUGGUUGGACGAUAUUAGGGAUCUGGCCUAUGACAUGGAAGACUUGCUUGAUGAGUUUGCCAUCAAAACCGCUCAGGCCAAGUUGGAGGUAGAAUCUAGCACAAGUGGAGGUGAGUGAAGUUCUAUUUGUUUAGCCAACAUAAAUCUUCUAGAUCCAAUCCAAACCCAAGCUUGCUCGUGUCUAAAACUAAGGUUCAGAAGAUCAAUGGCAGGUUGGAGGACAUUGUUGCCAGGAUGGCUUAUCUAAGCUUGACAGAGAAUGUUGUGGGUAGAACUGACUUCACCAACAAAAGGCCCCACAACAUUUGUCUAUCAGAGACUCGUUUUUUUGGCACGGAGAAGGAAGAAGCGAAGAUACUCAAAUUAUUGACUGGUGAAGCUGAAAAUUCUGAUGCCAUGUUGAGCAUAAUCCCCAUAGUUGGGAUGGGUAGUGUUGGAAAGACGGCCUUGGCUCAACGGCUGUAUAAUGAUGCCAACGCAAGCGGCUGCUUCGAGAGAAGAGCAUGGGUUUGUGUUUCGGAUGUUUUUGAUGUUCUCAACAUAACAAAGGCUAUUUUGUGGUUGAUCAUCGAGUUGUCAUGCAAGGACAAAGAUCUCAACUAGCUUCAAGUUAAGUUGAAGGACAGUCUAUCAGGGAAGAAGUUUCUUGUGGUUUUAGAUGAUGUCUGGGUAUGGGGAAUGGACUGCCCUCUUAAAGCCAUUUGAAGCAGGGGCUAAGGGAAGCAAGAUCAUCAUCCCAACUCGAAAUAGUUCGGUUGUUUCCUUAACAUGAGCUUCGCCCCAUCCUUUGAAGGAGUUGUCCAUUGAUAAUUGUACAAGCUUAUUAGCCUUUCAUGCUCUUAGAGCAACAAAUUUUGAGAGGCACCUUGAUCUUGAAACAAUAGGCAAGUAAAAAGCUGAAAAAUGUAAAGUUUCACCUUGGCAGUGAAAGUGUUAGGUGGUCUCUUGCAUAAUAAAGGGAAUCUUGAUGAAUGGGAAGUUAUCUUAAAUAAUAGAAUGUGGGAUAUUCUGAUGGGAAAAAUGAUGAGGUUCUCCUAGUUUUGAAUUUGAGCUACAAUAGGCAAGAAAAGAGCUGAAAAAUGUAUAGUUUCACCUUGGCAGUGAAGGUGUUAGGUGGUCUCCUGCAUAAUAAAGGGGAUCUCGAUGAAUGGGAAGUUAUCUUAAAUAAUAGAAUGUGGGAUAUUCUUAUGGGAAAAAAUGAUGAGGUUUUCCUAGUUUUGAAUUUGAGCUAUGUCCAUCUUCCCUGUUAUUUGAAGAGAUGUUUUGCUUAUUGUGCAAUGUUUCUCAAGGAUUACGAAAUUGAGAGGGAUGAGCUGGUACUCUUGUGCAUAGUGGAGGGCUUUUUAGAUGGACAAAAAAGAAAGGAGAAUAACUUGAGAUUAGGAUGGAAUUACUUCGAUGAGUUAGUAUGCAGAUCAUUUCUUCAAGAAUCAAGUGUCAUUGCAUCCAAGUUCUCAAUGCAUGAUUUUUUGAAUGAUCUAGCAAAGUCAAUUGUAGGUGGGACAUGCUUUAGCUCAAAGGAGUCUUAGCUAGUAGGAAAUGAAGACAAUGCGUCUCUUGUGAAAGCUUGUUAUGCAUCAUUCAUCUCGUCGUGGUCUGUUACAUCAAAAUGCUUGAGAGCGUCCUACCAAAUGAAGGUACUAAGAAGUUUAAUGCUACUUCAUAUGGGAUCUAGAGGGGGCAAUAAGUUCUACAUUUCCAACGAGGUGUUGCAUGAAUUGCUAACGGAAUUAAAGUACUUGAGGGUGGUCUCAUUAUGUCAUUGUGACAUCAUAGAGGUACCGAAUUAUGUUGGUGAUUUAAAAUAUCUUUGAUAUCUCAAUUUCUCAUACACAGACAUCAAAAGACUACCUAAUUCAAUUGUCACCUUAUGUAAAUACAAGCUUUGAUCUUAGGAGGUUGUCAAAAGCUUUUUGUGUUGCCUCUAGAUAUCACAAAAUUGGUGAGCUUACAGUUUCUUGACAUUAGAGAUACACACAGUCUAAAUGAGAUGCCUUUCGGUAUUGGUAACUUGAAAAAUCUUAUUGUCUUGCCUAACUUCGAUGUAGGAACUAAGAAAGGGUUACAGUUAAAGGAGUUGAAGAAUUUGUCCUAUCGUCAAAGAGAAUUAGUUAAAUCAGAAUCGCAAAAAGUACGAGAAGCUAGAGAUGCCGUUGAUGCUAAUUUUUUUUGGAAAGCAAGGCCUUAGCAACAUGUUCUUGCAUUGGAGUGAAGAUUUUGGAAAUCUGUGGAAAGAUAAGCAUGAAGCACAAGUGCUUCACUCUUUGCAACCUCGCACUAAUCUUGAAAAUCUCACCAUCUCAUAUUAUGGUGGUGCAAUAUUCCCGUCAUGGUUGGAUGGUCCAUUCUAUUGUAAGCUAGUGUCUUUGUGCUUACAGGGCUGUCCUAAUGUUAUAUCGCUACCCCAACUUGGACAACUACCUUUACUUAAGAAAUUAAGUCUUAAUGGUCUACAUGCAGUAAGAAUGAUAGGCUCUGAAUUUUGUGGAGGUGAAGGGCCUUUCUCAUCCUUAACAACUUUGAAGUUUGAAGAGAUGUUGGCAUGGAAUGAUUGGUCUCGUUAUGCCGGGGGUCCAGAAGAAGAAGUACCAUUCUCCUGUCUUUAGCAUCUUGUUGUUCGGAGUUGUCCUUCGUUGGUUGGGACAUUGCUUUGUCAACUUGAUCGUCUCAUAAAGCUUGAAAUCCAUUUGUGCCCACAUUUGAAAAAUUCAACUAGUGCAGUUUGUCUUCAAUUUCUCUACAAGUUAUAUACCUUAAGGAUUGUAAUAGAGGGAUCUUAAAGUGCUUGGUCAACAUAACUUCUUUAAUCAUUGUCAGGGUUCAAAAUCUUGCAGAGCUUGUUUGCUUUAAUCACGAGAUUAUGAGCUAUUUGGUCAAGCUAAAGGAGCUUCAUAUAAGAAGCCGUGACAAGCUAACAUACUUGUGGCAAGAUGGAAAUGAAACACGAAAUCUUACUUGCCACCAAGAAUUAUCCAUCCAAAGUUGUUCUAAAUUCAUGUCUUUUGUGGCAGAAGAAGGAGAGAUAGAGUUGCCUUUCAACUUCGAAACAAUAAAAUUGAGGGAUUGUGCGAGUUUAGAAAAGCUUCGAGGCAAGAUGCACACGCUCAAAGAUUUGUUAAUUGAGAAGUAUCCAAAACUGAUGGGAUUAUUAACAAUUACUCCAAAUGACUUCACUAGCAAUAAUCUGAUGCCUCAACUUGCUGCUGUCAAGACACUUAUUAUUGGGCAUUGUGAGGGAGUGGAGUUGCCGGAAGGGAUUGUUGUAGAAUUGCCGAAUUCUAUGACAGCUGUUUGAAUUUGGGAAGCCUACCACAGUGUCUUAACAUGCUCUCCCAUUUCACUCUUUUGAAAAUAAGUAACUGUUCGACAUUGGAGAUAGAGUCUUCCCUUCCCUUCCCAUCACCCUGUCAUAUUUCUUUCUCUAUAACUAUCCAAAGAUAAAGUCUACCAAAUCAGUGGCAUCAUCAUGUAUCCCUUCAUAUGUUGUAUAUUAUGUAUUGCCAAAAUAUCAAAUACUUCCCCAAAGGAGGUUUGCUUCAAUUUGUUGGACCUUACAGUUUUAGCGUGUGAGAAUUUGAAGCAUAUAGUGAGAGAGUGGGGCUUACCCAUGCUCACAUCCCUCAAGUUUCUGUUAAUUGACUUGAGCAUGGGAGGGGAAGGAGAGAAGGUAUGGUUUCCUUCGGAGGAAGAGGAUGUGUGGAGUCUUCUCUUUCCUUCCUCUUUGUCUUUGGAUAUUUAAAAUGAGGAACGUGGGAAGACUAUCAAGCUUUCUUUGCAACUAUCUUUCCUCUCACAUUUUUACACCUUCACGAUUGCCCAAAGUUGAGGUGCUUGCCAGAGGAUGGGCUCCCUCCCUCCCUCUGAGAAUUGCGCAUAGAUGGGUGUGAGAUUCUGAAAGAUCGAUGCUUAAAACUCAUUGGCGAUUAUUGGCCCCUCAUCCAACAGAUCCCGAGCAUCCUCAUUGAUGACGUUUGAAUCCAGUGAAUCCAUGUAUGGUUAGUUUCCUAGGGUUCAAGUAAGUUUUUGGUUUUGAUUUCAAUUCCGCUUCCUCAAUUCAAUGUGUAAUACAAAUUGAUAUUGUUUCCGUUGGAAAUGUUUCCCAUGAAUUUCCAAAAACUAGCCACUAAAGGUCAGACUAACAUUUGAGUGGGUGUUCUCAUUGGGUUGGAUCGGCUCUGUUUCAUUGGACAAUAAACUGUGGGACGACAUAUCAUAUCUUGAACUCUGCUUGAUGCCCAAACAAAUUGUGAAUGCAAAUGCACUAUGCAUUGCAUUAGAAUCCUGAUGAAUCAUUGCAUUCCGCCAUCAUGGCAAACAAUUUGAAUUUAGACCAAAGAGACCAUGUUUUGAUGCACAGUGUCCUUGAGUUAGAUAAAUCAAUUGUUCUCAUUUUUCUUCAAAUCAAGAUUUUUGGCUAUCGUUUGAAAGAGAUGACCUUUAUAUGUGGCAAUCCAAAAUAUAGGAUCAUAGGUGAUAUUUCUUCAUAGGAAAAAGUACAAAAAAGGUCCUAAACCUGUGGCACUGGUACCAAUUCAAUAUUAAACUUUUCGGUUGGACCAAUUUAGUCUUAAAUAUUUUUACAUUGGUACUAAUCUAGUCUUUUUGGCCAAUUUUGGCUAACUAGUGCUGAUGUGGAUGUUUGCCGGUUGGCAAACGCUAAUGUGACAAUUUUUAAAUAAUUUUUUUAAAUUUUUAAUUAUUUUUUUGCUUUUCCUUUUUUUUCCUCUUCUUCCUCUUGGCCUUCUUCUCCUGCAAUGGCCAAUGAGUAUAGGCUUUUACAUGGCAGCUAUAAUGCUAGAAAUUUGCAGCAAAGUGGGCGGCAAUGAUCUGUCGGAGGGUGUUGAAGUAGUUGUUGAUGAUAGUGAAUCACUCGAUACGAAAAUCGUGGUCCUUUGAAUAAAAAAAGCUAGCCCAAGAGAACUUGCUUGAUGGAUUAGUUGAUGAUUUGUGAAUUGUGUACUAUUUCCAAAGUAAAAAUAAGCAAGUUGCUUCAUGGAUUCGUUGGUCUACCCAACUCUUUUUCUUGUUUGGCCCAAAGCACUUGUUUCUGUUCUUCUUAUCGAAUAGUCAAAGUUAGUUUUCUUUGAUGACUUGCGGAUCUAUAAUAAAAAGUAAGAUGCAAUUGUUAGGUGGAAUGUCAACAUUUAUUUUAGUUGGUGCAAGUUGUACAAAGAUGCUUAUUUGUCAGUCCUAUUAAUUGUGGUAAGCUUCAUUCAUCGCUAGACAAGAAAAAGGGUCAAGCUCACCAACUAACAAAGUACUAGAUAUAUGCUAGGCAUCACGCUUAUGAAUAGGAAAAUCGUGCAAAGGACCACGAUUCUCCUAUCAAAUGGUUCUCGAUCAUUAACCACUAACUCAGUACCCUUCAGUAGAUCAUUGUUGCAUGUUUGCCUGCAAAUCUUUAGCACUAUAACUACCACAUAAAAGCCUACAUUGAUCACAUAUUCACCAAUAACACAAUAAACAAAGAUAUUGAAUUUAUAAGGCUACUAAGAAUGUACGGACGCAAAAAAAAGGGGGGGGGAUAAGUGCAUUAUAAGUUCUAAAACUUGCCACAAAAGUGCAAUUGAGUUUUAACACUUUAAAAACACAAUUAAGCCCAAAAGCCUGCUAUGAAGUAGAAUUAAGUCUUAAAAUUUUCAAAAAGUGCAAUUAAAUCCUAAAACAUGUCAAAUAGGUUCAAUUAAGUUCUUUCGUUGAUUGCAAUUUUCGAAAAUUUUACGAUUUAAUUGCACUUUCAAGACAAGUUUUAGGAAUUGAUUGCAUUUUUUAAAAUUUUUAGGACUUGAUGAUAUUUUUGUGACAAGUUUUAGGGUAUCUUUCGAAAAUUUUAAAAUUCAAUUGUACUUUCAUGAUAAAUUUUCAGACUUCCCAUACACUUAUUAUUAUUAUUAUUUAAAAAUCCUUGGUCUGUCUUUGUUUAAUGUUUUAGGACUCAAUGGUUUUUGUUAGGGUAGGUUUCUCAUUUUUUAGAACUUGGAACCUACCCUAUAUGUUAUGGAACUGGGAACCUAGAACCCCCGUUGUUCUCUCAAUGAUUGGUAAACCCAUGAUCAUUGGAGAGAUCUUUUGGAGUCCCUUCUUGGCUUCCUUCUUAUGCUUAUUUCUAGUAUUGUUAAUCUUAAGAAGACACGUAACGUGUGGAAAUUCUACUAGUAAUGUAAAAAGUGACAUUAACAUAAGGAUGGAAGAAGAGGGAUGUAAAAAGUGAAGCAGUAAAGCCAAUUUGUGUCCCGUAAAGUCUUGGUCUUCCUAGAAUUGAUUAAAGUUUCUUUCCCACUAUCACUUUUUCCCUUGUGCUUAAUUUUUCACACAAAAAAGUUGAUGAUUCCCAAUAAAGUCUUGGUCUUUCUAAUACUCCAAGAAGUUUGAGCUAGACCGGAGAUCACAUGUUUUGACGCACAUUAUGUCAUCGAGUUAUAUUGUUCUCCUUUUUCUUCAAAUCAAGGAUUUUGGAUGUCGCUUAAAAUAGGGGACCAUUUCUUUUGACCCAGAGCAUGAGAUUUUGUUGUCCUUACCAAACAAACAAACCUAACUGUCUUUGAUGACUUGUGGAUACAAAACAUACAAUAAGAUGCCAUUGUUGGUUAUGUCAUCAGUAAUUUAGGUUUCAAUAACUUUGACAAUGCAGCGAUCCUUUGAUGCGAUUUUGGCCCCAUGAAGCACGAGAGCUACUGGGGAGACAUAUGUUGGCAUGAGAUGGCUAGCUGCAGAAUUCUUGCAAAAAUAGAUGUCCAGCUUCAAAUUCAUUAUAUGGUCUAAGUUCAAAUUUCAAAUAGUUUGUGAACGGGCUUCUAAUAGUGCGUGAUUAUGAAUUCUCUAGAAUCAUUAUAAUUAGUAUAUACACCGGCAUGUGAUACUAAUUCACUUCAAGUAAUAUUAGAGGAAAGGCAUAAUACUAAUUUGUGAGCUCACUCAUAAUAAGUAGGUUGAAUUGUCCUCAAAAUUCUAAAAUUAUAGACAAUCCAGAUCCAUUGUCUAGAAAAUAUUUGAUACCAGUUAGCUUAUUUUCCACACUAAAUAAAGAAAAACGAAUUUCUCUUUAAGAAAGGAAGAUCAUGCAAUACAUGCUAGUGUCAUGGCCCGAAAGAAAGUCGAUCCUAGAGGUUCCUAUGGAAUGGGCGUGACACAUUCGACCCUCGGCUUAUAUCCCUGAGACUUAAGGUUUUCUCGAGCCUUCUAGAAUACUUGGGGCGGGCGAUACAAUAAUUGUAUUCGUUUAUAAUAAAUGCGGGUAGUUGGUACUUGGGGAGAUGUAAUCUUCACCGUUAGAUCAAGGGAAGACCUACGGAUACGGUUUGCCUUGUCUUUGUAUAAAUAUGGGUCUCCUCCUCUUCAUUGUAUUAUCUCAUUCACAAGUGAAAUACAAUCCUAAGCUUCUCUCUCUAGAGUUUUCUCUCUCUAAGAUCCUUGUGAAUCGAGUGUGGGUAAAGCUGCUUAGGGGUAAAAUCCUAAGGCCGCACGAGUCAGCUUAUGAGUGAUUGAGAGUGAUCGAUCAGCCUGUAACAAGUGGUAUCGGAGCUGAGUUUGUUUCAAGCGCAAGCACAAUAGCUGAUCCACGAUUUGAUGAGGCGCAAGCCAUGGGUGGUGACUAUGUUGAUCGUGGGAGGAACACCGAGAAGGUUGCUGCCAAGGGGAAGAAGACCCGUGGUGGUUGGAGUUCAAAGGAUCCAACGGGGGACCUUGCACAUCGUAUGACGAAGCUAGAGUUGUUUGUCAUCGAUGUCCAAUGAUCGGUUGAUGACCUGACCCAAACCGUGGAUGGAGUUGACGCCGGAAGAGAGGAGCUCGUUGCUAAGGUGCAAGAGCUCAAGACCGGCAUGGGAGAGCUCUGCCACGAGUUGCUAGGGACCCUACGGAAAGAACUCGCACAACGGUACGAACUCUUGAAGGCCAUGAUAGCGGCCAUGCACGUGGAGAUAGUGGAGCUUAAGGGUAAGCUUGCUGAAUCGGAAGUUGCACGCAUGAAUAUGGUGAUCACUGUGCAAGGUCCACGAGUGGACACACCGAAGCCAAAGGAAUUCCGAGGCUUGCAGGUGGCCAAAGACGUGGACAAUUUCCUCUAGUAUAUGGAGCGGUACUUCCAAGCCAUGGGGAUUAACGACGAGCAAUCACAGGUAAAUACUGCAUCUAUGUACUUAGUCGAUAAUGCAUUGUUAUGGUGGCGUCAUCGGUCAGAUGAUAGAUGUGGGGUACUUAUCACAACCUGAGGUAGAUUCAUCGAGGAUUUCCUACGGAACUACUUUCCCGCUUAUGCGAAGGAGGAAGCUCUUCACGAGCUGAAGCGUCUCGAGCAAAAGGGUGGUGCGCGCGACUACAUCAAGCGGUUUUCGGAGUUGCUACUCCAAAUCCCUUCGAUGAACGAGAUUGAAGCGUAUCACCAAUUCAUGAGUAGUCUCAAACCAUGGACUAAGCAAGAGUUGAAGUGGUGCAAUGUGGGAGAUCUCACGACGGCCAUGACCAUGGCCGAAUCGCUUGUGGAAUACAAGGGGCUUUCCACAUCCCAAUCGGACUCGUGUCCGAGGAACAAAGCCACUUGGGGGGGAGAUCGGGGGUGAUACAACUGCCCGAUCGGAGGUAGACCACUGGUUGGUCCUUACAAAGCUCAUGUGAAGUCGAGCGGAUGAGGACAAAGGAAGGUACACUCAUACAAAUGUUUCUUUUGCCAUGGUCUGCACAUAGCAAGGGAUUGCCCGAACAAGGCCAAGCUAGCCGCCCUUUGCAAGGAAGAUGAGCCUAGGAAGGAAACGCGGUUAGGUUCGCUGCGACUUCUUAGCAUGAUCAAGUCCAAGAAGGCGAAGGAGCCUAAAGGCUUGAUGUUCGCGGACUUGAAAGAUCGGAGAGUCCACAAUGAGUGCACUCAUGGAUACGGGAGCCUCCGACCUUUUUAUAUUAGAGCAAGCCGCGAAAAGACUUAACCUACGGGUUGAGAAAGGAGUCGGGUGGCUCAAGACAAUAAACUCCAAGAAAAUCCAUGCAACCGGUGUUGCAAGGGACAUGAAGCUACAACUCAGGCCAUGGAAGAGCAAGGAGACUCUAGAGGUAAUUCUCCUUGACGACUACGACUUUAUCAUUGGGAUAAAAUUCCUAGAUAAAAUCCAUGUUGUUAUAUUGCCUUUCGCCAAGUGUAUAUGCGUGUUGGACAAGCAUUGUCAAUGCGUGAUUCCAGUACAUCAUGAGUCGGACCGUGAUAGGAGGAUGAUCUCGGCUAUGCAACUCACCAAAGGGGCAAGGAAGGGUGAGGUGACCAUCCUAGCUGCCUUGAAGAUUAAAGACAACAAAGGCAAAGAGAAGGAAGUCUUAACGGAGGUAGCCCGAGUCCUCAACUCGUUCAAGGACGUGAUGCCUUCAGAGUUGUCGAAGAAGCUACUAUCUCAAAGAGAGGUGGAUCAUCGAAUCGAGUUGGUGCUUGAAGCUUGACCGCUUGCCAUGGCACCUUAUCGCAUGGCGCCCCCCGAAUUGGAAGAGUUGAUGAGGCAACUAAAGGAGUUGCUCGAUGCGGGCUAUAUUCAGCCAUCCAAAGCUUCGUUCGGUGCACUAGUCCUGUUGCAAAAGAAGCACGAUGAGUCACUUCAAAUGUGCAUCAACUACCAAGCAUUGAACAAGCUAACCAUGAAGAACAAGUACUCGAUUCCGCUCAUCGCGGAUCUCUUCGAUCAACUUGGUGGAGCUAAGUGGUUUACCAAGCUGGAUCUUUAAUUAGGCUACUAUCAAGUUCGGAUCGCUGAAGAAGACGAGCCGAAGAUAGCCUGCGUGAUGCGGUAUGGAUCCUAUGAGUUCCUUGUGAUGCCAUUUAGCCUGACCAACGCUUCGGCUACAUUUUGUACGCUCAUGAACAAGGUACUCCACCCUUUCCUAGAUCGAUUUGUAGUGGUUUACCUAUAUGAUAUUGUAGUCUAUAGUCGGACGCUCGAUGAGCAUGUCGAGCAUCUAAAGCAAGUCUUCCAAGCCUUGCACAAAACCGAGUUGUAUGUUAAGCGUGAGAAGUGUGCGUUUGCCCAAGAGGAAGUCCCGUUUUUGGGGCACAUUGUCGGGGGUGAACGAGUGUGUAUGAACAAAGCGAAGAUUCAAUCGAUCGUCGAAUGGGAGCCGUUGACAAAGGUGAUGGGGGUGAGGUUGUUCCUAGGCCUCACCAACUACUACCGGUGAUUCAUUCAAAGCUACUCGAGUAUCACCGUGUCGCUCACGGACCUGCUGAAGAAGGAGAAACUGUGGGAGUGGAUGGAUAGAUCGAUGCCAAAGAGCAUUCGAUCGGUUGAAAAAAGCCAUGACCGAGGAGCCGGUGUUGGCGUUGCCUAACCACAUCAAGCCUUACGAGGUAGAAAUUGACGCCUCAAAUUUUGCUAUUGGUGGCGUCCUUAUGUAGGAAGGACAUUUGGUGGCGUACGAGUUUCGCAAGUUGAACAAUACCGAGCACCGGUAUAUCGUUCAAGAGAAGGAGAUGACCGCGGUGGUCCAUUGCCUUCGGACGUGGAGGCACUAUCUCCUGGGAUCAAAGUUCGUCGUGAGGAUAGAUGGCCACGAGCUAUUUCUAGACCCAGAAGAAGCUGAGUUCGAAGCAAGCUCGCUGGCAAGACUUCUUAGCGGAGUUUGACUAUACGUUGGAGUACAAGCCAAGGAAGGCCAACUCUGUGGCGGACGCGUUGAGUUGAAAAAUGGAGUUGAAGAGUAGCUCAGUGAGUCGAUCGAGCUGUCCUUGGGUUGACCGCAUAAAUGAGGGGUUGAAGCAUGAUCAAAGAGGUCAAGCCCUUAUCGGGUAUGCGAACGAAGGUAGGACUCGACAAUUCUGGUAUGAGGACGAGCUCCUUUACACCCAAGGAAGGCAUUUGUACAUGCCCUUCUAUGGGAAGUUAAGGAAGGAGAUCUUGCGCGAGUGCCACGACUUGAAGUGGGCGGGUCAUCUAGGGAUCCACCGCACAUUAGCCCUCGUCGAAGAUUGGUAUUACCGGUCGCAAAUGCGGGACGAUGUGGAAGCUUAUGUGAAGACUUGUUUGGUGUGCCAAUAAGAUAAGCUAGAGCAACGAUCGUCAUCGGGCCUAUUGGAGUAGCUUCCCGUUCCAACUCGUCCAUGGGAAAGUGUUUCCAUGGACUUCAUCGUCAACCUGCCAAAGUCCGAAGGGUGUCGGACUCUCAUGGUCAUGGUGGAUAGGUUUUCCAAGUAUUUGACUUUUGAGCCUACGACAAAGGAUUGUUCGACCAAGGAGGCGGCCAAGCUAUUCAUGAAGCACGUGGUUAAGUACUGGGGAGUGCCACAAACAAUCGUGAGCGAUCGCGAUCCUCGUUUCACGGGUCGUUUUUGGUCCAAGUUGUUCAAGUUGCUGGGGUCGGAGCUAAAUAUGUCCACGAGUUUGCAUCCCCAAACCGACAGUCAGAUGGAGUAGGUCAAUGCACUCUUGGAGAUUUAUCUUCAAACUAUGUGAGUACAACGUAGGUGAAUUGGACGAAGUUGAUCGACGCAGCCUAGUUCUCCUACAACUUGCAGCGGAGCGAGUCAACCGGCUAGAGCCUGUUCGAGAUCGCAACUGGGCAGCAACCGAAUACCCCUAGCGCCAUUGCUUCGGGUUAUCGAGAGAGUAGUCCACCCGCGUAUAAGUUCGCCAAGGAUUGGCAAGAGCAGGCCGACUUGGCAAGGGUGUGUCUACACAAAGCCUCCAAGCCCAUAAAGAAGUGGGCCGACAAAAAGCGAUGGCAUGUGGAGUUCUAGGUUGGGGACCAAGUGCUGGCCAAGCUACACAUGGUUUUUCGAUACAAGGACGUGCAUAAGGGGUUGAUCCUCGCUACAAAGGGUCGUUUCGUGUGUUGCAACGGGUUGGGAAGGUCGCAUACAAAUUAGAGCUACCACCAAAGCUCAAGGUACAUCCGGUUUUCCAUGUGAGUAUGCUUAAGCCUUUCCAGUUUGAUGAGGAAGACCCAAAUUGAGGGGAGUCGCAAUGGGUGCCACUCGGAGCAAAAACCUCAUAUGAUCGAGAAGUCAAGAGCAUCAUGGCGGAUCGAAUCAUACGGAAGCAGUAUCGUGCGCCCAGACGAGAAUAUUUGAUCCGAUAGAAGGGUCUUCUAGAGAGUGAAGCAAGUUGGGAGCCCACGGAGAGUCUUUGGCAUUUCAAGAAGGAGAUCGACGCUUUCCAUGUUGAAGAUGUGACGAGGGCGUCGCCUGAUUAGGUGGGGGAGAAUGUCACAGCCCGAAAGAAAGCCGAUCCAAGAGGUUCCUAUGGAACGAGCAUGACACAUCCGACCCUUAGCUUGUAUCCCCGAGACUUAGGGUUUUCUUGAGCCUUCUAGAAUACUCCUAGGGGAGGGCGACACGGUAAUUAUAUUCAUAUGUAAUAAAUGUGGGUAGUUGGUAGUUGGGAAGAUAUAAUCUUCAUCGUUAGAUCGAGGAGAGAUCUAUGGAUACGGUUUGCAUUGUCUUUGUAUAAAUAGGGGUCUCCUCCCCCUCAUUGUAUUAUCUCAUUCACAAGUGAAAUACAAUCCAGAGCUUCUCUCUCUAAGAUCCUUGUGAGUCGAGUGUGGGAGAGGCUGCUUAAGGGUAAAAUCCUAAGGUCACAUGGGUCAACCUAUGAGUGAUCGAGAGUGAUCGAUCGGCCCGUGACACUAGACUCCAACUUGACGUAAUAUGAUGGCUCUCUCUCUCUCUCUCUCUCUCUCUCUCUCUCUCUCUCUCUCUCUCUCUCUCUCUCUCUCUGUGGCUAAAACCUUGAGUCAUUCCAUGUCCACACGCAUUACAUGUUCCGCUUGUGCGUAUUUAGAUUCUCGACUUUUGUUAAUUCUUAGAUACUACAACUAAAACAUGAUUAAUAAAAGUAUUUAAAAUACUAUGGACUAAUUUUAUGAUACAAUCAGUAAUACCAUAUGAGUCUUAAAUGCUCUUCUUUUUCGAAUGAAAAAUGGUGAACAUUUUCAUUUCAUCCUUUAAUAAUUGACGGAUGAAAUACAAAUGAGUGCCUUAGAGAUUGGUUAAAAUAUAUCUCGAGUUUGAGCCCAAUGUGAAAUUCUGAAUUGGAUAUGUUGUGGACGUUCGAAAUCGAACAAAGAAAAUCCGAAGAUCAAUUUUCCAAAUUUGAAUAUGCGUUUGAGAGUCUGGCCGCUAAAAUAGGAAAGUUCAACUUUCACUUGGAUUUGGAUUUUGUUUAAAACAUACAGAGAUAUGUUUUGGAUAAAAUCGUUUAAGAUUGGAAACAGAAUCCUAUGAGAAGUUGACAAAAGAAUAAGGGUCUCACUUAUAUAUAGAGUUGUGAUUAUGGAUGGAAGAGGGUUGAUCAUGAAGAAUUGGUCUUAAAGCGCCGUCUCAUCGUCGAGUGCUUGGGAGGGAUUUUCUUUGUCGUUCUUGUCCGUGAAUUACAUCUAAGAAGAUUUAGUGUUUGUAGCCAAUUAAAUCUUGUGGUAAGAUUUGCGUUUAAUUCCUUCGUGAGAUUGAGAGAUUAUUUCUUGAGGAAUUUCGGGGCUAAACAAUACGUGGGUUAUUGGGUGUAAUUGGGGCUUGGGAAACGCCGAGAGAGUGUUUGAGUGACUCGAGUGUGUAAUCUCCUUGUAUUGCUUGGUCUAUAGUGAAAUUCACUGCUGGUCUCCUCGUAGACGUAGGUCUUUACGACUGAACCAUGUAAAUCCGUUGUCCGAUUUAUUUUAUUCUUCUGUCUAUAUUAUUGUUCGAUCGCUCGCCUUUCGCAACAAGUGAUAUCAGAGCCAGGCUUGGCUAAGUUGAAGCAAAUCGAUGGCGACAGAAGAAGUAAAAGUGAUAAUCAACAGAUUUGAUGGGAAAGAUUUUAGUUUUGGAACAUGUAAAUUGAAAAUUAUCUUUACCAGAUGAAACUGCACUUACCUUUAUUUGGGGAGAAACCAGAGACGAUGAAGCAAGCUGAUUGGGAUUUGCUAGAUAGACGAGCUAUGGGUGUUAUUCAGCUGACGUUGGCUCGUAACGUCGCGUUUAACAUCUUGAAGGAGAAGACCACUGAUGAUUUGAUGCAAACCUUAUCAGAUAUGUACGAGAAGUCCUCUGCGAUUAACAAUGUCUAUUUGAUGUGACGUUUGUUUAAUUUGAAGAUGAGCGAAGGUGCAUUAGUUGCAGAUUAUAUCAAUGAAUUAAAUGUGAUUGUUAGUCAAUUGAGUUCAGUUGAGAUUGAUUUUAAAGAUGAGGUACGUGAUUUGAUUCUGUUAUCCUCAUUACUUAAUAGUUGGAAUAUUACUGUUUCUGCUAUUAGUAAUUCCUCUAGGUCAACAAGUUUGACGUUUUAUUGGUUUGAGAUUUAAUUCUGAGCGAGGACAUUCGUAGAAGAGAAUUUGGCAAAUCUAUAUCUACUACUUUAGUAGGUGAAAAUAGAGAGAGAUCUAUAACAUGUGUGGGUAAGAGUAGUACUAAUAUGAACAGGUGUAGUCAGUCUAGGACUGGUGAUGUUGUCUGUUGGAGCUGUGGCAAGAAAGGGGCAUCUUAAAAGGAAUUGUCUUAAGCUGAAGAAUGAGAAUGGUAAGAAAAUUAUAGUUAAUUAUGCAAAUAAUGCUGCAGUUGUAGCAGACAAUGUCGAUUAUGUCUUGUCUGUCUCCAGUGAUUCAUCGUUUGAUGGAUGGAUUAUGGAUUAUGGUUGUUCUUUUUAUAUCACACCAAAUAAAAACUAGUUUAUCACUUAUCAGUGCACGGGUAGUGGUAAAGUCCAAUUAGGGAACAACGCUGAGAAUGAUGUUGUGGGUGUUAGUGAUGUUAAAAUCAUAAUGCACGAUGGUAUUGUGAGGACAUUGACUGGAGUAAGACACGUUUCGGAAUUGAAAAAGAAUUUAAUUUCUUUGGGUGCUCUAGAUUCAGCUGGUUGUAGGUAUUCUUCAAAAGGUGGAGUUCUGAAUAUUGUUCGAGGUGCCCUGGUGAUAAUGAAAGGAAUCAAGCAUGGAAGUAUGUAUAAAUUUCAAGGUGAGAUAAUGACAAAUUUCGCUGUGGAGACGUUAGAUGCAUCUGUUCGAGAGUCUUUUGACUGCUUGAGGAAGAUUUGGGUGUUUAUGCCAAUACACAAGUUUGAUAACUGGUGUUAGGAUCACACGGUUGAAAGCUUUGAUCGAGACAGAGACUAGUAAGUCGAUCAAGCAUGUGCGAAUUGACAAUAGCAUGGAGUUAUGCUUGAAGCUGGCACAUAAAUUCUACAUGAAAGAGGGCAUAGUGAAACGUCGCACUAGUGUUAGUAAAUCACAAUAAUUUGCAGAAUUGCUGAGCAGAACAUUACUAGAGAUGGGCCGAAAAAUGAUCUCUAGUGUUGGUAUUACUAGGAGAAUCCUAGCUAAUGUGCUUAAUACAAUAAACUGUCUGGUGAAUAGAUUCCCAUCAACUGCUAUUGAAUGGUGGUCUUCUAAAGAAGUCUGGUCAAGUAACGUUACUGGUUAUUCUAUUAUUAAAAUGUUUGGUUGCCCGUGUUAUUUUCGAGUGAGUGAUGGUAAGCUCGAUUGGAGGGCAAUGUACAUAUUUCAUGGCUAUGCACAAGGUGAGCGGGGCGAUCGGUUGUGGUGCCCAGAUAUGAAUUCACUUGUUAACAGCAGAGAAGUUACCCUUAAUAAGUCUCUAGUAUUUCUGGCUAGGAAUGUUUGUGGCAGUGUUAAUACAGAUCUGGACGUUGUUCAGCUUGAGGUGGAAUUGCGACUAGAAACUCCUGAGGUAGCGAGUACGAGUACUAGCAAAGUAAUCGACACAGAUGGUGCUUGUAGCGAGGUGGAGUCUAUAGAGCUGAUAGUUGCUAUAACUACUGAAAUUAACAAGGUAUGUAUUCGAUCUCCUAACAGAUAUGGAUGCAAUAGUGGUUUUGCUUUAUCUACGGUUGAGGAGGUUGCGUUUGAAAAUCCUUGUGGAGCAGUUAAAGGUGCAUGUGGAGUUAGUAUUCUGAUGAGGUCCUCAGUUAUGGCAAAGUUCAAGCGAGGCUUGGAUUUGGAUAAUAUCUGUGGCGGUUGAGCCCAUCGGGGACUAUGGGAAAGUAGCAGCAUGGUUUGAAUUUUUUGCGAAGUUAUUGUGACUUGGCUCAAACGUUGAGGCAAGGUGGAGAUUGUUAAAAUAUAUCUCGAGUUUAAGCCCAAUGCGAAAUUCCAGAUUGGAUAUGUUGCGAAUGUUUGAAAUCGAGCAAAGAAGAUCCGAAGAUCAACUUUCCAAAUUUGAAUCUGCGUUUGAGAGUUUGGCCGCUAAAAUAGGAAAGUUCAACUUUCACUUGGAUUUGGAUUUUGUUUAAAACAUAUAGAGAUAUGUUUUGGAUAAAACCGUUUAAGAUAGGAAACAAAAUCCUAUUAAGAAGUUGACAAAAGAAUAAGGGUCACACACACACACACACACACACACACACAUAAUGGAAGAGGGUUGAUUGUGAAGAAUUGGUCUUGAAGCGCCAUCUCAUCAUCGAGUGCUCGAGAGGGAUUUUCUUUGUCGUUCUUGUCUGUGAAUUACAUCCAAUAAGAUUUAGUGUUUGUAGCCAAUUAAAUCUUGUGGUAAGAUUUGCGUUUAAUUCCUUCAUGAGAUUGAAAGAUUAUUUCUUGAGGAAUUUCGGGGCUAAACACUGCAUGCGUUAUUGAGUUUAAUUGGGGCUUGGGAAACACUGAGACAGUGUUUGAGUGACUCGAGUAUGUAAUCUUAUUGUAUUGCUUGGUCUAUUGUGAAAUUUGCUGCUAUUCUUCUUGUGGACGUAGGUCUUUACGACUGAACCACGUAAAUCCGUUGUCCGAUUUAUUUUCUUCUUCGGUCUAUAUUAUUGUUCAAUCGCUCCCCUUUCGCAACAGUAUUGGUGUUUUGGGGGGGGGGGGUAAUCCUCGAAGGGUCAAGUCCUUAAUGCUAUGGUUGAUUGGAUAUGGUGACAAAAAAAGGACAAUGAAGGCCCUGGCAGUUCCAUCAUUUUGUUUAAACAUAUAUAGGACCCAUCUUUGGUCACUAUUGGUGAACAUGAUCCAAUAAUUGGUUUAGCAUAUACAUAGACUCCAUGAUUACUCUCAUCCUUGGUAAACUGAAGUCAUGGCAAGCAUGAUUAACAAAAACCAUCGUGAAAUUUGUUUGGACUCUUGUAAAAUCUCUCCAUGACUCUUUAAGUCGAACUGACUUGAUUUCUACUCUUUACCUUGUAUAAUGCAAGAACAUAAAAACUUCAAAUAAUUAAAAUAUAUAUUUUUAAUUGAAAACUCAAGAUUUAGAAAAUAUUUUCGAGAAACUAAUUGAUUUUUAGCUCAUAAAAAUGAACGGAUCAAUUUUUUUCAUCAUUUACUAAAAUAAAUAGGUAUAAAUUGAUGUUGGCAAUGAAAAAUAUUUUGCGUUGAUUAAUUUUUUUUAAAUGAUAUAACUGAUCAUUUUUUGGAAAAUGUUAUCCAAAAAGUUUUUUUUGAAACAAACACAUCCUUAAACUAUUUUGAUGGAGCAAAACAAGAAGAAUUGACUCAAUUCGAUCCGAAAGAGGAACAUAACGGAAAAUCUGAAAAGAAGCAGAAGUCAAGUACAAAUCCUAGUGUCUGAACCUCCACAGCCAUUCCUCUGCAAAGAGAGGCGAAACGUGAGCAACAAGCAGGCGGUUACAGCCACACCUGGAAAGGAUCACUCAACAAUUCCACACAUCCAAAAAAUUAAGAAAUCUCGAGUUAAAAGAUGUAAAGGUUUGCCUUUGGCAGCGAAGAUGUUUGGCGGUGCCCUACGUAAUAAAAUGAAACCCAGUGAAUGGGAAGAUACCUUAAAUAACCUAAUAUGGGAUCUUCCAACGACAAAGAAUGAUGAGGUUCUCCCCAUUAUGAAAUUGAGCUAUGUCCAUCUUCCUUCCUAUUUGAAGAGAUGCUUUUCUUAUUGUGACGUAUUUCCUAAGGAUUAUGAAAUUGAGAGGGAUGAGCUAGUACUCUUAUGGAUAGCGGAGGGAUUUUUAGAUGGACAAAACACAAAGAAAAAUAAGUUGGAAUUAGGAUGGAAUUACUUCGAUGAAUUAGUAUCUAGAUCAUUUCUUCAAAAAUCAAGUGUUGACACAUCUAAGUUUUCAAUGCAUGAUCUUUUGAAUGAUCUAGCAAAGUCAAUUGAGGGUGGGAUAUGCUUUAGCACUGGGGAGUCUCAGCUAGCAAUUAAUGAAGAUUAUGCAUCUCUUGAGAGAGCUCGUUAUGCAUCAUUCAUCUGGUCGCAGUUUGUUACAUCAAAAUGCUUGAGGCCAUAUCAUGAUAUGAAGGUAUUAAGAAGUUUAAUUCUAGUGCGUAUUGGACCUAGUGGCAACUCUCUCCUUAUAUCCGACAAGGUGCUACAUGACUUGCUAACAAACUUGAAGUUUCUUAGGGUGUUUUCAUUAUGUCAUUGUCGCAUCGUAGAGGUACCGAAUUGUGUUGGUGAAUUAAAACAUCUUCGAUAUCUCAAUUUCUCGAACACUUCUAUCAGAAGGCUACCUGAGUCAAUUGGUGACUUGUGCAAAUUACAAGCUUUGAUCUUAAGAGGUUGUCAUUAGCUUUCAAAGUUGCCUCACGGUAUCACAAAGUUGGUCAGCUUACAGUUUCUUGAUGUUAGAGAUACAGAAAGUCUAAAAGAGAUGCCAUUGGGUAUCAAUAACUUGAAGAAUCUUACUAUCUUGUCCAAGUUUGUGGUAGGAAUAGAGAAAGGGCUACAGUUAAAGGAGUUAAAGAACUUGUCGCAUCUUCAAGGAGAAUUAUUCAUAUUGAAAUUACAAAAGGUGGAAGAUGUUAGAGAUGGUGUUGAUGCUAAUUUGUUUGGAAAGCAAGACCUAAGAAAAUUAUUCUUGCAUUGGGAAAAAGAUUUUGGAAUUCUUCGGAAUGAUAAGCAUGAAUCACAGGUGCUUGAGUCUUUGCGACCUCCCAUUGAUAUUGAAAAUCUCACUAUUUUGAACUAUGGUGGUGCAAUAUUCCCGUCAUGGUUAGAUGGUUCAUCAUAUUCUUGGAUAGUGUCUUUGAGCUUGUGGAACUGUCCUCAUGUCACAUCAUUGCCUUCAUUUGGACAACUACCUUCAUUGAGAGAAUUAUCUCUUAAAGGUCUAAAUGCAGUAAGAAUAAUAGGCUCUAUUUUUUACGGAGGUGAUAGGCCUUUUUUGUCCUUAAUUACUUUGCAGUUCGAAGAGAUGUUGGCAUGGAAGGAUUGGUCUCCUUAUGCAGGGGGGCCAAAAGAAGAAGUCUCAUUCUCCUGUCUUGAGCAUCUUGUUGUCCGGAGUUGUCCUUCGUUGGUCAAGACAUUGCCUUGUCAACUUGAUCGUCUUAUAAAGCUUGAAAUUCAUUCAUGCCAACAAUUGAAUAACUCAACCAGUGAGUUAUGUCUUCCAUCUCUCGAUGAGUUAUACCUUGAGGAUUGUAGUAAGGAGAUCUUGAUGAGCUUGUUCAAGCUAACUUCUUUGUCAGUUCUCAAAAUUAACAAACUCAUAAAGCUUGUUUCCUUUGAUCAUCGAUUUAUGAGUUGCUUGGGCAAGCUAAGGAAGCUUCACAUAGGACUAUGUGACAAGCUAACAUGCUUGUGGCAGGAUGGAAAUGAAACGCAAAAUCUCACUUGCCUCCAGGAAUUAACCAUUAAAAGCUGUGCUCGAUUCACAUCUUUUGUGGCAGGAGACAGAGAGAUAGAGCUACCCUGUAAUCUUGAAAGGAUGGAAUUGGUGGAUUGCACAAGUUUAGAAAAGCUUCCAAGCAAGAUGCACGCACUUAGACAUUUGGUGAUUGAGAAUUGUCCAAAAAUCAUGGCUCUAAACAUUCCUCAAGGUGACCCGAGCAGCAAUAAUUUGAUUUCUCAACUUGAAUCUCUUAAGAUACGUCACUAUGGUUCUCCGAUAUCCUUUUCAUUUGUUAAGGGUAGACUUGCUCCUCUGAAGGCACUUCAUAUAGACAAUUGUGAGGGAGUGGAGUCGUUGGAAGGGAUUGCCGUAGAAUCGCUUGAAACAAUGACAAUUAACGAUUGUCAAAAUAUGGGAAGCUUACCACAGUGCCUUCACACGCUCUCUCAUCUCACUCGAUUGCAUAUUUAUAAUUGUCCAGCAUUGGAGAUACAGGACUUUCCUCCCCUUCCCGUAACCCUCUCGAGUCUUGUUCUUAAGCAUUGUUCUAAGAUAAAGUCUAUUGCCAACUGUAACAUUGCCAAUUGUAACAAUCUCAUUGAGUUGGAAAUAUGGGAGUGUCCAGUAUUGGAGAUAGAGGACUUCCCACCCCUUCCCAUCACCAUGCAAAGUCUUUCACUUUGGGAUUGUCCGAUGAUAAAGUCCCUACCAAAUCAGUGGCAUCAUCUUACAUCCCUCCAGGAGCUGAAAAUUCGUUAUUGCGAAAAUAUCACACGUUUCCCCAAAGGAGGGCUGCCUCCCAAAUUGCGAGAGCUUAUAAUUCCGGGGCUUGUGAAUCUGAAGCAGCCAGUGAGAGAGUGGGGCUUACACCUGCUCACAUCUCUCGAGAUUCUGGGCAUUGAGUUUAACAUGGGAGGGGAGGGAGAGAAGGAGUGGUUUCCUUCGGAGGAUGAGGAUGCCUGGAGUCUCUUUCCUUCGUCUCUAACCCAUCUUUGUAUAUGGAAAUUGAGAAACAUAGAAAGACUAUCAAGCGGUCUCCGCAACCAUCUCUCCUCUCUCCGAUGGUUAUUGAUUGGAGAUUGCCCCAAGCUAAGGUACUUGCCAGAGGAUGGCUUCCCUCCCUCCCUCCAAGUAUUGCACAUAGUUUCAUGCAAGAUUCUGGCAGAGCGAUGCGCAAAACUCACUAGCGACUAUUGGCCCCUCAUUGAAGAGAUUCCUCGCAUCAUCAUUGAUUACAAGCAAAUCUGAUUAAUUGAUUUGUGCAUCUACACUACAGUCAGUUUUCUUAGGGUUCGGGUAAGUUAUUUUUGGUUUUGAAGGCAUCCUUUUCCAUUCUACUUUCUCAAUUCGAUGCUCAAUACAAACUGAUGUUUGGGUGGGGGAUCUCAUUGGGUUGGAUUGGCUCUAUUUCGUUGGACGAUAAACCGUAGGACGAAACGUUCGCAGUGCUGCCUCUUGCUAUGUUGAUGACAUAUCCUUAUUUCUGCUUGAUGUGUCAUGCCCUGAUCCUCGGUCACGUGCCCAUCAUUCAUCUUUGAUCGAUUUUAAAAUGCAAUAUCCUAGGACUACGUAUCGCCGACCCUUUCAUUUCCAAUAACACAUGCGGAAGUAGUUAUAAAUCCCUAGACAAUAAAGCAAUGUGAUAGAAAAGUAGGGCCAUAAUUUUCAUACUGAAAGUCACAACCACACUUUUACACAAGCACCUCAUAGUAUAUAAUACAAUACUAUUCACAAGGGUCUGACUUAACACAUAUCCACAUAUAAUCAAGGUUUGACAAAAUAGGAUGGGAUCUCAGUCCUCAUCCGGGUCGUACUCAGGAUCCUCCUCUGGAUCAUCUUUAGAUUUUUCCUCUUCAGGUUCUACCUCGGGUCCUUCCUCUUGCUCGACUACCUCUCCUUCUUCUUCUUCACUCAAGUUAGUACCCUUGGCUGAGUAUGCCGAUGACUUAGGAUCGCCCUCGAGCUUGGGAUCCUUGGCAUCCACUACCGACCCAUCCUUAGGAUCUACCGUCCCUAGCCCGAAUGCUACCUCCAGGACUUACAGAGGCACAUCGCCUUCCGGGAUAGGACUUUCUCUUCGCCCACCAUGAUAGUGAUGAUACCAUGAUCGAUACUCAUGGGGUACCAGGUCAAUUCUAUUCACUUCAACCCACACCUUGGACUCUAUCAACACAUACUCUAGUCCCUCUAGGUGGUGGUCUAUCAGAAAGGGGUAUUCUUCUUUGGUGACAUUCACAGGAAUACCAAAAUGUAUUGGAGGACGAGAAGGUGGACAUGUUGCCAUCUAGGGUCCUGAAAUGUUGUUCCACAACUGGGAUGAGACUACGUCUCAGCAAGUUCUACCCCUUAAGACCCGAUUAGUAAACCAAUACGCUAUCUGGGCUGCCUAUGCACGCACGAGUCAGAGGACUUACCUUGGCCUUAGAUUCCACCUGCAUAUUAGCACAGUUUAAUAGGCACUCAAGCAAUCACAUCACAGAUCGAUAUCUCAAUCAAUCGACCUAAUCGAUUUCAUGUCAAUCGAACCAUUCAUUGAUCAUUUCAAUUCAAUCAAUCAAUUCAUGACAUCAGAUCAAAGCAAUGAUCAAUCGACCUAGUCAAUUACAUGUUAUCUCGACCUUUUCUUGGUUGGCUCAUCUCAUACUAUCUAUAAGUCCGUUCAUAUCAGAACUGCUCACUGCUAAGUUAAUAAAUAGAUAAUAUAGCUCGCUUCUAAGAUGAUCGGGUAUACUACUCUCUACUAAGCUGCCAUAUCGUUCUUAGCCUGAUAUAGUAUACCGACAGUGCUCAAUCUAAGCUAAUAAGGUAUAUUGCUCUCUGUUAAGCUGCCAUAUCGUCCUUAGGCUGAUAUAGUAUACUGAUAUAUUCCAUCAAAACUAAUGAGGUAUACUGCACUCUGCUAAGCUGACAUAUCAUCCGUAGGUUGAUAUAGUAUAUCGGUAUACUGCUCUGCUAAGCUGACAUAUCGUCCGUAGGUCAAUAUAGUAUACCAUCCCAAUUAUACAAUCAAUUCCAUAUUUUUAUCAUUCUCGAUAAAGUAGCCGUGUGUGGUGACACAGUCGGCCUUAGCCAAAAUAUAAUAUUUUCAUUUUCAUAACUCCCACAUUUUCUGUAGUCCACUCAAAUAUUUUUGGCAUUAUCAACCGAUGCCUGGUUAUUUUUCAAUUAAUAACCAACGAUUAUCCAAUUAAAGAAUAAUUCCCACUUUCACAAAUAAUUCAAUUCAACACGAAAUAAAACUCAAUUAAAUAAACGGACCACACCACGACAAUAGCAUAAAAUUCUGAUCGUCGACUAUCUUUGCCUAAUUUUUGGAAAAUAAAUAAAUAAUUAAAUUAAUUCCGAAAAUUAAUAAUUAAAUACUAAAAAUCCAAUUUAGGCUCGUAAUGCCUAAUCGAAAGCCAAAUCAGAUCAGGAAAAAUCCCGAGAUGCAUUCAAUAAAUAGAAAUACGUCUCUACUUGCUAAUCACACUAACUUAUCGCCUAAUAUACAUCAUUAAGUCACUAAUCUGAUUGUUCUAAACUAAUCUAAUAACCUAAUUGCAUUUAAUUAAAUCUAAUCAAUCAUCAAGUAUCAUUAGCAAACUAAAAGAGCAUUAGUGAGCAAAACUCACCGGAAUGACGCUCGAGUCGGAUCAAUCCGACGGGAACGGUGCGGGGAACGAAAAACUUCCAAGCGGACCUAGGAAUUGAGGCCCGGAACACCUCCAAAAUGGGCCUAGAACCUAGUUGAAAACCCACACCGAAACCUUUUGUUCUUGAUUGGAAAAUUAAAGAAAACUACUCAGUUUAAGUGAUACUUGCACGGGAAUGAAAGAUUGAACCAAACCGGACCUAAACGAAGCUUUACGGGCGAGGAAACACCCAAAACUAGCCUCGGCGAGACUUCCACAGACCCAAACACAACUGCUGGGUGAGAGAGGGAUGCAACCAAGGAGACGACGGAGCAUGACCAAGACGGGCACGUGCGUGCAGGGGUGAGGGUGACAACAACGUGGCGACGGGUGGCUAAGCAUGGACGGCAGCUGCUACACUCUCCUCCUUGUUGUGCUGGUCGAGAAUUCAAAGGAAAGAGAUAGAGGGUGGCCGGCCAAAUGGAGAGAGGGAAAGAAGAGAUAGAGAUGAGGGGUGAGGGCUCCACUUUGUCCAAUUUUUCCACAACUUGUGCAUCAAGUUUCAACCUAAGCCAAGCAUUGUUCCUUGGCACUCCUUUGGCCACACCAACACCCCAAAUAACCUUUCCAAUGGUCCAAAAUUGGCUAGUGUGUGGGGGAUUGCGAAUUUUGAAGAAUAAAGCUUCCAUUGGAGCUAGUUCUUUCUUGAUUCUCUCUCAAUCGGCUCUAAUAAAAUCAAUUGAUGUCUCAAUUAUCAAAUUGAUAAUUUUCCUCAUCCAAGAAUCCCCCAUGCUUCUCAAUUUUGCAACCCGAAUAAUUCCUCGGCUUCAAUUGCAUAAAAAUAGCCCGCCGACGACUUUUUCCCAAAAAGUGUCAAUUGUCAGAAAAAUCUUCUGAGACUGAGUUGACACUCCUAGAAUUUAUUGUGACAUGACAGAAUCUUUAAUUUCUGAAAUCGAACUUGAAUUGACGGUUAAUUUUCAUUCGAUGUGUUUUUAGCGUGACCUAGGCUACCAGGUAACUUUCAGGCAUUUUUAGUGCAAAUGACAUGUGGUCGACUUUCUUCGAGCCACGAUGAACCCAUUCAACUCAUUGGCGACUCUCAGUUGUCGUGAAAAUCUUGAGAAUCUAAAUACGGACACAUGUUACCAAAACAAUAAGUAAAUCAGUCUAGUACCGAUCGAUGGGAAUUUUCCAAUUUAGUGGUGUCACCCACGAUUGGCCACACAUCUCUGUCAAACCAGCCUAUCUCUGAUUUCAAAUCGAUUUUAUACUGUGCCGCAAUGGCCUCUAAAGGUAAACCAGAUCGAGAAGCCGGUUCCUAGUCGAAUUCUUAAGUCUAUUUGCCUUAAAAUCCUUAUUGAUUUCCCCAGAUAGUCUAGUUAUCUUGAGAGUAAUCAGCUCUGAGAAUAGCUCUAUAGGCGUGUCAAUGAAAUGCUCGAUUUAUUCAGUAGAAAAUAAAGUUGAAAAUCUGGGAUGUCACAUGAUGCCCAAACCAUUUGUGAAUGAAAUCACACAAUCUCGAAGAAUCAUAGCAUUCCACAAUCAUAGUCCUCUGCAUUUUCAACGUCUAUUGUAUGUUCUCUUCCUAACAUCUUUUUUCUUGGGCCCUUAAGCUCAUUCACUUUGGUUGUUUUGCAGAAACCAUUGUGAUCUUGGAUUGGCAGAAUCUCUUGGAAGGAUCACAUGCGAAUAUUGCUAAGGUAGGGCUAAUGCUGUUAGUGUUAAUGUCUUGUUUCAUUUUUUUUUUUAAUUUUUUUUUGCAAUUUAUCAAAAAAGGAAAAGUAAUAAAAUAUAUUUGUUGUACUGCUGUGUUAUGAAUUUUCUUUCCAGUGAAUAUGAUCUACAUAAGAACAAAUCUUUUUCAAAAUCUAAAAGCAUGAUUAGUUUUGUGGAAGCUGUGAUAUGAUUGGGAAGAAAAGGGAUGCAGUUUUUUUUUUUAAUAGUUUUCUUUAGAAUUGAGAACCUUUUUUUUUUUGUUGAUGAUGAUUCUUCGUAGGAUAAAGCAAUCAAUCUGGGAUAAAAUUCUGAGGCAACUCAUGGCUCCAAGCUUUCACAUGACAGCAUUGGUAUUCCAUAAAUUGCUUGAUGGUUGGGUCUUGAACUCUAGUGGUUUUGGAACUAUUACUCACUGCUUGCUAGAAAUUUUUAGCCAAUAUACUUAUGCUUGUUUGGUUGAGAUUGUAAUGCAGUGACCUAUGGGUUGGCAUUUCCAUUUGCUCGACCGCAGAAUAUGAUUUCAUCAUAAAUUAUGCCAUUUUAUCUUAAAAUAACCUUCUCAUGUGGCAUUCUUCCUGCAGAGAGUUCCGGAACAAAAUGUUCAAGCUCACAUGGGUUCUUUUGCUUUAAUUGGAAGUGUUGCACUUCAACCAAUGUGUUUCUUGCCUGGUAUAUCUCCUCUCUCUGUGUUAGUGUAGCAUGUAUAAAUUUUUUGUUGAAGCAUUUAUGACAUUGUGAAGCUCUGUUAGAGGUUAGAUAAUUUGUAAUCUGAAUUGUAGUUCACUUUGUACUUUCUCCUAGGCUUUUUGGUUGUUAUUGCACAUAUAACAUGGUGCUUUGACCAUAUAAUUAGGUGGUUAGAAAAGCAGAGUUGCAUUUGCCAAGUUAACUUUCAAGCAACCUCACAUAGUUUUGCUUGACAAGCCAUCCAAUCAUAUGGUAAGUUCUACUCAUAUUUCUCCAUUUUAUGACUUUGAUUACUUUUUUCAGUUAGUUUAUUAUUGUCCUUGCACUAAUUGAACUUGUCGGAAUUUGGUCUUUACAUUAAAAUUAAAGUAGAACCAAUUAGUGGUCACAACUGCUGGUAGCCCUUGUCAUCAUACAUCUAGCAAAUAAUGGAAUAGAAACCAAUCUAAUUGCUCCAAUGUGGAAAAUAUUCUGAAUAGAGUAAUCUACAAUACCAAAUGGUACUAAUCUCUAUGCCUAUAGGCAAUAUUGGGCUUUAUAGACAAAUAUGUGGACCCCUUUUUGUUUAUAUAUCUGGUCUUUAAGUUUUGCUUUAAUGACCAGUGACUAAAGAAUUAUCUUUGUAAAUUGUUAUUUUCUUGUCUAAUGAUUAGUGUUUCUGUUUAUUUGCCUAUCCACAACUGUAGGAUUUGGAUGUAGCUGAGGCACUCAUUCAAUGUCUAGCCUUGUUCCACGGAGUAAUUUCGAUGGUGAGAUUGAUUUUCUUGUCAAAAUACUUCAAUUUGACCAAUGAUGGAUAAUUUCAUAGCUAAUGGCCCUCUUUUCACCUUGAUUUGCAGGUUAGUCAUGGUGAGCAUCUAAUAGCUAGAAGCUUGGAUGAGGUCUGGGUGGUUUCACAAGGCAAGGUGGCGCCUCUCCACGGGAAUUUCCGGGACUAUAGAAAUGUACUCCGGUUUUUGUUGAAUCAAGUGAAUCUAGUUAUUGCCAUCAACUAAGAAUGGUUCACUAGGUUCACAUUACCUCACAUAACUGAAAAUGAGCGUUAGCUACAUAGAGAAAGCGAAAAAGAAUGAAGAGAGGAUUGCUGCUAAUUGACACAGUUACACCAGCCCUUAUUUGUCAUUUACACGUGAUAAGGGCGCGUGGAAUGAUGAGUCUGAGUUUUUGACAUCGAGCAUGCAGUAUCAUCUGUAAUAGCUUAAGAACUGAGUUGGGAUUGCGGUCCUAAUAUAAUUUAUGAUUCUUUGCACAUUUUGUUCUAGCAAUAGGUUCAUUUGUUGUGCCCUUGGAAGUUUGAUACUCUAUUGCCACUGAAGUUAGCUUUCCCCUGCACACUAAAACGAUUUAAUCAUUUGCAAAUGAAUGUUUUUGCACAGUAAAUUAUUUUGUAAGACAAUCUAUUUUGUGAGAAAGCUAUAUUAAUAUAUUUUCCCCAUUUUCACUCUUUGGCACUAUUUAGGAGAAUUAAUUAUGAAAAUAUUAUCACGGUCAACAAAACUUUAUAUUCAACUCUAAGUACAGAAUUGCUUUUACUAACUAUAACGUAGGCCUUGCAUAGCUUGGUCAAAGAUUAUAUUUCAUCCUUCUUUUAUUCAAAUACAUGAGAAUCAUGAAGAAUCAAUGGUGUUCCACAAUCAUAUUCCUCUGCAUUUUCAGCAUCUGUUGUGUGCUAUCUUCCCAACAUCUUUUUCUCGUGCCCUAGCUCAUCCACUUUGAUUGUUCUGCAGAUGACAUUGUCAUCUAUAUAGGCAAAAUCUCUUGGAAGGAUCACUUGUGAAAACUGUUGAGGUAGGGCUGUGUUGUCAAUGUUAUGUGUCAUUGUUUACAAUUUACAAGAAAGGAAGAAGCAAUUAAAUUUAUUUGGUGCACUGAUAUGCUAUAAAUUUUCUUCUUGCGAUUACUAUCCAAAUAAGAAUAAUCUCUCUCAAAAUCUAAAAAUCGAAUUAGUCAUGUGGAAGCUGUGAUAUGAUUGUGAAGAAAGGAGAUGUAAUUUUUUUUUUUAAUUAUGGUUUUCCUUAGAAUUGAGAACCUUCUUUUUGUUGAUGAUGAUCCUUUGUAGUAUUAAGCAGUCUAUUUGGGUGCUCAUGGCUCUAAGCUUUCAAUGCAACACAAAUUCAUGAUAGGAUCGAUAUUCAUAAACCACCUUAUUUUUGGGUCUUGAUCUCUGUUGAGUUAGGAACUAUUACCUACAGCUUGCUAGAAAUUUUUAGCCAAUAUACCAUGCUUAUUUGGUUGAGACGGUAACGAUAUCCUACCUGCCUCUAGGUUUGCAUUGUCAGUAGUGACCUCUAGGGCAAAUCUUGUUGGUUCUUUAAAUUCGUCAUACACCAUGUCAUUGUAUCCGAAAUUACCUUCUUAUGUGGCAUUCUUCCUAAUCACUUGGGUUUCUUUGGUCUAACUAGAAAUCCUGCACUUGAAUCAAUGUAUACCUUGUUUGGAUCAUCUCCUCCCUCUUUGCUACUAUGCACACGUAAAAAAAAAAUUUCGAAGCAAUUUUUGUGUGACAUUGUGAAGCUCUAUUGGAGGUGAGUUAAUAUGUAAUCUCAAUUGUGGUUCAUUGUGUACUUGCUCUGAGGCUUUCUGGAUGUUAUUGCACAUAUAACAUGGUGCUUUGACCACAUAAAUAGGUGGCUAGAAAAGCAGAGUUGCAUUUGCCAAGUUAACUUUUAAGAGACCUCACAUGGUUUUGCUUGACGAGCCAUCUAAUCAUCUAGUAAGUUCUACUCAUUUUUCUCCAUUUUAUGACUUUGAUUACUUUUUCAAUUAGCCUGUUAUUGUUCUUGCACUAAUUGAACUUGUUGGAAUCUGGUCUUUACUUUGAAAAUAUAGUAGAACCAAUCAGUGGUCACAGCUACUAGGAGCCCUUGUCAUCAUACAUCUAGCACAUAAUGGAACAGAAACCUAUCUAAUUGUUCCAAUGCGGAAAAUAUUCGGAAUAGAGUAAUCUACAAUACCAAAUGGUACUGAUCAAUGUGCCUAUAGGCAGUAUUGGGCUGUACAGACAAAUAUGUGGACCCCUUUUUGUUUAUAAAUAUGAUAUUUAAGUUUUGCUUUAAUGACCAGUGACUAAAGAAUUAUAUUUUAUUUUAUUGUCUAAUGAUUAGUGUUUCUGUUUUUUUUUUUUUUUUUUUGCCUAUCCACAACUGUAGGAUUUGGAUGUAGCUAAGGCGCUCAUUCAAGGUCUAGUCUUGUUCCAAGGAGUAAUUCUGAUGGUGAGGUUGAUUUUCUUGUCAAAAUACUUCAAUUUGACCAACGAUGGAUAAUUUCACAGCUAAUGCCCCUCUUUUCACCCUUAUUUGUAGGUUAGUCACGGUGAGCAUCUAAUAGCCAGAAGCUUGGAUGAGGUGUGGGUGGUUUCACAAGACAAGGUGGCGCCUCUCCAUGGGAAUUUCCUGGACUGUAGGAAUGUACUCUGAUUUUUGUUGAAUCAGAUGAAUCUAGUUAUUGCCAUCAACUACGAGUGGUUCACUAGGUUCACAUUACCUCACAAGACAGAAAAUGAGGCUUAGCUACAUAGAGAAAGCGAAAACGGAUGAAGAGAUAAUUGCUGUUGAUAUACAGGACGGACUCACAGUUACACCGGCCCUCAUUUGUCAUUUGUACCUGAUAAGGGCUCAUGGAACGAUGAGUCUUUGACAUCGAGCAUGCAGUAUUAAUUGCAAUAGCUUACGAACUGAGUUGGGAUUCCGGUCCUAAUAUAAUUUUUUAUUCUUUGCACAUUUUGUUCUAGCAAUAGGUUGGUUUGUUGUUCCCCUGGAAGUUUGAUACUCUAUUGCUACUGAAGUCAGCUUUCCCAUGCACACUAAAGUGAUUUAAUCAUUUGCAAAAGAAUGUUUUAGCAGAGUAAAUUAUUUUGUAAGACAAUCUAUUUUGUGAGAAAGCUGUAUUAAUUAUAGUUCAUCCUUAUUUUAUUCAAAUACAUGAGAAUUACGAAGAAUCAAUGGCUUUCCACAAUCAUAUUCCUCUGCAUUUUCAGCAUCGGUUGUAUGCUUUAUUCCCAACAUCUUUUUCUCGUGCCCUAGCUCAUCCACGUUCAUUGUUUUGCAGAUGCCAUUGUCAUCUGUAUUAGCAAAAUCUCUUGGAAGGAUCACUUGCGAAAACUUUUGAGGUAGGGCUAAUGUUGUCAAUGUUAUGUGUCAUUUUUUACAAUAUCUUCAUGCUUAUUUGGUUGAGACGGUAACGAUAUCCUGCCCGCCUCUAGUUUUGCUUUGUCAAUAGUGACGUCUGGGGCAAAUCUUGUUGGUUCUUUAAAUUCGUCAUAUACCAUGUCAUUGUAUCUAAAAUUACCUUCUUAUGUGGCAUUCUUCCUGAGCUCACCUGGGUUCCUUGGUCUAACUGGAAGUCCUGCACUUCAAUCAAUGUAUACCUUGUUUGGAUCAUCUUCUCCCUCUUUGCUAUUGUUGCGCAUUCAAAAAAAAAAAAAUAUUCAAGCAAUUUUUGUGUGAUAUUGUGAAGCUGUAUUGGAGGUUAGUUAAUAUGUAAUCUUAAUUGUGGUUCACUGUGUACUUGCUCCAAGGCUUUUUGGAUGUUAUUGCACAUAUAACAUGGUUCUUUGACCAUGUGAAUAGGUAGUCAGAUAAGCAGAGUUGCAUCUGCCAAGAUAACUUUCAAGAAACCUCACAUAGUUCUACUUGACAAGCCAUCCAAUCAUUUAAUUGGUUUACUCAUUUUUCAUUUUCAGUUAGCUUGUUAUUGUUCUUGCACCAUUUGAACUUAUCAGAAUCUGGUCUUUACAUUGAAAAUACAAUAAAACCAAUCAGUGAUCACAGCUACAGGGAGCCUCUGUCAUUGUACAUCUAACUUAUAAUGGAAUAGAGACCAAUCUAGUUUUUCCAACUUGCAAAAUGUUGGGAAUAGAAUGCUUCUGCUAGCCUGAUCAGUGUGUUUGUAUUACAGUAAUCUAUGAUACCAAGUAGUUCCUAUGUUUGUGCUUCUAGGUAGUGUUGGGCUUUGUACAUAAUGAAUGUGGACCCUUUUCUUGUUUAUAAAUGUUCACUCUUAGUUUUGCUUUAGUGAGUACUCAAGUGUCAUCUUUGUAAAUCGUUAGUUGCUUGUCUAAAAAUAGAUAUGAUUUUGCCUUUUCCACUAUACCCAAUUGUAGGAUUUGGAUGAGACCCUCAUUCAAGGUUUGGUCUUGUUUCUAGGAUGGAUCAUUUCGCAGCUAACAGCCCUCUUUUCGCCUUGAUUUGCAGGUUAGUCACGAUGAGCAUCUAAUAUCUGGAAGCGCAGACAAGCUAUUGGUGGUUUCUCAGGUGGCGGCUUUCCAUGGGAAUUUCCAGGAUUAUAAGAGUUUGGAUGUCCUGAGGGUAUCUCUGGGUUAUUGUGUUCAUCAUCUACACUCAUGGUGGAGGACAAACAUCCCAAAAUGAAGUAGAAAUUGGUUGAGCACGCACAAUCUCUGAAUGCAGCAUGUGUGGAUUAAUUUGAUUAAAUUGUUCUGGGACCCAACUCUGAGCACAUUGAUCCGGAUUCAAAAUUCUUUAAUUCCAAUUAAAAGCAAACUAAGUUACGUGGCCUUGAUCUGGCCUGUAUUAACUGUAGCACUUCCAGUUGUAUUUAAAUUCGAAUCCUGUGAUGCAGUAGCGACUGAUUUGUCAAAUAAGCCGCGGUUAUGGCUUAAACCGAGUAACUCAUAAUGAGUAUGGUAACUUUCAUGGGAACCCCUAUAGAGUCUACUCUGUUUUCCUAUCCUUCGUUAUGAAUGGUUAAGGCAAAGAUUUUCUCAUGGAAUUUUGUAAGACUGCCAUGGAAACGUGCUUUUCCCAGGCGGCAUUGAGAGUUGAGAUUCAAGACAUACUCAGGCGCACGUAAUAAUCCAAUUAUGCUUCUGGAAAGAAAAUUUUCCACUUGCAGUCUGCCCUAUAAAGGUUGAAGUUUCAUACCAAUAAAUCUUUUUACCUUCCCAAGUUUUUUACGUUAAUUCACCAGCUUUUAGGCGGAGUUAUUGAUGAUGAGUAUGGAUUCUCCAUUCCAAUUUGCAUACUACAGAGGAGACUAAGGGAAUGUUUUACUAGAAAUUAGCUGUGUGAAAAUAUAUUACCCAUUUUUGUCCUUAAGUACUGUUUAGGAGAAUAAAUUGUGAAAAUGUUUUCGUGAUGAAAUUUUUUUUAUACUUUCAUUUCCAAGUACAGAAUUGCUUUUAGUAAAUAUAAUGUAGGCCUUGCCUAGCCAAAAAAAAAUAAAAAAUCUAUGAUGAAAUUCCGUGUAAACACUCGAAUUGGUUGGAUCAUUGGAUAAUAUCCUUUUAACAUGUUCAAGUCAAUUUUCAAAAUAAGAGGCUUCUUAUCUUCCAAUAAAGGCUACCGUACAGAUGGAAAUAUGGAUUUUUUUUUUUGAACAAGAAAUAUGAUAUACGAUUAAAAACUUAGCCAUUGUUUAGGCGAGUUACAUCAAGAGCGUCAUAGCAUAAUAGAUCUAGAAAAUCAGGUGGGGGUUGGGACAACCAAUUGGGGGGGGGGGAGAAAAUUAGAUCGGCAGGCCUUUGCAAGCCAAUCGCCGGGCCGGUUAGUUGCUCGAUCACAAUGGGCCAGAGAGAGGUCUCAGAAGCCCUGCAAUUUUGUUCGGGUCCGGUCCAAGAGAGGCUGAAGUCUCCAGUUCACAUCCGUCGAAGUGGUAAGAGCUUGCACGAGUGAGGAGCAGUCAGAGUGUACUUCCAGAGAGAGUUCCGCACGGGAUGCCAGUAGAUCUAGGGUUUGAAGCAGGGUCAAAGUUUCUGCUUGCUCCGCCGAUUGUGCCUCCACCGCUCUCGCAAAAUUGUCCACCAAGCAUCCUCGAGAGUCCCUGCAGAUGCACGCCACAGCUGCUCUAUUUUGUGGUAGUCCUUUGGUCCCUGUUUCCACAGCGUGGGGCUCGGCAAAAGAGGUGUCGAAGUUUACCUUCAGCUGAUGGGGAGGCGGUGGUAACCAGCGGUCAGAUCUUACGGUGGGCCUCCUUUCUUUCUGCUGUUGGUGGGUCACGGAGUUGACUAUCGCAUGGAGGGUUUGCGCCUGAAGCACGGCCUGUUGUGGAUGCAGGGGACACCGCUCAAACAGGAAUAGGUUGCGCCCCUUCCAGAUGCUCCAAAGGACAGCUACAACCAGUUCGAAUUUCUUUGCGAGGUGAGGGUUGUUGUUACAAUUGACCAGCCAAUCAUCUAGUCGAGAUAACCCAUAUCUUGAGAUCUUGAUCUGCAGAGGUGCGGCAAUCCAGAUCUGGUUUGUCCAUGGGCAAAGUAGGAGGAGGUGUUCAAUAGUUUCAGCCUCCUUUCUGCAGAGAGGGCAAAUGGGAUUCGGUACGAUCUUUCUUCAAUAUAGAUUUUCCCGAGUAGGUAGAGCAUUAUGGGUGGCUUGCCAGAGAAAAAACCUGAUUUUUGGAAGAGUUUUUACUUGCCAUAUCAGUUUCCAUAAAUCUGGAUUUAUGCGGUGCGAUAUGGUUGCUGAUUGGUCUAUGUUUGCUGGAUGUUCUCUGACCGCGUGAUAGCCGCUCUUCACUGAGUAGAUACCGGAUUUGUUAUGUAUCCAAACUAGUUUAUCUGUCUCAUGUGGUCCUCCAAUAGGUGUAGCAAGUAUUUCUUUGGCGAUUCUGUCAUCGAACAGCGAGUCCACUAGCUGGGUGUUCCAUGUACUGUUUUCAGGUUCAAUUAGAUCCGCCACAUGUUCCGGUUCGUUUCUUGUUGUCGGGCCUCCAAUUGGGCCGCUUGGUAUCCAUUUGUCCAUUUUGAUUGACAGGUUUCUACCAUUCCCCACUGAGUACAUGGUGUGUGGCCUAAUAGAGUCCCUACCCCGAAUUAUGCUUUGCCAACCCCAUGAGGGUCGGGAUCCAUGGCUAGCUUUCCAGAAAUCUCCAUGAGGGUAAUAUAGGCCUUGCAUCACUUUGCUCAAUAAGGAUUGAGGGUUUUGUGAGAUGCGCCACGCUUGUUUGCCCAGCAUGGCUGUAUUGAAAGAAAUUAGGUCUUUAAAACCUAAUCCACCCUCUUUCUUUGUGGUUUUCAAAGUUUCCCAACCCUUCCAGUGAAUUCCAAUGUAUUUACUAUUUGUUUUCCACCAAAAGCUUGCAAUCCUCCUCUCGAUAGCCUUACAUAUAGAGACAGGAAUUUUGAAUAUAGCCAUGGCAUAUUGAGGGAUGGCCUGCACAACUGAUUUUAUCAAAAUUUCCUUCCCUGCUUUUGAUAACAGCUGCUCUUUCCAACUUUCGAGUUUUGUGUUUAUCCUUGCAAGUAUCCACGCAAACAUAUCUUUUUUAGAACAACCCCAAUCCGUCGGAAUCCCCAAAUAUUUCCCUGUUUUUUCAAUUUGUGGCACUCUCAGUUCAUUUGCCAUAUUGCACCUCAGGGUUGGUGGACAGCUUUUGCUUAAGUAUAUGCCAGAUUUGUUUAGGUUGAUGGCCUGGCCAGAAGCAUAACAGUAUUCAUGUAGGAUUGUAGCCAAGUUUUGACACUCUAGGAUUGAUCCAUGGAGGAAAAAGAUAGAAUCAUCCGCAAACAGUAGAUGUGAUAGGGUGGGACAUCUACUAAUCAGUUGGAUUCCUCUAAUCGUGCCAUCUUCAACAGCUUUGCCCAUCAUGUAGGAUAGAACAUUAGCAACUAGUGUGAACAGAUAUGGAGAGAGAGGAUCACCUUGGCGAAUUCCUCGUGUAGGCUUGAAAGAAGGUAGAGCCUCCCCAUUAAAAUUCACACUAAAAGUAACAGUUGAAACGCAUUGCAUCACCCAUUGUACCCAUUGUGCACAGAAUCCCAUUUUGGUUAGGCAUGCACUAAGAAAAUCCCAUUCGAUCCUGUCAUACGCCUUUUGCAUAUCUAGCUUUAGGAGUGCCUGGAACUUCUUUUUUGUCUCCCGGGUUCGUAGUCUGUGGAUAACUUCCUGUACCAGCAGUAUAUUAUCUUGUAUCAGCCUUCCUUCAACAAAUGCACUCUGCUCCAUAGCAAUUAGAUUUGGUAGCAGGGGUUUUAAUCUAUUUGUCAGCACUUUUGAUAUAAUUUUGUAAAUGAAAUUACACAGACUGAUGGGGCGAAAGUGUUCCAACUUUUCUGGAUUUGGAACUUUGGGGAUUAGGGUGAUAAGUGUGCUGUUCAUAGCUGGAUUGAGAUGACCCGUGUUGAAAAAAUCUUGUAUCUCUAUGAAAAUAUCUUGAGAGAUGUCUAGCCAGUGAGUUUUGAAAAAGAGACCAUGCAUGCCAUCCGGUCCCGGAGCUUUGUGUGCUCCCAAUUGUUGCAUAGCUUGCUUAAUCUCUUCCAAAGAAACAGGUUCUAUUAGUCGUUGGUUCAUUCCAGCAUUCACUGAGACUGGUAUUUGUUGUAAAAGGGGCUGAAAGUUGCGUGGACCAGCGGAUUCAUACAACUUGGUGAAAUAUGUAGUUGUCAUUUCUUUCAGUUGCUGUUCAUUUCUCACCCAUUCAUCUUCUGAAUUUUUCAGCAUCGAAAUCUGAUUUCUGUUUCGUCUUUGAAUGGUUGUAGCAUGGAAGAAUUUAGUGUUUUUGUCUCCCCACGCUAACCAUUUAAUUCUAGAACGCAUUCCCCAGUACAUUUCUUCUUGUCGCCAUAGCUGUUCGAUUUCUUUUGUGAUUUCCUUUGCUGCCUUGCUUUCCUGGGAGAUUCCUGCACCAUUCAUAAGUUUCUGCAGUUCACUAUUUAGCCAAGUUAGCAUCUUCUUUGCAUUAGUGAAUUUACCUUUACUCCAUUUGACCAAUUCCUUUGCCACAUUCUGCAGUUUCUCAGUGACAUUGAACUGGUGGGAAACAGGAUCAGUCCAGAUGUUUCUAACCAGACUCUUACAUUCCUCCUCCUCAGCCCAAAAGGCUUCAUACUUAAAGGUCUUCCUCUUCCGUUUUUUUGGUGGACUAGUGGCUAGAAUGAGUGGCGUAUGAUCAGAACCAACUGCUGGUAUGGCUGUACAUUCGGCAUUUGGAUAUUUGAUUCGCCAAUCUGAGUUGCAUAAAGCUCUAUCCAGUCGUUCUUUAAUCAGAUUUUCAUCAUGUCUCUUGUUUGUCCAGGUGUAUGCACACCCCUUGCAUUCCAUAUCCAGCAGAGAACAGUGGUUGAGAAAAUCCCUAAAAGCUACAAUCCGGUAAUUCUCAGCUCUUUUCUUGCCCACUUUUUCCCAUUGGUAUAACAGUUCGUUAAAGUCCCAAAUACACAACCAUGGCAGAUGAAAAUGAGUGCUCUCUCUAUAAAUAUACUCCCAUAGCAGUAUUCGCUCUUUAAAAUCAUUUGGUGCAUGAAUAAAGGAGAUAUGCAUUCGCUGGUUACUGGUGGACAAAUGACAUUGGGUAAGAAUAGCAUGUUCUGUGAAGGAGUCUAUAGUUAGGGUUACCUCUUCGUCCCAAAAUAUUGCUAGACCCCCUGCUGUUCCCACUGGAUUUACUAUGAAGCUAUGCUGAAAACAAAGUCUCCGCCUCAAUUUUAACACCUUCCGCUCCUGAUUUUUAGUUUCCAUAAUAAAGAUAAUGUUGGGCCUUUCUUGAGUCGUUAAGACUCGUAGCGCUUGAACUGUCAAGGGGGUACCCAGCCCUUGACAGUUCCAGCUCAAAAGCUUCAUGGAUGAGUUGGUGGCUUAUUAGGGCUAGCCACCAGAGCCCACUGAGCUGACUUUGUUGCCACGCUAAUGGGAGUUUCAACCAGUUGGGUAGGGUCAACCAUUGCUGACUUUGAUGAUUGAGCACCAUAGGGACAGAAUCUUUUCCCUUUUUUUGAGGAGGAGAGCUUGGUGCUUCUUACUUUCUCUCUUGUUAAGCUUUUUUCCCCAGCUAUCUUCUCCACCAUGUUUGCUUCAGCCUCUUUUAACUGUUCCUGAUAAAUUACCAUUUCAAAUUCAUUAUCGAGACAGUUGCUACCUCGUUUCUGAGUGCUCUUCUCUGCAAAAAGUACUAGUUCCUGUGAAGGUAUUGAGUGCUGAUGUUCCGAUAAGUUGAUAAUUUCAUCAUUACUCAAAUUGCCAAUUGGGUGGGUUUGCUGCAUUUCAUUCAGAUGCUGGUCUGGUUCAGGGGUUGGCUGAUGGGGAGUCUCAGGCACACUUUCCUCCUCUUCUAGCUGUAUUUCCUACUUGCCAUAGAAAAUUUUUCCAUAUGGGCUGAGUUCGCGGGCCUCUGUGCGUAGCCAGUGUCCAAACCUGCCCGGUAAGUUCUUUGCUAACCCCGUUCCCUCAUAUGGAAUUUUUGGGCAAUUAGUUGCAUAAUGCCCAAUCUUCCCACAUGAAUAACAGUAACUCAGGAGUCUUUCGUACUUAAAUUCAAUCCACAAUCUUUUUCUGUCAAAAUUCACCAGAACACCUGUUUUGAGAGGAACUUCCAAAUUCAACUUAACUCGAGCCCUGCCCACUUUGUAGUUGCUGUUCCCUUUAGCCACUAAUUUGACAUCGACUACAUCUCCAAUUUUUGCUGCUAUGUUCCUGACAACUGCUUCUGAAACUCUCCCAAUAGGUAAACCAAAUAAAUUCACCCAGAACUCACACUUGUUAAAGUCAUAACAGAUGCCAGGGGUGUCGGGGUCACAAUGCUUUAACACUAAAAGGUUAUGCCCGAAAGACCACGGCCCUGAGUCGAGUAUUCGCUGUUUUUCAUUCUCUGAUUGGAAAGAAAAUUGGAAAUAGCCUGGUUCAAUGACAGCACAAGUGAAAGUUUCAUUUCGCCAUGCUUUUUGCAUUGUGGCCAUAAAACCAAUGAAGUUAAUGUUGGUCUUAUUGAAGAACUUUCCAAACAGAGUUCGUCGACAGGUCUGUAAAUUUUCUUCGGGAACAUCACCAAUGAUUUCUACAGCAUCUUCAUCUGACCACGGAUUACCCAGGCUCUUACAGAGGGCAGCCACUCGCCUAUGUUCCUCAUAUAGAUUUGCCAUGUUUCGAUUGCAGGAACAGGGUCACAGUAGGGUUUCAGGACUGACCUGAGGGAGGAUCGAGACCAUGAGGAGCGAGAUGAUGAGACUUUGCGAUUGAAGGGAGAUCUGGUUCGGUCGGCCAAGAGAAUCGAGUAAUCAGCAUCAGCUAAAGGGGAUUUGCCCGAUGAAUCGAGAUGAAGCGCGUUGAGGAGGGGUUGAGCGGAGGUGGGGAUGGGUUUUGUGUAAACGAAAGUGGACUGAGCUUAGGGUUUGUCGACUCAUCCACGAUGAAACGGUUGUGCUGUGAGAUGGGGGAGGAUGAUGGUAGAGUGUGGUAGAGGUGGGUAGCGAGGGUUGGAUUUAGAACUGGGGAAACCUACCCGUAAGGUAGGAGGGAGCUACACAGUCGGUAGGGAGAAAUCUCCAUUGCAGAGAACCUUUAUUUCCUUGGAAGUAUGGAUUGAAAACCGAGGUUUUGAAUAUGUGAAAUCACCAUCUAAUUUCUAAAUGAACGCUGCGGAUCAAAAACCAUUUACAAACUGAUUGCCUGGUCAAAGAAUUAAGUUCAUCUUUCUUCCAUUCAAGUGCCCAAUCCAUCUCUUGACAACAAUUGAAGCAAUCUUACAUAUUAGUUUUCCCGUGCAGGAGGGGAAAGGGGAGGGAGGAUCAAUCCCCGUCGCUUACUUUAAGGAUUUUACGCCUACUAUGAGUUAUUCUUAUUUCAAGAAGCUCAUCAUUAUGCACCACUCGAGACUAGAGGUGUUAAAUGGGUAAGUCAGGUUGGGUUUAGGUACAUUCAGAUAGAAGAGCUAAUGUCCGAAUGUACUCAUAGCCUAUGAGGCCUCCGCCUCGCCAGAUUAGGCGAUCAGGGGAACAUAUAUUCCAUCAAGCCUAGUCAAAACAUAAAAAGAUAACCCAAGGCUUCCUCACUGUUAUCACAAUUUUCCUCUUCUUUCUAGAUGCUGAAAUCCAGUGGCGAAAUUAUUUCUAAAACAGAACUUUCAAUUUGCUUUAUAGAUUUUUCGCUACAUCUUUUUUGAAAUUGAAAAUCCAAUUUGACAUCUGCGGACAUAUGUAAUGUUUUAAUUCCUACAGUGACAUAUCAAUUUGAUUUACCUGAAAAAUUAUAAAUAGCUGGUUACGCAAGUUAUGUAACCAUAAUUCCACUUAUCAGCAUCUAAAACACCAUUAAUGUGGAUAGCUGCAAGAAACUAAUUAACUUCUCAUAUCUAGAGAUAUCAAAGAAAAUCUACGAAUAUGCAUAACCGGCUUGGUGGAUAGUUAUUAAUGGUUGGAGGAGGAUCCGAAUUUCAAAACCGUGAGUACAUAUUAAAUUCUAAAGUUUGAGGUCUUUUCUAUCAUGUGUCCAUCCUGUAUCUUAUACCGUUUGCCCUAUACAAUAUUUACUUAAGUAUAUAUGUAUAAGAGUGAUAAUUCGUAUGCAUAAGUUAUGUUUGUGUCAUGUCAACUUUACAGUAUACUAAAACUAGGUUAACCCAAACACGAACCCUUUCGUAACCAAGUCACAAAAGCUCGGCCAGAGCAUGACACACACAACCCAUUCAAUUAAAAUGGGUUAAAUUGGGUCACUUUACAUUGAAAUGCAUUACAACCAUCCAAAUAGCGUCUUUGAGAUGAAAUUUUAACUUUUAAAAUUCCUGUCCAUGUUUGAGUCAUGUUAUCUCAUCAUGUUGUGUUCAAAAUUGUUUCCUCUCUGUAUGCAUUAAAGAAUUGAUCAUUUUCUCUUUUCUUUGUUCAAAUAUGUGAAUGAUAGAAGGAAGCAUAUUAAUAUUGUAUCAUACUUUCCUAUUAUUGACUUAGGAUUAUGUCACAAUUCGAUUGAGAGCGUACCUUAUUAUGAAUUUACUUGUACUUAUGUUGGAUGUUCAAUACAUUAAUAAUCAGAAUAAAUAUAUUUUUAAAUUAAAAAAUACUGAAUAACAUGCAGGGUAGUAUGAGGUAGCUUGCUAGAAAAUGGGUUCCCUCCCUCCCUUGAAGUAUUCAGCAUCAUUUGAGAAAAUAUUUAUUUAGGUACGUUGUUUAGUGAAAUGUGUCUUUUGUAGAUAUAUUCGCUAUUUCAUUAUAUAGGUGUCACCAAAGUCUUUUCAACAAUCCUAAAAUGAAUGGAUUGAACGAUUUCGAAAGCAUGGACAAUGUAUGGUUGCAGCAUAAAUAGUUGGGAGGCACCCUCAUAAUUCUUGGAUGGGAGGAACAUAUACCGAUUGGCCGAAGCAACGUAUAAUUCUUGGAUAGGAGGAAUCCUUAUCAAUUACUUCCUGAAGUUCUAACAUGAGCAUUUAGAUGCAUGGGCCGAUAGAAGAGGGCGUCAUUCACAUUAUCCUUGAAGAGGUUUCAAGCUGGCUUUAGAAAGAUUUGAUCAAAGAGAGAUGCAUAAAUUUGAGUUUUGACACUCAUUGUUUGUCGUACAGUAACACAAGCGUACUCUAUUCAUCAAUUUGAUACUUUAGCUCUGGUUCUUGUUUAUGAAAGGUAGCUGCAAUUCUGGUCUUGGAGUUCAUACAUUUACUAGUUGAAACCAAGGAUCGUCAUUUCGGCAAUGUGGGGAGACAUAAAGCAAUAGCCUCACCCCUUCAGUUCCUUCAAAAACGACUUCGAAGCAGUUAAAUUUGUGUAUCUCUCUCCUCCUGAUUAAAUGCAGUGUGGACCGGACAUCAUGUUCUCGCUUGAGUUCAUGCCGGAGGAAAUGGUCAUGAAUAGAUGCACUGUGAAGACCUGCAAAUCAUACAUAUCGACCCCGAUACAGCUGAUGGAGAAAUCAUCAUGGAACCAUACUCAGUUAAAUAUCCUGAUUCUCUCUUGACAGCGCAGUAAGGAUACAUAUUAGAGAAUUUCAGAGUGAAUGUUUUGGCGACUCUAUGUUACAUAGUCUGCUCUUUAUAAUGCGCAAUCCAUGCUUGGUCGUGGGACAUUUGGAGGACAGAUUGUUUCCUAUGCCAUUAUCCUUUCCUGGCAUUUUCUCUCUGUUUGCAACACCUGCUCUUCCCGCAAUGACGAGCUUCCUUUGGUCAGCUAGAUUAACAAAUUACCUGCGCUUCGUAAUACCCAUUAAAUUAGAAUGGAGUUGAGAUGAGAAAAGGUAUAUACUAACUUAGAUAAUGCGAUUGUGUCCGCUAAAGCCAGCACAACAUAAUGUUUGAUUCAAGCCUAGCAAAAUUAUAAGUUCCAACCAUUUACUUUUUCUGAACAAGUAGUCCUAUUGAAAUAACAAAAACCAACGAAUAAAAAAAAAUAACAAGCAAGAGAUUUAAAUGGCGCACCUUAUGACUCAAUCUCUGCACCUUUUCAUCAAUGUUCUUGAGUUCAUCUUUCAAAUAGUCAAAGAAAUACUUAAUGUUUCUCAUGUCAUCUUCAAGGACGGAACCUUCAUGAUAGAAUAAGGAACAUCGCAAGUACGCUCGUUCACUCUGGAUGAAGAUCUCAUAGCUGCAAGAUAACACCUUUUUUUUUUUUUUUUUUUAAUAUCAUAAUCAGAUUGUUAAGAUGAAAAUACAAAUGAAAAUACAUACGAAUAAGAAAUCUUUCAACUAAAAAGAUAAUGCUCACCAAGCAAUACAUCUUUUUUUCUCGGAAUCAGAUUGUUAAGAUGAAAAUUCUCUUACGAAUAAGAAAUCUUUCAACUAAAAAGAUAAUGCUCACCAAGCAAUACAUCUUUUUUCUCAGAAUCAGAUUGUUAAGAUGAAAAUCCUCUUACUAAAUACUCUAAAAGCUACUAAGCAAUACACUGAAAGUGAUAUAGACAGAAUUUACAUUAGAAAUAAUAACUUAUGAAUUGAAGACAGCUCCACCACUGGCUGAAUCCUUUCCAUUCAGGAUUUAAUCAAAGAUAAACUCUCAAAAGAACAGACUCGAAAUCCUUUCGUAUGAAUUACACAAAAUUCACAAUGAUCAAGUUGAACACAUAAUGAUUGCACACCCACUAUGGUGGAAACAACCCACUUACACUCGAAGGAUGCAGUAGCGCAUGAUUGAUGUUUAACACUUGGCGAGAUCAUUUUAGCAUACAUCUUACUGAUUCGAUAAGGACUUCAUCUCACGAUUGAGUUUUCAUUUUUGACUCAUGUUUAUAGCAGUCUAUCCAACUUGCCAUUCAACAAAAAGUUACCACAAAGUAGAACCCACACAAUAUAUCUAGAACUUCUCUAAUCAAAAUGCAUCUCACGCAGACAGCUUCGUGCCGCAUGCGUCAAGUAUACAAACUGUGAGACAUGCUAGGUGAGUAAGAAUUUCAGUCUAGAGGGUUAAAAAGUUGCUAAGGCCCCAGCUAUUAUGUGGUCUAUCGAGUAGGCCAACUGAGUAAAUGUUAAAGUCCCCGCUAGAACAAGCAACUACUUCUAUUUUUCAGACCCAAAUUCAAUCUAGAGGGUUAAAAAGUUGCUAAGAGCCCUGCUAAUUCGAGCAAGAAUUUCAAUUUCGCAGACCCAAUUCCAAUCCAGAGGGUUAAUAAGCCUGCUCGAAUAGCAGGCAUUAGUAACAAUCUUCGUAGAGGGAAAAAAUGCCCUUGGUCGAUUACAGAACUCGUACUCGGCAAGGCGAAAAUUCCUAUAUAUAAGAAAUUUUUAAAUUAAAAAUGUAAUGCUCACCAAGCAAUACUUGUUUUUCUCGGAAUGAGAUUGUUACUUGGGUAACUUCAAGCUUCAAAAUCCUAAGUACUCAAUAGUUAUGCAAUUGAGCUCAUGCUGCCAGUAUCUAUUUAGCAUUAUUCAGCAUCGGACAUUCAGUUGUCUACACUGACUUCAAUUCCCUUUUAAACUCAUCAAAAGGUUCCCAUUUCAGAUGCACGUGCAACAGACUCUGAAUUUGACUCCAAUAAAGCCAGCAUUCUCCUCUGUCAAUUCUCUGUUUUGAAUUUCCAUAAUCGAUUCAAACGAAUCGACGUUACAUUAUAUAUCUCAAAGGGGAAUGCGCUAAAGCAAGUGGGAUGAAAAAGCAUACUCUUACAGCAGAAAUAACUCAAAGACUCAUACUCACAUGCACUACAAGUUAAACUAUGGAAAUUUGGGAGUGCCAGAAAGCUGACAGAAAAACAAAAAAUCCACCAAACCAGGAAUAACGAAUUUAUCAAUUCGAUGCAUCUUCUAUAACCUUAACGUCCGGCCAGGAAAGAGAGAAUCUCCCAGACAACGAAUUUCUUCCAAAGAGCCACCAAUUCCACCGGUUCCCCACAAAAGUAACACUCAAUGAUAUAAUCGCGAAAGAGGGAAAAACCCUAACCUGAGCUCGUCGGACGCAGACGACGAACCGGAGCCGCCGGUGGAGCUUCCGCAGGCGACGGCGGAGACGGAGAUGGAGGUGGAGGCGGAGGCGGCGGCGCAGUUCGUCCGAGGAAUAGAGAGAAGUAGGGGUGAGCAUGGUCCGGGUUGGUCCGGGCCACCCCCUAACCCUAGGACCAACCCGUACAGUGUCGGUCCUCAAUUUUUAGGACCGAGGACCGACCCUAUUGAGUCUGGGACCAAGGACCGGACCGACCCAAUGGGUUCGGUCCGGUUCCAGGGUCAACCCGGGACCGAUUGAUAAUUUUUUUCGUCUUAUUUUUUAUACUUCCUAAAAAAGCAAACCUACAAAUUCAAAUUACAUAUCCAUCGACAAUACGGCAUUGCGUAAUUAAACUAUAAAUACCAAUACAUAUUUAGCAAAUCUAAGAUGACACAAUAAUAAAAAUUCCGUAUUUACUAAUCGCUCAUCGAGAUAUGGGACAAGAUGAAAAGUUCUUGUAAUCAUCUAUCUUUAAUAUUCAUAAUCACGUAGAGUUCACUCAACCAAAACAUGAGCUCACACCACUUGACUAGCAAAUCACUGUAUCCACUGCAGUACUACUCUACUCUUCAAAAACUUCUAUCAUUUGACACUAAUUGAAAAGCAGAGUGCAACUGAAAUUCAUUAGUACAAUUAAACCAUAAAAAGUCAAAAUACUUAAUAUAAACUAUGAAUAUAUAACUUCACAUCUUGUUAAUUCACUUGAACUUCUAAACACUUGAAAACAAAACAAACUACAUAUAAUUAAUACUCAACAAAAGUUUUAAAUUGAAAUUACUAUUAGUGCUAUUAAUAGAACAUCUCAAUAUAAUAUAAUAUAACAGGCAUUUUACUUAGGUUUGAAUAUAUAAAAGAAUUAUAAAUAAUAUAAUACAAUACAAUAUAAUAUAAUAUACAGGGUUGGUCCAGGGUUGGACCGACCCAAAACUCUUAGGACCGAGGACCAACCCGUACAGUGUUGGUCCUGGAAUUUCAGGACCAAGGACCGACCCAGUCCCCUUGGGGACCGGACCAGGACCAGCAGGGUUGGGCCGGUCCAGGGUCGGUCCAGGGUCGACCCUAGACCGCUGCUCACCCCUAGAGAGAAGCCUGGGAUUGAGAGGGAAGAGAGCGAGGGAGAGCGAGAGAGGGAAUUUCAAAAUAUCUUUUUGGUGGGACUCUACUAUACACGUGGCGAGAUUUGAGUGGAGCGUCCUGUUGCUGGUUUGGCGACUCUCACCCACGCAAUAUUUUCUGGUGGAUCUGGCUUUAUCAUAAAGAUCCAAGAAAACCGAAAUCGUCUCCCUGUGAAUGUCCGACAUCUUUUCCUGAUCACACGAUUAAAGUUAGAGAAAAAAAAAUCAGAAAUAUAAAAUACCACAAUAAAAGAAUGAUUAAGGAUGUUACACACAUAAUUCGGCCUUGCUCACCCAUCAACUCACUUCCCAUUAUUUUUCGAGUAGUAUAUCCGGUACCCAUCAAUCUUGUUAAGUUUACAAAAAAUAAAAAUAAAUAAGAUAAGGAAUACUAGUAAUUAGCAUUAUUUAAAGAUGAGCAAUAGCAUUGUCAAAUUUAAAAGUGACGGUCAAAUCAUAAACACCAAAACCGAUGCUCUUGGUCAUAAGCAAAGCCCCUCUCUUCUUGUACGAAUGCCUACAAAUAACAUACACCUAGUUAUGAUGUUUUUAAAAUAAUAAUAAAAAACAUGCAGGAUCCCAAAUUCCGCUCAAACUAUUCUAAUCCAAAACCUACAAAGUAAUUUAAUGCAUGUCUUGAUAAAUAAAUAAAUAAAAGACAUAACAGCUUAGUAUGAAUUGGAGCGAAUGAUUGAUAACCUCACAUGUGGUUUACAGUUAACUUUACUGAUUUUUUGUAUUUGCCUCUAUUGACACAUAAAUUUUCUCCAAAAAAUCAAGCAUUGCAUUUUUGAAAAUAGAUAAAUAAUAGUAAAAAGAACAAAAAAUUAAUACAAAUUAACAAAUGACAAAAGAAGAAGAAGACGCAAAGGAGGAGGAGGAGGAGGAGGAGAAUAAAAAAAUAAAGCCUCGGCCCUAUUCAGUCCAGUCCAGUCCACAAAGCCCAUUCAAAUCCACGGCUUCAAUCCAUCAGCCCAUUCAUUGAUUGAAAACGUCCUGAACUGAUUUUGUACGACUUUGGUCUCAAAUCCGAGUUCAGCAAUGUCUCCUUUAAAUCCUCAGUCGAUGCACGUAAACUUUUCGAUGAAAUGUCGCUGAGACAGGGUUGUGUAAUAGUUCUUCCAAAAUUGUCUAAUCUUAAGGCAAAUUGACAUAGUUUACAUGAUAUUGUUUUUUAUUAGCUAUUAGGCAUGAUUUGUUAGACACGUAACCUGCGUUUCAUUUGUUCUGCGUUUCGCAUGUUUGUUUGGCGAUUUGCGGUGGACACCGGAGAUAUAAAAUUGCCGGGAGUCGAUUUCUAGUGGUGGUUGUGUGAAUCUCUCUGCUGCGUUCCUAUUUUCCCUUCCAUGCUCUGUGUUACUCGGGAAAGUCGUGGUCGUGCGUCUAGUGGCCGUACAUGAAGUUGGUGGAGAGGGACCAAGAACAAUAAGAAAACAAUAAAAAAAAUUAUAAUAAAUUAAAAAACGACGACGAUGAUGAUGAAAAAAUCUUACUAGCAUUUACGUUAGUAUUACUUUAGUUCGUUUAUGUUCUCGUCUAUAAUAUCGUUAUUGAAACCGUAGGCAAUUCUUCUUUGCCAAAAUUAGACUUUGACUUGAUUUUGAAAAUUAGCUUACUGGUUGAUGUCCCGAAACUUAAUAAUAAAGCAAUGUGUACUUUGCUCGUCUGGUUUCGGAUUUACUUUCCACACUUUAUUUUUACUUAUCCUUUAGUAUCAUUUUGAUGUGUCAUGCUGUUUUCAUUAUAUUGAUUUUGUGAUUUGAUUUCUUUAGAUUCAUUCAACGAGUAUAUUACUCUUUAGAGUCAAUCACAAGCAUGCAUGGACGCAUAGUGGAGAAUACUACUACGUGUAAUCAUAUCUUUGAAUUCUCUAGCUUAUAUAAAGUAACGUGUUCUCCCGUUAGGCUUUAACCGGUUCCAAUAGGCUGGUUACGAGUAUAUUUCUCAAUGUUAUGUGCGGUUAGGAUUUCAAAGAGUCCACACCGAAGGAGAGGGAUCACACGUUCCCGUUCAAUAAGCUAUUAAACCCACUCAUCCCGCUCGGGAGCAUCGCAAUAGCCUCUGACUGCCUUUGCACUUACUAUCGGCAUUUCUAUUUUACCAAAAUAUUACGAAGGCAAUUUAAAUUCAGCAUCUUAUCAACUCGAUUGAAUCUGUCUCAGUAUUGUGUUGAUCUUGAAUCACUUGAGCCAGUUGGAUUGUUCCGCCCUCUGGGAACCAGAUCGUCUUCUCUGGCCUGCUGCUCCUCUCUGCAACUUUGACCUUCAUGGUCGUAUCUGUUGCUCUAGUCAUUCACUUAGCGGUGAUCCUUUGGCGCGGUUUUUGGCUCCCGAUGCUCAAGGAGCUGCUGGGGAGGCAUAUGUUGGCACAAGAUCGCUAUUAGCAGGAUCCUCUGCCACGAUUAUCAUGUAACGAUGGAGUUUAACAUAAUUUCGAGCCUUUGGAUAUAGACAUCCAGCUUCAAAUUCAUUUAUAUAGUUAAAUUCAAGUCACAAAUCAUUCGGUUAUAAGCUUCUAAUAGUGCAUGAUUGUGACUUCUCCUGAAUAACAAUAAUUAGCAUGUACACAUUGCAUUUUCAACGAGGCAUAACACUAUUUCGCUUUUAGGAAUAAUAGAGGAAGGGUUUGGCUUUUGUAUAAAUUGCGCGCUCGCUCCGAACAAGUAGGCCAACUUGUUCUCUACUAGAAGGAAACAUUUGGCCGAGGCAAGCCGACUUGUCAACUUGUUUUCUAGAAGUGUCGGCUUGGAACCUCAACUUAAGAUUCACGGCUAGUUUCUCUUCCUUCUUUAGUGGGCAAGUUGACUAAGAUUUGGAGGCCAACUUUGAUUUUUCUUCUUGACGGCCAAUGUAGGAUGUUGAUUAUUCAACACCACCCUCUUUUGAUCUGCCCAGUCCCCUACAAACCUGUCCUAGUCGUAGCUCCGUCGAUAUUAUCUUCUAUCGUUGCAAGCAGUGGCCACCCAUUGCCGUAGCAGAGUUCACACGCAUACACCGUGAAUUGUCGAACCUAGCGCUCGUCCCCCCUGCUCAGCAGUUUUCUCUUCCUGCUCGUCCAAACCUGGCGCUCGUCCUUGCUGGAUUGCUGGUGUUGAUCUAAUCUUGUUCACCGGUCAGCUCCAGAAAGUCUACUCGGAAUAGGUAAAUCUCUUUUCCCCUCAAGCUGAUUCAUCCAGAACCUCACUGCUAAAGUAUCUGGUAGGCCUUUAUUACACGGGAGCAGCCACCAGUCAUUUCUGAAAUCUUUCUAUAUAUUUGAAGCAAAAGAAGAGGUGGCAGCAGCAACAAUAUUUUCGUUCUUAAACUGACUUCAUGCCUGUCUAUAUUCCCGAUUGCAAGUUUAAUAACAAAAUUUUAGUAGAAGUUUGAUGUCAAAUACUUGCUGUCCCGAUUAAAGUUGCGUCAUGGUGAUUUGUUGAAUAUUUUUGCCAUCCAUGUUUAUGAAAUUGCAUAUGGCUAGGUCACUCUCGAUCACGUCUUCACGUGUAAUUUCAUGAAUUUACAUGUGUCAAAUUUCAUAAAAGUCAUCCACGGCAUGUUAUACACAUUCGUUGCAUUCUAGAUUGUAUAUUAGGGGAGGUGUUUAACAAAACCACGUGUAGAGUUAUUAGGUGUUGCACAUUUAGGAAAUUGCAUAAAAUACAUUUACAUAUUUAGGGAAAGUCAUAUUCACAUUUUUAAGUGUGUUCAUAUUUGCUGAUUUGGACAGAACUUAGGAUUUUUCAUUUACAUAUUAGGAUGGAAUUUCAUCAUAUUCGUGUCAGGAUAAUUAUAUUCGAAAAAUUACAAUUUUCAUGGACAAGCAUUAUCAUAUCCCACAGACUCCACUCACUCAAUUCACUUCUUGCAUGCGUAUCGAUUGUCGCCGAUCACCACCAUCUCUAGUCGUCGCUCAAUCAAUACCAUCGUUCGUCGUUGCAAGCGGCGACCACGCAUUGCGUAGCUGAAUACGCACGCGUACACAGUGAACUGCCAAACCUAGUGCUCGUGCUUGCUGGAUUGCUGUUGUGGAUCUUAUCCCGUUCGCCUGGUCAGCUCCAGGGAGUCUACUUGGAAUAGGUAAAAGACAUUUUUCUACUUGCUCUCUUUUUCCCUUGAACUGAUGCAGCAAGUUUAAUAGCAAAAUUGGGGAAAGUUGAUGCCAUAUACUUGCUGGCCAGGUUAAAGUUGCAGCUUGAUUGCAUAAUUCAUGGUGAUUUGUUAAUUUUGUUUUAAUCAGGUGAUACAUCUGCACGCAUAAUUGUUUGAGCCAAAACUCAGACCUUUAUUUUUUGAUUUUUCGUUACAUAUUAGCAUAGAAUUGCAUUAUAUCCGUAUCAGGAAAAUUAUAUUAGAAAACUUAGAAUUUUCAUGGAUAAGCAUUAUCAUGCGCAUCUAGGCUUUUUGGAGUGCAUUAUUGUUAAUUCUUUUUUUUGCACAUUUCCUUUGAUAAAUCACAUGCUAUAACUUGGGAAAUUUGGGAAAAUCAUAUCUUGCAUAUUAAUAAAUUUAGAUUGCAUCUUCAUAAAAAACAAAACAAAACAAAAAUGUGAAGUGGAACUCUCCGCGAGUCACGAAGAGUAUUAUCGCCCCAUUCCUGCAUUUUUUUUUUCUUCAUCAGUUUUUUGCUGUUUUUCUUAUUUAGUUUUUCUUCUUGCUCUUUUUCCAUUUAUUAAGAUAAAUGGAAAUCUAGACAUAAUUCCAAUAGACAAGUACAACAGAGAUUAAUGAAUGAUUAAUCACAACAUGAUUAAAAAUGACAAAAGUUGGACUAAAAUUAUAGUUUUGUCAAUUUGAGCAAGAGAACAAUAAUCACUGCUAAUUUUCAAUCACACACACAUAAAAAAAUAUAAAUAAAAAUUGGCAUCCAUGUAACGCGUGGAAAACUACUAGUAAUGUAAAAAAGACAUUCACAUGGGAACGGAAGAGGAGGGAUUUGAAAAGUGAAGCGACAAAUCCAAUUUGCGUCUCCGUAAGUCUUAGUCUUCUUCGAUUUUAUUAAAUUUUCUUUCCCAUAAGCUCUUUAUCAGUUAUACUUCACUUUCAUGACAAAAAGUUCAUGAUACCCAGUGAAGUUUUGGUCUUCCCGAGUUUAUGAUUUUUUUAUAUGAACAAGUAUAUGAUCGUGGAUACUACAUAUGUAUGGGGAUAAUCUCUAAAUAUUACAGAACAAGCACUUGUGAAGAAAAGAAAAAGAAGAAAAAGUUGCAGCAAGAUGGGCGGCAAUAUCUGCUGAAAGGUGAUGGAUUAGUAGUUGAUGAUGGGGAAUCGCUUGAAGCGAGAAUCAUGGUCCUUUGAACUCGAUUUUCUUGUUCAUUGGUGUGAUUGGUAGAGUAUAAUUUUCAGUAGAUUAUACAUUGUCAUUUGGUGAUUUCUGACUAUUCAUUAUUUGCAGAGUAAAAUAAAGCAAGUUGCUUAAUGAAUUAGUCGGUGUGCUUGACCCUUUUCCUUAUUUAGCCUAAAGCACGUGUUUCUAUUCUCCUUAGUGGAUAGACAAAGUUAAUUGUCUUUGAUAACAUGUAUAUGUAUAACAGAAAAUAAGAUGCCAUUAUUGGGCGAAUCCUCAGUAUGUUAUGUUUCAAAAGCAUUUAUUUUACUAAGUUGCACAAAUAUGCUUAUUUGCUGAUCCUAUUAACUUGGUCAACUUCAUACAUCGCUAAAUAAGAAAAAAGGGAUAAGCACACCAACUAAUCCAUCAAGCAAGUUGCUUUCUCUGUAAAUGGUAAACGAGUCCAGUAUUAACAACAUAUAAUCCACUGGAUGUCACACUCUACCCAUUACACUAAUGAACUUGAUAAUCGUGUUCAAAGGAUCGCGAUUCUCCUAUCAAGGUGAUUCCCGAUUAUCAACCACUACCUCAACACACUUCAACAAAUCAUUAUCACCCAUCUUGCUAUGAAUCUUUUGCAUAGAAACUCCCAUGUAAAAGACUUCAUUAAUCUCAUAUUCAUCAAUAAAGCAGAAAACAAAGACAUUGAAAUCAUGAGGUUACUAAGAAUAUACAAACACUAAAAAAGCCAACAAAACACUCGUGAGUGAUAACACUUAUGGCGAAAAUAUGCAUACACUCUAAGUUGGUCAUGUUAAGACUCUGUUUUGGAUGGCCAAAAGUAAAGAUCCAAUAGCCAAAAAUUCUUGAUCCGAAGAAUAAAGAGAGUAAUUGAUGUAACUAGCACUUGUGGAAAAAUAGUAUUUAUUUUGAUUUGUCUAACCUUUGAUGUGCAUCCCUUGAAAGUCUUGGUCUUUUUUUUUUUAAUCUUUUUCGUAGGUCAUCAUCUCAAUCUCCUAGGACUUCAUAGUUUUCUCUCUCCAUUAGUUCAUUUUCACUUUGCUUCACCAUAACACCUUUGUUGUUCAUUACAGUGACUGAUUCACCUAUGGACAUUGGAGGGAUCGUGUUGGGUUCCUUUUUGGCUUCAUCCUUUCAGGUCCUGUUCAACAAGUUGGCUUCUUCCGCAUUAGGUUAUGCACAACAUAAAGGAAUCAGUACUACCUUGCCUAAGGUGUGGAAGGAGAAGCUAGUCAUAAUCAAUGCAGUGUUGGCUGAUGCAGAGGACAAGGAACUUAGUGGUAACCAUCAAGUGAAGCUGUGGCUGGACAAGGUUAAGGACUUGGCCUAUGACAUGGAAGACUUGCUCGAUGAGUUUGAGAUCAAAGCUGCUCAAGUUGAGUCAGAGGCAAAAUCCAGCACAAGCAAAGGUUUGGGGAAAUGGAAGUUCUCUAUAUUUGGCCGACCACCCUCGCUCAUAUCUGAAACCAAGGUACAAGAGAUCAAUGACCAGUUGGAAGAGAUUGUCACUGGAAAGGUUCAUCUAAACUUGAGAGAGAAUGUUGUGGACAAAUCCAACUACACCAGUAAAAGGAUAACCACUUCUCUAUCAGAGCCUCAAUUUUUUGGUAGGGAGGAGGAUGUAGAACAAAUACUCGAACUAUUGAUCAAUGAGGUCAAAAAUUCUAAUGCCACGCUAAGCAUAGUCCCCAUAGUUGGGAUGGGCGGUAUUGGAAAGACUGCCUUGGCUCAACAGCUAUAUAAUGAUGCAAGAGUGAAUAGAUGUUUUGAGAUGAGAGCAUGGGUUUGUGUUUCAAAUGUUUUUGAUGUUCUCGACAUAACAAAGACUAUUUUACGGUCAAUCACUAGGUUGCCCUGUGAGGGCAAAGAUCUAAACGAGUUUCAAGUUAAGUUGAGGGACAAUCUUUUCGAAAAGAAGUUUCUUGUGGUUCUAGACGAUAUCUGGAAUGAGAAGUACGAAAAAUGGACUGAUCUCUUAAAGCCAUUUGUAGUGGGUGCUAGGGGAAGCAAGAUUAUUAUUACGACUCGCAACCAUGCUGUUGUUUCAGUAACAAAAGCACCGCCAAUUCCUUUGAAGGAAUUUGUCCCUCAAUGAUUGUACAAGCUUAUUGGCCUUUCAUGCUCUUGAAGCAACAAAUUUUAAGAGCCACCCGGAAUUUGAAACAAUAGGCAAGAAAAUAGCUGAAAGAUGUAAAGGUUUACCUUUGGCAGCGAAGAUGUUUGGCGGUGUCCUACGUAAUAAAAUGAAUCCCAGUGAAUGGGAAGAUACCUUAAAUAACAUAAUAUGGGAUCUUCCAACGACAAAGAAUGAUGAGGUUCUCCCUAUUUUGAAAUUGAGCUACGUCCAUCUUCCUUCCUAUUUGAAGAGAUGCUUUUCUUAUUGUGCAAUAUUUCCUAAGGAUUACGAAAUUGAGAGGGAUGAGCUAGUACUCUUAUGGAUAGCGGAGGGAUUUUUAGAUGGACAAAAAACAAAGAAAAAUAAGUUGGAAUUAGGAUGGAAUUACUUCGAUGAAUUAGUAUCAAGAUCAUUUCUUCAAAAAUCAAGUGUUGACACAUCUAAAUUUUCAAUGCACGAUCUUUUGAAUGAUCUAGCAAAGUCAAUUGAGGGUGGGAUAUGCUUUAGCUCUGGGGAGUCUCAACCGGCAAUUAAUGAAGACUAUGCAUCUCUGGAGAGAGCUCGGUAUGCAUCAUUCAUUUGGUCGCGGUUUGUUACAUCAAAAUGUUUGAGGGCAUAUCAUGAUAUGAAGGUAUUAAGAAGUUUAAUUUUGGUGCAUAUUGGAUCUAGUGGGAACACUCUCCUUAUAUCCGAUAAGGUGCUGCAUGAGUUGCUAACAAACUUGAAGUUUCCAAGGGUUUUUUCAUUAUGUCAUUGUAACAUCGUAGAGGUACCAAAUUGUGUUCAUGAAUUAAAACAUCUUCGAUAUCUCAAUUUCUCGAACACUUAUAUCGAAAGGCUACCUGAGACUAUUGGCAACUUGUGCAAAUUACAAGCUUUGAUCUUAAGAGAUUGUCAUAAACUUUCAAAGUUGCCUAACAGUAUCACAAAGUUGGUCAGCUUACAGUUUCUUGAUGUUAGAGAUACAAAAAGUCUAAAAGAGAUGCCACUGGGUAUCGGUAAUUUGAAGAAUCUUACUAUAUUAUCCAAGUUUAUGGUAGGAACAGAGAAAGGGCUAAAGUUAAAGGAGUUAAAGGCCCUAUCACGUCUUCAAGGAGAAUUAUGCAUAUCAAAAUUACAAAAGGUGGAAGAUGUUAGAGAUGCUAUUGAUGCUAAUUUGGAAGGAAAGCAAGGCCUAAGAAAAUUAUUCUUGGAUUGGGAUAAAGAUUUUGGAAUUCUUCGGAAUGAUAAGCUCGAAUCACGGGUGCUUGAGUCUUUGCGACCUCCCAUUGAUAUUGAAAAUCUCACUAUUUUGAACUAUGGCGGUGCAAUAUUCCCAUCAUGGUUAGAUGGUUCAUCAUAUUCUCGGAUAGUGUCUUUGAGCUUGUGGGACUGUCCUUAUGUCACAUUGUUGCCUUCACUUGGACAACUGCCUUCAUUGAGAGAAUUAUCUCUUAAAGGUCUAAAUGCAAUAAGAAUAAUAGGCUCUAAUUUUUACGGAGGUUUUUCGUCCUUAAUUACUUUGCAAUUCGAAGAGAUGUUGGCAUGGAAGGAUUGGUCUCCUUAUGCUGGGGGCCCAAAAGAAGAAGUCCCAUUCUCCUGUCUUGAGCAUCUUGUUGUUCGAAGUUGUCCUUCGUUGGUCGGCACAUUGCCUUGUCAACUUAAUCAUCUUAUCAAACUUGAAAUUCAUUCAUGCCAACAAUUGAAUAACUCAACCAGUGAGUUAUGUCUUCCAUCUCUCGAUGAGUUAUACCUUGAGGAGUGCAGUAAGGAGAUCUUAAAGAGCUUGUUCAAGCUAACUUCUUUGACAGUUCUCAAAAUUAACAAGCUCAUAGAGCUUGUUUCCUUUGAUCAUCGGUUUAUGAGUUGCUUGGGCAAGCUAAGGAAGCUUCAUAUAGGACUAUGUGACAAACUAACAUGCUUGUGGCAAGAUGGAGAUGAAACACAAAAUCUCACUUGCCUCCGGGAAUUAGUAAUAAAAAAUUGUCCUCAAUUCAUAUCUUUUGUGGUAGGAGAAGGAGAGAUAGAGCUACCUUGUAAUCUUGAAAGGAUGGAAUUGGUGAAUUGCACAAGUUUAGAAAAGCUUCCAAGCAAGAUGCACACACUUAAACAUUUGGUGAUUAAGAAUUGUCCAAAAAUCAUGGCUCUAAACAUUCCUCAAGGUGACCUGAGCAGCAAUAAUUUGAUUUCUCAACUUGAAUCUCUUAAGAUACAUCAUUAUGAUUCUCCAAUAUCCUUUUCAUUUGCCAAGGGUAGACUUGCUCCUCUGAAGGCACUUCAUAUAGACAAUUGUGAGGGAGUGGAGUCGUUGGAAGGGAUUGCCGUAUUAUCGCUUGAAACAAUGACAAUUAACGAUUGUCAAAAUCUGGGAAGCUUACCACAAUGCCUUCACACGCUCUCCCAUCUCACUCAAUUGGAUAUUUAUAAUUGUCCAGCACUGGAGAUAGAGGAAUUCCCUCCCCUUCCCGUAACCCUCUCGAGUCUUGUUCUUAAUCUUUGUUCUAAGAUAAAGUCUAUUGCCAACUGUAACAUUGCCAAGUAUAACAAUCUCACUAAAUUGAAAAUACAGCAAUGUCCGAUAUUGGAGAUAGAGGACUUCCCACCCCUUCCCAUCACCCUGCAGAGUCUUGAACUUUGGGAUUGUCCGAUGAUAAAGUCCCUGCCAAAUAAGUGGCAUCAUCUUACCUCCCUCCAAGAGCUAAGUAUUAUAUAUUGUCCAAAUAUCAAAUGCUUCCCCAAAGGAGGUCUGCCUCCCAAAUUGCGAGACCUUCAAAUUAUGGGGCUCGUGGCUCUGAAGCAGCCAGUGAGAGAGUGGGGCUUACACCUGCUCACAUCUCUCGAGAUUCUGACCAUUGAUUUUAACAUGGGAGGGGAGAGAGAGAAGGAGUGGUUUCCUUCGGAGGAUAAGGAUGCCUGGAAUCUCUUUCCUUCCUCUCUAACCUCUCUUUGGAUAUAUGAUUUGAGAAACGCAGAAAGACUAUCAAGCGGUCUCCGCAACCGUCUCUCCUCUCUCCGAUGGUUAUCGAUUGGAGCGUGCCCCAAGUUGAGGUACCUGCCAGAGGAUGGCUUCCCUCCCUCCCUCCAACAAUUGCAAAUAUGGAGAUGCAAGAUUCUGAAAGAGCGAUGCGCAAAACUCACUGGCGACUAUUGGCCCCUCAUCGAAGAGAUCCCUGACGUUGACAUCUGGUGAAUUGAUUCGUGCAUCUACACUACAGUGAGUUUUCUUAGGGUUCGAGUAAGUUAUUUUUGGUUUUGAAGGCAUCCUUUUCCAUUCUACUUUCUCAAUUCGAUGCUCAAUACGAACUGAUGUUUGGGUGGGGGAUUGCGUUGGGUUGGAUUGGCUCUGUUUCGUUGGACGAUGAACUGUAGGAUGAAAUGCUCGCAAUGCUACCUCUUGCUAUGUUGAUGACAUAUCCUCAUUUCUGCUCGAUGCCCAAACCAUUUGUGAAUGAAAUCGCACCAGCACGAAGAAUCGUAGCAUUCCACAAUCAUAGUCCUCUGCAUUUUCAGCGUCUAUUGUCUGUUCUCUUCCCAACAUAUUUUUUCUUAAGCCCUUAAGCUCAUUCACUCUGGUUGUUUUGCAGAUACCAUUGUGAUCUUGCAUUGGCAGAAUCUCUUGGAAGGAUCACGUGCGAACGCUGCUAAGGUAGGGCUAAUGCUGUUGGUGUCAUUGUCUUGCUUCAUUUUUUCUUUUUCUUUUGCAACUUAUCAAUAAAGGAAGAAGCAAUUAAAUAUAUUUGUUGCACUGCUAUGUUCUGAAUUUUCCUUCUGGUGAAUAUGAUCUAAAUAAGAACAAAUCUUUUUCAAAAUCUAAAAGGAUGAUUAGUUUUGUGGAAGCUAUGAUGUGAUUGUGAAGAAAAUGGAUGCGGUUUUUUCAUUUUAUGGAUUUCUUAAGAAUAGGAACCUUCUUCUUCCUUUUUUAUGAUGAUUCUUUGUAGUAUUAAGCAGUCAAUCUGGGAUAAAAUUCCGAGGCAGCUCAUGGCUCCAAGCUUUCACGUGACAGCAUUGAUAUUCCAUAAAUCGCUUUCUGGUUGGGUCUCGAAUUCUGGUGGUUUAGGAACUGUUGCUCACAGCUUGCUAGAAAUUUUUAGCAAAUAUACUUAUGCUUGUUGGGUUGAGAUUGUUAUGAUAGGCUGCCUACCUUCGGGUUUCCAUCAUCAGCGGUGACCAUGUGGCAUUCUUCCCAAAAGGAGUUCCAGAACAAAAUGUUCGAGCUGACAUGGGUUCCUUUGGAGUAACUUGAAAUCUUGUGAUUCAACCAAUUUGUAUCUUGCCUGGUAUAUCUCCUCUCUUUGUGCUAGUGUUGCAUGUAUAAAUUUUUUGUUGAAGCAAUGUUCUUAUGACAUUGUGAAGCUCUGUUAAAAGUUAGAUAAUUUGUAAUCUGAAUUGUGGUUCACUGUGUACUUUCUCCAAAGCUUUUUGGAUGUUAUUGCACAUAUAACAUGGUGCUUUGACCACAUAAAUAGGUGGUUAGAAAAAGCAAAGUUGCAUUUGCCAAGAUAACUUUCAAGCAACCUCACAUAGUUUUGCUUGACGCCCCAUCCUAUCAUUUGGUAAGUUCUACUCAUAUUUCUCCAUUUUAUGACUUGAUUACUUUUUCAGUUAGCUUGUUAUUGUUCUUGCGCUAAUUGAACUUGUCGGAAUCUGGUUUUUACAUUAAAAAUAUAGUAGAACCAAAUGGUGGUCAUAGCUGCUGGUAGCCCUCGUCAUCAUACAUCUAGCAAAUAAUGGAACAGACACCAAUCUAAUUGUUCCAAUGUGGAAAAUAUUCAGAAUAGAGCAAUCUACAAUACCAAAUGGUACUGAUCUUUAUGCCUAUAGGCAGUAUUGGGCUUUACAUACAAAUAUGUGGACCCCUUUUUGUUUGUAAAUCCGGUCUUUAAGUUUUGCUUUAAUGACCAGUGACUAAAGAAUUAUCUUUGCAAAUUGUUAGUUUCUUGUCUAAUGAUUAGUGUUUUUGUUUUUUUGUUUUUCCUAUCCACACCCGUAGGAUUUGGAUGUGGCUGAGGCGCUCAUUCAAGGUCUGGUCUUGUUCCAAGGAUUAAUUCUGAUGGUGAGAUUGAUUUCCUUGUCAAAAUACUUCAAUUUGACCAAUGAUGGAUCAUUUCACAGCUAAUAGCCCUCUUUUCACCUUGAUUUGCAGGUUGGUCAUGAUGAGCAUCUAAUAGCUAGAAGCUUGGAUGAGGUCUGGGUGGUUUCACAAGGCAAGGUGGCACCUCUCCAUGGGAAUUUCUAGGACUAUAGGAAUGUACUCCUAUUUUUAUUGAAUCAGGUGAAUCUAGUUAUUGCCAUCGACUAAGAGUGGUUCAGUGGGUUCACAUUACCUCACAAAACAAAAAAUGAGGCUUAGCUACAUAGAGAAAGCAAAAAAGGAUGAAGAGAGGAUUGCUGCUGAUAUACAGGACGGACUCACAGUUACACCAGCCCUCAUUUGUCAUUUAUACUUGAUAAGGGCUUGUGGAACAAUGAGUCUAAGUUUUUGACAGCAUACAGUAUCAUUUGCAAUAGCUUAAGAACUGAGUUGUGAUUGUAAUCUUAGUAUAAUUUAUGAUUCUUUGCACAUUUUGUUAUAGCAAUAGGUUCAUUUGUUGUGCCCCUGGAAGUUUGAUACUCUAUUGCCACCGAAGUCAGUUUUCUCAUGCACACUAAAAUGAUUUAAUCAUUUGCAAAAGAAUAUUUUAGCACAGUAAAUUAUUUUGUAAGACAAAUCUAUUUUGUGAGAAAGCUAUAUCAAUAUAUUUUCCCCAUUUUCACUAUUUGGCACUAUUUUGGAGAAUUAAUUAUGAAACUAUUAUCAUGGCCAACAAAACCCAUUCUUAGGAUGUAGGCAAGCUCUACCACUGAAAGUCAAAGACUGACAUUUGAGCGGGAUUUCUUGUUGGGUUGGAUCAGCUCUGUUUCGUUGGACAAUAAACUUUAGGUCGAAAUUCACUCAGUGCUGCCUCUUGCUAUAUUGAUGGCAUAUCUUCAACUCUACUUGAUACUUAAACAAACUGUGAAGAAAGAUGCACUAUCACGGAGAAUUAUAGCGUUCCACAAUCAUAUGUCUUUGCAUUUUCAGCGUUUCUUGUAUGUUCUCUUCCCACCAUCUUUUUCUUGUGUCCUAGCUCAUUCAUUGUUUUUUUUUUUUCAAUGGUUUUCUUUAGAAUGGAGAACCCUUUUUUAUUUUUUUUAUUUUUAUUGAUGGUGAUCCUUUGUAGUAUUAAGUAAUCUAUUUGGGACACAUUUCUGGGGCAGCUUAUUGCUCCAAGCUUUUAAUAAAACUCCAUCAUGAUAGCAUUGAUAUUCCAUAGAUCACCAUUCUAUUUGUGUUUACAGCUUGCUAGAAAUUUUUAGCCUAUAUACUCGUGCUUAUUUGGUUGAGAUUGUAACGAUAUGUUGCCUGCCUUUGUGUUUGCAUUAUUAGCAGUGACCUCUAGGGCAAAUCUAUUCAAGUCUUUAAAGUAUCGGUUGUUUGCUUUUACUACACUACAGAAUAUGAUUUUGUUAUACAUCAUGUCGUUUUAUUUGCAAAUACCUUCUUAUGUGGCAUUCUUCUUGCAGGGAUUUUCGAUCAAAAAGCUUCGAGCUCACUUGUGUUCCUUUGGUGUAAUUGGACAUCUUGCACUUCAACCAAUGUAUACCUUUAUGAUACAUUGCCUCCCUCUCCGCUACCAUUGCAUAUGUAAAUUAUUUUUGAAGCAAUUGUUUUAUGACAUUGUGAAGCCCUAAUAGAGGUUAGUCAAUUUGCAAGUAGUUCACUGUGUACUACUCUGAGGCUUUUUGGAUGUUAUUGCAUAUGUAACAUGGUGCUUUGACCAUAUAAAUAGGUGCGCAGAAAGGCAAAGUUGCAUUUGCCAAGAUAACUUUGAAAAAGCCUCACAUAGUUUUGCUUGAUGAGCCAUCCAAUCAUCUGGUAAGUCUGCUCUUUUUGUCCACCUUAUGACUCCAAAUACUUUUCAUUUAGCUUGUUGUUGUUCUUGCACUAAUUGAACUUAUCGGAAUCUGAUGUUACAUUGAAAAUACAAGAGAAUCAAUUAGUGAUAACAACUAUAGAGAGCCUCUGUUCUGUCAUCAUAUAUCUAACUUAUAAUGGAACAUAAACCAAUCUAAUAAUUUCAACUUGGAAAAUAUUUGGAAUAGAAUAGUUAGCCUGAUCAGUUUUUUCAUAUUGGAGUAAUCUGUAAUACCAAAGAGUUGUGAUAUCUGUGCCUGUAGGUAGUAGUGGGCUCUAUUUAUAAAUGUGGUCUUUAAGCUCUGCUUUAAUGAGUAGUGACUACUGAAGAAUUAUCUUUGUAAAUUGUUAGUUUCUUGUCCAAGGAUGAGUGAGUGCAACUCUGCUGUUUUGCCUAUCCACAACUGGAGGAUUUGGAUGUGGCUGAGGUGCUCAUUCAAGGUCUGGUCUUGUUCUAUGGAGCAAUUGAGAUGGUGAGAUUGAUUUUGUUGUCAAAAUGCUUCAAUUUGACCAACCAUGGAUCAUUUUCACAGCUAAUAGCCCUCCUUUCACCUUGAUUUGCAGCUUAGUCACAAUAAGCAUCUAAUAGCUGGAACGUCAAAUGAGGUCUGGGUGAUUCCAUAAGGCAAGGUGGCGCCUAUCCAUGGGAAUUUUCAGGACUAUAGGAAGGUACUCCAGUUUUUGUUAUAUCAGGUGAAUCUAGUUAUUACCAUCAACUGAGAGUGGUUCAUUGGGUUCCCAUAUCCUUACAAAACUGAAAAUGAGGCUUAGCUACAUAGAAAAAGCCAAAAAAAGAUGAAGAGAGGAUUGCUGCUGAUGUACAGGAUAGACUCACUAUUACCCUGGCCCUCGUUUGUCAUACAUACUUGAUAAGGACUCGUGGAAGGAAGAAUCAAAGUUUUGACAUUGAGUGUGUAGUAUCAUUUGCAAUAGCUUAAGAACUGAGUUGGGAUUGUACUCCCGGUAUAAUUUAUGCUUUCUUGCACAUUUUGUUCUAGCAAUAGGUUCAUUUGUUGUGCCCGUAGAAGUUUGAUACUCUGUCGCCGUGGAAGUCAGCUUUCCCAUACAUAGUAAAAUGAUUUAAUCAUUUGCGAAAGAAUCGUUUUAGCAUAGUAAAUUAUUUUGUAGGACAAUCUAUUUUUAUAUGAAUAUAUUUUCCCUAUUUUCAUUCUUUGCAUUGUUCAGGAGAAUUAAUUAUGAAAAUAUUAUCACGGUCAACAAAACUUUAUAUUCAACUCUAAGUACAGAAUUGCGUUGACUAAUUAUAAGGUAGGCCUUGUGUCGCCAAAAAAUACUAUAAUGAAAUUCCAUAUAAAUACCUGGAUUUGUUAGAUAAAAUCCUUUUACCAUGUUCAGGUCAACAUUGAAAAUGAGAAGCUUUCUUUCUCCCAACUGCUACGGUGCAGAUGGACAAACGGAACUGAUAGCAGAGGUUUGAGUAAGCGAAUGUGACAGCUAAAUGCUGAAUUUCAUUUUUCUUUUAUUCAAAUACCCACUCCACUCCCAUCUCUUGACAACAUUUUUAGCGGUCCUACAUAUUAUAUUUCCUGUGCAGGACGGGGAAUGGGAAGAAGGAUUAAUAGCCGUGGCUACCCUCUGGAUGUUUCUUUGAGGACUUACGUCUGCUAUGAGAUAUUCUGAUUCCGAGAAGAUCGUCACUUAGCGCCACUGAUGAUUAACUCCUUGAAGGGGGCAAGCCCCACCACAUUUACCCCCAUCGAGGUGCUGAAGAUCCAGGACCAUUCACACGUGACAAGAUACACGCACUACCAUUGCAAAUGGUUUCAAUCUCGUGAGCUCACAUGUUGAAGAUAUACCUUGAAUUCAGGCAAAUGAAGGGAAUUUGAUCCAAAAAGGAAACGUGCUACUAUGGCUUCCAUGUUAUAUACAAUUUUGAGGAAUACUGUUACAUGAGUUCUAUUAAUGGACACUUCUGUUACAUUAUAAAGUUAUUGCCUGCUAUAUGAGGUUUUUGCCAUAACAAUCAUUCCCAUGUUGAGGAGCGAAACUGUUUUCUACUUCUUCAUCGUCAGACCCUGCUUGAGACACUGUCUCACGAACUACUUUUAGCAGAGACUUUUGAUCUGGAGCUGCUGCGAAUUGAGCUUGAUGUUGACCUUGGUUGAGGAAAAAUUGAGUUUGUUCUGAUGGUCGUGAUUUUGACCGGCAGGAUUUGCAGCCAAACAUGACGGCUUCUUCAUUUGCAAAUUGAGGGGCAAAUUUUGCCCACCAUUUAAUUUUUUAAUUCUCUUUCGAGAAUAGAAUAUAUCACGGUCUACUAUACAAGAUCUAACAUGCGAACAAUCGUCUUCAUAUCUGAAAAAUAUUUAACAUGUGAAGAUGAAGAGGUUCUUGAAGCGGCUUAAUUAUUGCAGAAAAUCUUUUCUCCAUGAAGGGGGCUUGAUUCUACUCUCUAAGGGACUCGACAUUUUUGUGUUAUUGUUUUAUUAGGAUUCUUGACGAUAUUGAUUUUGAGUAACUUCCACAGAGUCUAUAUCAACGGGGAUGAAUACAUAAAAAGUUUUGGUUUUAGGAUGAUGAUUUGCAAUAUAAUGAAAAUCCGGAGGGAUGUGGCCCUGCAUUAUUUUAUGAUUGAGAUUUGAUAAAACCUUCUAGUUGUUUUGAGAGAAAUUUGUUAAUAAAAAAAUGUUAUUUUCAUUUUUCACUAUUUAGCGUGGUAAAGAGCUGGUCAAAGGAAAUUAAUUUAGAAAAAAAUUAAGUGGAAGUACAAUAAUAGAACGGAUGAAUAUCUACAAGGGAAAAGAGCGUGCGACGAUGCUAUUCUAUCGCGGUCCUUCCUAGUGAUGUGGAGAUGGACCGCAUAUGACAAGCUAAUUACGGUCUGCAAAACAUGAAAAAUAGUAAGAUAUGGGGAAAGGAUAUGCAAAAAUAUCCUUCGUCGGCCUAAUUCACAAACGAAACUCAACUUCGAUCUCCUCAGGAACAAGUCAGGCGUGUCCCACCGACGAAUUCUAGUAAUUUUAUAGCAAAAAAGUUACUUUUCGUCACCACCCAAUAGUUACGGAUUUUAUUUCGUCGCUAAAGGACCAACCUCUUGCAACGAGAAUUUGGUCGGUUUUUUUGUAGAUUUGGUGAUGCAAAAUUUCAUGGUUAAUCAUACCCGUGGCCGAAGCGUCCAAUUUAGUAUUGAUUAAAUCAUCUCUACCAAUGCAAUUUUUUUUUUUUUUUUGGUAAAGGUAAAUAAUAAUAAAGCUUUGGACAAAAUACAAAAGACAGCGCCAAAGGCUUACACUCUAAGGAAGACCAAAGAGUGGAAGGGUGCCGUGAGAAAAGCCAAAGGCAAGCGGACCAAAAGGAGAAGAUCCACAGUUACAACACAAAAACCAGUACAACCACCAGACCUCCACCAAACAUUCGAAGAAUGAAGAAACGGAGUGAUGUUGAAGUUGUAGCGGAACGAGAGAAGAAGCGGGGAGACUAACGCCUGAGACGAUCCGUAAAGAUGGAGGGAUCAAGAUCCCAGCUUCUUUGGAGACGCCUAUUUCUCGGAGUAUCCGGAACACUUGUGAAUGUAGUCGCUUUAUCUUUGAUUAUCUUCAUAAGGUGGUUCUUCAAAGCAAGGACAACCAGUGCUUCCCCUCGGAAAAUAAUAUCAUUCAUUUUCUUCCAAAUCAAAUAACAAAGGCCACCGAAAGAAAAUCGCGCAAUCCGAUGGUAGAAAUCCUUACCGGAGAGCAACCUGAUCGCCCAAGCAAGGUUGUCCAUCCAUGGCCUCGAUUUCCAAGGUAAAUUGCAUCUCGUCGCCCAAAAAUAAGCAAGUGAGGCCGAGAUACGACAGUUGAAGAACAAGUGAUCAAUAGAGUCCGGAGUAGCAUUACAGUAUGCACAAGUACCCGAGACGAUUCUACUAGAAUGGAUUAGGAAUUCUUGGGUGGGUAAUCUGUUCUUGGUAAUCAACCACAAGUUAAAUUGAUUUCUAGGGACAAUAUCAGAGUUCCAAAUAAAGAAGUCCCAAGAAACUUUUUCCUUCUUUGUUCUAAUGAAAUCCCAUGCAGAGGCAACAGAAAAGGAUCCGGAUGAGUGCUGAUUCCAAGUGAAACAAUCCGGUGCAUUAGUCUGAUCCGGGACAGAGAAACCACAGCUCUGAAGUGAACUCUUAAAUGCAUGACCGAGGGGGGAGAAUAAAUCUGCAACAACAGCAUGCUUAAAGAGACCCGACAAUUCAAUGAUGGAUGUCGGAAAUAAAAGAUCAAGGGGGCCAUCAGCGAGCCAUUGAUCAUGCCAUAAAGAAACCGAAAAUCCAUUACCAAUCUUCCAAGCGAAGCAAGACCUAAACUCUGUUCUUAAUUGCAAUAUUUUUUUCCAGGCCCAAGAACACGUAGAAGGUUUUGAGGCGAUCCAGAAAUUGUCCUUUUUUAAGAAAUUAGAAUGGAUCCAUCGACACCACAACGAUUCUUUAUCGGUGAAAAGGAUCCAUAUGUACUUAAGCAUGGCCGCUCUAUUGCAGUCUUUCAAAUUCCUUAUACCGAGCCCACCUUCAUUUUUUGGGAGACAUAUGUCAUCCCACGCAACCUUAGCCCCACCUUUACCAAGUGUGGAUCCUUUCCAUAAGAAUUGUCUCAAAAUUGUUUCAAUACUAACCAGAACCGACGCCGGUAAGGUAAACACACUCGACCAAUAUGAUUGAAUAGAAUGGAGGAUUGACCUGAUGAGCUGCAAUCUUCCAGCAUAUGAUAGAAAUCUUUGAGUCCAAGAUUGAGCCCUAACAGUGAUCCGAUCAAUUAGAGCAAUACAGUGAACUUUUCGAAGUCUAGAAGAGAUGAUGGGAACCCCGAGGUAUCGCACAGGCAAGGUACCUUCUUGGAAUCCAAAGGCCAUUUGAAUAUAAUUGCGAAGAGACAGAGGUCCUCCAGACAUAAAGAUUUUGCUCUUGUUUCUAUUCGGGAUCAAGCCACUCCAUGAAGAGAAUAUAUCAAGGCCCUUUUUCAUUAAGGUGAUAGACGCCCAGUCAGCUCGACAGAAAAGGAAAACGUCAUCCGCGAAAAAAAGAUGAGUCAGCCGAGUUGCCUUGCACCUCCAAUAGGGAUUGAAUUCCUUAAGAGAAGUCUGGGAGACUAGAAUUCCAGAGAAUACCUCCAUCACAAGUGUGAACAGAUAAGGGGACAUAGGAUCUCCUUGUCGUAGUCCUCUCCCACCGGCAAAGAAUCCAUGAAGCUCUCCAUUGAUUGAAAUGGAAUAUUUGGGAGUCCGAACACAAGCCAUAAUCAAUCGAACAAAAACAUCAGGGAAGCCAAAUGCCGUGAGUGUCGAUUGAAGAAAAUCCCAGUCGAUAGUAUCAUAAGCCUUCUGGAAAUCAACUUUUAUCGCACAUUUGGGGAGGUAAGGUUCCAAAUGAAACCCAGCAAAUAAUUCUUGAGCCAAAAGAAUGUUAUCUCUAAUCCUCCUCCCUUUGACAAAGGCGUUUUGAGAGUAGUCAACUAAGUUCCCAAGGACAACAGCUAGGCGAUUGGCUAAUAUCUUUGUAAUGAUUUUAUAAAUGAUGUUGCAACAUGCAAUAGGGCAAAAAUCUGAGACAUCGCAAGCAUUAGGGACCUUUGGAACUAAAGUGAGGAUGGUAUUAUUCACCUCUCUAAGCAGACAGCCUGAUGUAAAGAAUUCCUGAACUGCCUCUGUUACGAGCGGGCCAACAGUAUCCCAGCAUCUCUUGAAGAAUUCGGCAGUGAAUCCAUCAGGACCUGGAGCUUUCCCCUUCGCUAGAGAGAAGACUGUUUCUCGAACUUCAGGGACUAGCACUGGUCUGGUUAGGUCACCGGCUUGGUCCACCGACAGGGGAUUGCGAAUGAACUUUCUUAACUCCUGCAGGGAAGGCUUGGAUACUCCAGGGUGAGAAGAAAGCAGAUCAGCAAAAAACGUUACAAAUACUUGGGGAACCACCUCAGGGUCAUCGAUAAAAGCACCCGAGGAGUCCUUCACCGUAAGGAUUCUGUUUGUAAGUUGUCUUUUCUUGACAGAAUGAUGAAAAAACUUUGUAUUUUGGUCCCCUUCCUUGAGCCAUCGGAUUCUCGAUUUUUGCCUAUAGAAGGAUUCUUCAUCUCUUCUCAAGUUAACAAAGAGCUUACGGCAAAUCUGCUCUGUAUUGGCGAGGUCAGAAUCAUUAGGGUUGAGAUGAAGAUCAAGCUGAGCAGAGCGAAGAGCUUCCCUUGCUUCCUCUGUUCUUGCUGAAAUGUUUGAAUAUGUAUCUCUAUUUAAAAGUUUAAGCCGGCUCUUUAGAGUUUUGAGUUUAGAAACAAGCCUAAACAUAGCAAAUCCUCGAACUGGAAUAUCCCAUACCUGCUGCACAAUAAGGAAGAAGUCAGGGUGCUGUGCCCAGAAAUCAAAAUACUUGAAAGGCCUUCUCCUAUGAAUCGGGUCAAUGACUCUGACUACCAUUGGGGAGUGGUCGGAGAUACCCGGGUUUAGGAAAGAGGCCUCGGAAAAAGAGAAUUCCAUAUUCCAAGAGGUAUUAACCAAAACACGAUCUAUUUUCCGCAUUUUCCUACUUGCACCCGCAGAGGUGGACCAGGUAAACCUAAGGCCAAUGUACCUGAGGUCGUCCAACUCAGUUUGAGCUAGGCAGUUUGCAAACUCAUCAAAGUAUGGAAUCCAAGUAUCAGAACUACCAAAACGGUCAGAUGGAUCCUUGAUAGCGUUGAAAUCUCCUGCAACCAACCAGGGCGUGUCUUGCAUGAGGGCAUUUAUCCGAAUAAGAUCUUCCCAGAGUGGGCGACGGCGAAUAAACGAGUGUUCACCAUAUAUAAUAGAAACACAGCACGUCUUUGUAGACGAGAUAAUCCUCACACGGCCAUGCACAGCUUGAGCACUAACCGAGAUGGGAUCAUAAUUUAUAUAGUGUGGGUUCCAACCAACCCAUAUUCUUCCACGAGGGGAAUGUUCAUAAUUCGUGAUCCAUUUCCAGCCAUUCAGCAAAAAGGAGGAUAGGGAAUCAGAAGUAUCCUCAGGGACUUUGGUCUCAAUGAGCCCAAUCAAGCACAGAUUAUGAGAAGUGACAAGCUUCCGCACUUCAGCCCGAGUAACGGAAUUCAUAAGACCUCUAACGUUCCAGGCAGCUAUAUACAUAAUUACAAAAGAAGGGGAAGAGGGUUACCUCUUUCUAGAACCCUUAUUCCUACCCACCGUCAGAGGAGGAUCCGUAAUAGGAGGAGGGUCCGGGCAUAGCAGCAGCAGCUCAUCCUGCAUUGUCACAGCUGGGGUAGUAGAGCGAGGGUCUUUCGGUGGGAGAGAGUCUACCGAAAGCAGGUCUUCAUCUUCUGUCUCUUCCUGGAAGCUGGGAUUGACAAUCUCAUCUGAAUAAUGAGGUACUAACAAAUGAGGAGCAAUUGCUUUCUCUUUAGCCGAUAUAGAGGGGCCGUGACCAGCUUUAGAGGGUGCUGCGCCCGUACCAGCAGACUUCCGAGAUGCUGGUGCAACUCUCACUCUCCUUAAAACAAAGUCUUUUAGCUUCAACGAUUGGCCUCCUUCACGAAAAGGAGCUGAGUUGGAGGAGGCAGCCUUUUUUGUGAAAGGCUUUUUCUUUCUUUUGACUUGUUUCCACUCAGAAUCGCCAGGGGGAGGGAUGCUAGAUGGAUCGUCCGCCAUCCUCAAAACCAGUCUUUCUUCCUCAGCAACGCCUUCAGUAGACUUGACUGCGAACAUAGGAUCAACUGCAUAUGUUUCUAUAGUCUUGUGUAUUUCGGCCGAGUUCCCCCCUCCCUGAGGACUUCCAGGAACAGUCCUUGUAGUAACCAUAGGGUUGAUAUGCAUCUCUGUAGUUCGAAGGUUCAUGAGGUGGGGGCUCGAUUGGCCCUGAGGCCGAGAACCAGUAGGAUCAGAGACAUUCUGAACACUAGCAGUUGCUUCAACCAGUAGGGUUGAUAUGCAUCUCUCUACCAAUGCAAUUUUCAUAACUGAAAAAUCGUGGCAAUGAGACAUUUCAUAGCUAAAAAGGUACAUAUUCUUUUUUUGGCCACCAUUGUAGCCACGAAAGUUUUCGUUACUAUUUUAGAGAAAUUUGUCUAGGAUCACCUAGUCCAGUUGAUGAAUUGAUAUCAAUUCAGUCAUAAACCUUUUGAUUGUGUUAAUUUAAUUAUAAACAUUUUGAAUUGAUGCCAAUUCAAUCUUAAACUUUUUGAACUAGUGUCAAUUUAAUCAUAAACGUUUUGACUUGAUGUUAAUUCAAUUAUUCUCAGUAAUUUUGGUUAUAUAUUGCUAACAAGGACGCCAACUGACUUAUGUGGUAUGGUUGGUACUAAUAUUAAUAAUUUUUAAUAAUAUUUCAAUAUUUUUCAAUAUUUUAUUCUUUUUUAUGAUUUUUUUUCUCUCAUUUCUUCUUCUUCCUUUUGCCAGUGACUGGCCAUCGGCCACGGUUGAGCAAGCUAGCCUCACAUGGCCAUGGUGAGGCCAAGCCUCAACAAGGGUCAACCUCACCGGAUCUAGCCUUGCAAACCUCACCAGAUCUAGCUUGGGCAAGGCCAACCUUCGCUGAGUGUCACCUUCGCCCGUGUUUUCUUCUAGAAGAUUAUCAGCACGAUGUGCACCUAUUUGAAACUAACGGAUAAGCUGGCCAUUCUUCAAUUGAACGGAAAAAAAAAAAUUGAUCUCUCUUGCAUAACGAGAUGAGAAAACUGUUACCACAGAUUGCUCCAGCACCGGUCGGCAAGCUCCUUCAGCUCUAUAUUGCUAAAAGAAAUGACUGGAGAAUGAUUUUCCCUUUCAAAGUCAUCAUGGCUGUUAGAGAAAUUAACUCUGAUUCUGUGAUUUUUAAUUUUCUAAUGUUAGGAGUGAUUCGAUUUGUUUUGAGAUUGACUCUAUGAAGAUGGCAAGAAUCGCAGUUAUAUGUAUUUGUAGUAGUUGCUAUAAUUAGCCUGGUAGGUGUUCGUUAAAAUUUCCUAGGGAAAUUUGAGUUGAUUGUCUUACUGGACAAUCAUCUUUUGUGAAUGAUAAAUGUCUUUACUUGUGUACAACAUGCAGGUGUGAGAUUUUAUCUCUUCAUUUUUCUAUAGUCCUCUGCUUUUUUUUAUGUUCCUUGCUACAUCUUUCUAGUUCUUGAGUACAAUGUUGUCAUUUCCACUUGCUCAAGUUGUUUUGGGUAGUUCUGAUAAUCAGCUUAAGUAAGCUGUCAUUGUGUUUGGUAAGCUUUCCUAGUAUUUGCUUUACAAAUUUGGUACCUUACAUCAUGUUAUGAAAAUUGAAUUCCAUAAAAUUGUAUUUAAAAUUGAUCAUAUAACAUGUAUGUCCCUUAUUGCACGAAUAGAGUAUCUCCUAAGUUUUUCUUUUUUUAACAAUAAAGGGUAAUUUUUAGUAUGAUUCCAAAUUUUAGCCAAACAUCAGGAAAUAUUAUCAUGUUCUCAAUUGACACCCGAAUUUUCGUCGAUAAAUCCAGCACACAUUUGUGUAGAAAAUAUAAUUGUAGUUAAAAAAAAAAUUACAAAUGAAAAAAGAGAGAGAGAAAAUAAAAUGGUAAAACUCAAGCUCGCUAGAUGAAAGUCAUCAAUCUAGUCGAAUCCGUGCCACCACUCCGGCCCAAAACUCAUCAAAUAGGUAAAAGCCCGCUCACCAGACCCGUGAAGCUUCAGUCCACACUUCGCACAGGCCCAGAGUCACAAGUCUGAGCUGAAGGAACCAAGCCCACAGAGGAUUUGCGUUUUCUCCCUCUCUCGCCCGAAGCUCCAUCUCCACCAUUCGAGUUUCACAAUGGUCGCUUCUAGUAUUCCGCCAUCUCCACCGCCUCGCAUCGGCUUCUCCGGCCCUCAGACGUAACUCUUCCAGUUCCUCCCACGGGGAAAAGCUUUCUGAGUCGUGCCGAUAGCUCUGCGGUUCCAGCCUCGACUCGUCUUGAAUUUCCUGCAUUCCCUUGAAGCUUCUCAAUCUCACUCGAACUGGAGCCAAUCGUAGCCAAGCGCCUCCCUCGCUCGACAACUUCAUUAUCGUUCGUUUUUGUCACUGCCUUCUCCUUCGGUUUCUGUCAUCUUCGUUCCCCGACGGAGGAGAAUCGCCGUGACUGAAACUCGAUCAGAAUUGGAUUCUUCGCUUCGAGCUCUUCAUCAUUCGGUUACUGCAACAAUUUUGAAGGUAAGCUGUCUCUCAUUCUAUGGAUUUCAUUUUACAAUUCAGUCAAUAGCAUCGAUUCUCGGUCUUUUUUCUGAAUUUCCAGAGACCUCUUCAUCCAAAUUUCUUCUCUAUUGCCCUCCGGACACUGUCGGCCACUGCCAACCUCAACCAAUCGUCACCGUUCCCAUUUCCAUGGCCACCGUCGGAAGCUCUUUCCGCCCCUGUUCUCGGUCGGUCACCAUUGCUGAAGUGCUCGGACUGUGGUCACCACUCUCUCACGACGGUUCCAGUUCAUGAAGCUGCUUCUAUAAUCACCUUAUUGAGGUCCGAUCGUUAAUCGUCACAGGUAAUCAUCCUUUAUUCAAUCGAAUCACAUAUGCUGUGUGUCCAGUUGCUCUACGUACAGACUACUGCAUGGGUAAAAUCUACUAAUUGCUUUGUGAUCAUCUCGUUCACAUGACUGAACUGUAUUGAUAUGCAUAUUUGAGGUUGAGGUGCUUUUCUUUAUCUUCAUAUCAGAAUUGUGCAGUGCGUGCUUGAGCCGAGACAUUCAUCAGUAUAUUUGUCGACUUACUUUCGUCGAUUUGUUCAAUGCAUGCCCGACCGUUGCUCUCAACACGUUGUGCUGAUCAACGCUUUAGAGAAGCUGCGCUUGGAUUUGCUGGAACCAGCUUAUACUCGACUGGUCAAGUUGAGCACUAUACUUGCUAUUAGCAAAGGUGGUCACUGCAGCAACCAUCUAGUUCGUGAAUAAUUCCCCUAGAAAUGAAAAAAUAGGUGCAAUUCUUAAGAGAAACGGCCGCGGUCCGUGAAAACAAGAUGAGAAAAAGAGAAAAUGUACCUGAUAAACCCGUAUAGAGGAUUAAGGCGUUAUAAAGCAGAAAAACCAGAUGUCACAGCUGUAUAGUCAAGCGCAAACAGCUUGUUAUGUUAAUCCUGAUAAUUAUCGGAGCAAACUGAAGCUGUUCGGCUGCUUAGAAAGACACUCCUUUGUAGAUGCCCAAAAACAAUAAAAAUAAAAACCAAGCCCACAACCAGACUUCUUAAGUACGCGCGUUUCUCUCUUCAUACUGCCGGAACAUACGAAUUAAAUGUUCUCGAAGGAGUCCUAACCAAGCCCACAGCCUGACUUACUGAUUGAAUGUUCUCUAUUUUAUUUUGUGGUGUCCCAGUUUUGUGGGUUUUCGAUUGUUGAAUUGACUGAAUUGACAUCCUCUUGUGAGAAUAUUCUCGGAUGGGACUUCGGUUGUGAGGUAAUUAGACUCGGUUUCCUUCGUUAAUCGAAUGGCAGAUUUUUUAUUAGUUUGGCUUUUUAGUUAGGGCUUCUAGGUGAAUUCCAAUUCAAUGCGACCAUGUGAACAUCAUGUUGAUAUAGCUAAUUCGAAAUUAAUAUGAUUUGACUCUUUUUGGAUACUUUUUGGUGAAAAGGGCGAUUCCUCGUAAUAAUUAAAAUAAAAAAAUUUAUAUUGAAAAUUUCAUGAUAAGAGAAAGUAUUUUUCAUGAAAUUUUGAUUUGUUUAAUAGUUUAAAAAAAAGAAGUGAUUUCCUUCUUGUUAUAAACGAAAUGCGGUUUUUCCACCACAUAUUUCAAAAAAUGCAAAAGUAAGAAACUAGCAACUAGCAAUCGUUUUUAUGAUAUGUUCAGAAAGUUUGGCACAAGAUUGUAAGAUGAACUAUUUGAGGGGGACAAAAGAGUAGUCCCUCUAAUUUGCUGGUACAAUAUAGUGGUGUUUUCUUGAUUUAGAUUGUUGGGAUCACCACUCAAAUUAUUUUCAUUUUAGUUAUUACACAGAUUUUCUUUUGAUUGAUUAGUUUGACACCAUUUUUUUUUUUUUUGGGUCGAAAGUUUGACACCAUAUUGAUUUGGGCUCCUUUGGUGUAACUAGAAAUUUUGUGGUUCAACCAAUGCAUACCCUGUUUGGCAUAUCUCCUCCCUUUCUAUUACCGUUACAUAUAAUAUUGUUUGUCUGAUCACUCUCAUAGCUUUUUAUUAUGUGUGAAAGAUAAUUUUAAUUAAUUGUUCCUUUUCGGAUUUUUUAUAUUUUCUUAUGUUCAUCUCGCACCUUAUGUUGUUCUUCUUGUUGAAGAGUCUUCGAUACAAAUGACGUCAUUAUUCCAAUUGUGUUGGUUGAUAAUGAUGGCAAUUAGCAAAAGCUAAGGAAUUAAAGAAAAAUCUGGGGCUUUUACUUUGUUUUUCAAUACAUAUUUUUUAUUUUAUUUUUGUGACUGAAUAAUUUUGGAGUUGGUUAUUAAUUGAAGCAAGAAAUUCUCAAACUAGCACCAAGAUGCAAAAAAAAAAAAGAAAAAUGCCAACUUCCUCACAUUUUGUAUGACAGGACAAAAAUUCUCUUAUCUGGAAAAGAAAAAAAAACGAGGAGGAAGUAUAGAUUGUCCAUUGAAAAUUAGUCUUUUCAAUUAAUUGGCUCCUUGAAAUUUAUUUUAUAUCAUUACACUUUAAACUUUUGCAAUAGGCAUCAUUUUACCCAAACUCCUUUGGAAUGGUGUCUUUAUAGAUUUAGAAUGUUGUAUGAUACUAUAUGUGAAUCGCAAGCCCGAUAGAAUUAGACCUGAAUAAAGUAUUUUGUAUCAUAAGCAUUCAAAGUAAUAGCACAAAUACAAUGUGCAGCCAAGCAGGAAAUUCUCAACGAGUAAUAUCACACUGAGUCACAAGUGUAAGCUGAGCCCAAGAGGCCCAUCAGCCCAAAGCCCAUAAAAAGAACCAAGCCCAGCCACAUCUUGGUUUUAUCCUCUCUCUUUCUCUCUCUUCCGUUUUCUCUCUCUAGCCCUCUAAAGCUUCAAACGAAGAGGCGCUGGGGGAAACGGGAUCGAUUCUCCAUCUCCCGCGGUUCGAGUUUCACCGGAGGUUAUUCAUGGCCGAUUCUAGUAUUCUGCCAUCUCCGCCGCCUCGCAUCGGCUUCUCCGGCCUUCAGACGUAACUCUUCCAGUUACUUCCAUGGCGAAAAUCUUUCUGGUUCGCGCCGAAAGCUCUGCAGUUCCGGUCUCGAUUCGUCUUGAAUUUGCUGCAUUCACUUGAAGCUUCUCCAUCUCUCCCUUAAGUGAUAAGCCAAUCGUAGCAAGCACUUUCUCGCUGACGACUCUUAUCUUUCGUUUUUGUCACUGCCCUCUUCGGUUUCCAUACAGGGAGACAGCCGUGACUGAAACUCUACUGAACUCGGAUUCUUCACUUCGAGCUCUUCAUCAUUCGGUUACUGCAACAAUUUUGAAGGUAAGUUCUCUCUCAUUCUCUGGAUUUCAUUUCUCAAUUCAGUCAAUAGCAUUCAUUCUCGGUCUUUCUCUGAAUUUCCAGAGACCUCUUCAUCGAAAUUUCUUCUCUAUUGCCCUCCGGACACUGUUAGCCACCACCAACCACCACCGGUCGUCACCGUUCCCAUUUCCACGGCCAACAGCAGAAGCUCUGUGCGCCCCUGUGCUCGGUCACCAUUGCUGAAGUGCUCAGACUGCGGUCACCACCGUCUCUCACGAUGGUUCCUGUUCAUGAAGCUGCUUCUAUAAUCACCUUAUUGAGGUCCGAUCAUUAAUCGUCACAGGUAAUCAUCCUUUAUUCAAUCGAAUCGCAUAUGCUAUGUUUUCAGUUGCUCUUCGUACAAACCACUGCCUGGGUAAAAUCCACUAAUUGCUUUGCGAUGAUCUCGUCCACAUAACUGAACUGUAUUGAUAUGCAUAUUUGAGGUUGAGGUGUUUUUCUGUAUUUUCAUAGCUGAAUUGUGUAGUGCAUGCUUGAGCCGAGACAUUCUUCAGUAUAUUUGUCGACUUACUUUCGACGAUUUCUUCAAUGCAUGUACGACCGUCAGUCUCAACACGUUGUGCUGAUGGAACCAAGCUUAUACUCGACUGGUAAUGUUUAGCACUACACUUGCUAUCAGCAAAGGUGGCCAUUCGGUUCCAUGUCGGAGCAAACCGAAGCUUUUCGGCUGCUUAGAAAGAUAUUCCUUGCAAUUAAGAUGCAAAAAAACCAGACUUAGUAAUUUUGCUAAUGAAUUGGCUGAGUCACGACUAACCAAGCCCACAAUAGAGAACAAAAUCUUCUUAAGUACGCGAGUUUCUCUCUUCGUUCUGCUGGAACACACGAAUUGAAUGUUCUCAAAGGAGUCCUAAUUUUUUUGUAAAGAAAUCCUCAGGAAGCAAUGACAUACCUACAGGAUGUAGACGCAUACUAUCUAAGUUUAAUAUAAAGAGUUAGAAACUAUCAAAAUAUAUCAGGAAUAGGACGUGCUUACAAUCCGCAAAAGUAAAAGGAAUUAGAAGAAAUUGUUACGUGUAAUGAUCCGUUAGAAUUACUUUAAUGUUACUAGCUAAACUUCAUCAAUGAAGAUCACGUCAUUUAAUUAUAAACUGAAAUGUGUGGAAAUGGUGUAAUUUAGCUUAUCAAAUAGAGUUGUGUUUGGCACCGCUCUUUCUCUACAAGGUUUCCUUUCUUUUCCCUUGAAGCCACCUCCUAUCUGCAGUGUGUCCCUGAGGGGGAGAGGUCCCUUCCUCCCUUCCUCCCUCCUUCCUUUCUUCCCUUUUUCGAAGUUUUCCAUAUUUCUUUUUCUCCCGAUUUGUUCUAGGAGUUUGUGUAUAAUUAUAUUUUUGCAGCUGAUUUUGGAUGAGUGUGGAGACUAGCUUGGCCAUCCAUCUAGUCGACAACCACUGAGGAUGGUGUUCAUAAUAUGGCUCCACAACCUCUUCAAGGUUAUGCUGUUUUCUUCUCUCGAUUUGGACUUAGGUGAAGCUUGGGUUUUACUCUCUCAAACUCGAUCAAAAUAUAGAUAUGUGAGCUCCUUAUAAGUACUUGAUCCGUGUUCUUUCAACAUUUUGAUGCUGGUGUCUUUGCAAGAUAAUUUUGCAAGAUAAUGGUGAUGAAGACAUUGGACCUAGAUGUGCACCCCAAGCCUUUGCAAAUAAAGUGGGAGAUUUUGGCGUGUACUCAUGAUUGAAUCUAGUGACCAUCCAUCAAUCGUUUAUGGUGUCAAAGUUGUUCUUAAGGGAUGAAAGUGUGCUUCUAGCUAUAAACUAUACUUUCUUAUUUGCUUUCUAACUUUUGAUUUGUUUUGCAAUUAUUUGGGAUUUAUUAAGCUUGAAAGCCUUCUAUGUACCUCUCGAGUAUUAUUUUGAUAUAUGAAUAGUAUCUUUCUUUUCACAAAAAAUAAAUAAAUAAAUAGAGUUGCGCUCGUCAUUUACUUAAGGUACAAGUAGUUACAACUGAACUUUUGGACAGGAGACACGACAACCAGAAAGAUUACAUAUAAAAUGUUGCAAACAACCGACAACUAAAAAGUUUUACGUAUCAGAACUUUUGAAUUGGAAACAACUUACGAAAAAUAUGAUAAGAACAAAGAUAUGCACUAAAGAUGCUCUAAUACUCUCCUCAAUAUGAUCAGGAUACCACCUCGAAGAGAUUGUUCUUCAAAAGACGAAACAUAAUCAGUUGCAAAGAUGUCAAUUGAAAAAUCAAUAGUUGGAAUUGCCAGAUAAAAUGGAUAUUAAUGUCAAUAUACUUCGUGUGAGCAUGGAAAAGCCGGAUUAGCAGCUCGAUAAGUGGCUCCAACAUUAUCACAAAUGACUUCAACAGGUUUAGGCAAAAAUAUAUGAAGAUCAACUGAAAUCUGCCGAAUCCAAUCAAGUUUCUGCAACUCCAUCGGCGAAACUCCUGUAGCCAGAUUUCGCAAGUGGGUUGCUCUUUUAGCAUGCCAGAAUAAUGUCGGACCCAAGAAAAGUCACACAUCCAGAUGUUGAGACGAGUAUCAAGACAACCAGCCCAAUCAGCAUGAGGGAAACGUCACUAAGGUGCUGUCAAGUACGGCUUCAAAAAACAGACUACCAACUCAAGUUCUACUACUCACAUAUCGCCGUAUCCUGGCUGUGAAUUGCGGUUUUUGCUUUUCUCGACUUGAUUUAGUUGACCACUUAUUUUUUGGUUGCCCUAUUCCUAUUGCCUUAAUCAUUUUUUGGGCUGCUAGAUUUAAUUUCACUUGGCGGAAUAAAUCUUGGGUGGAUAAUCUACUCUGGGCGAUCAAGUACUAAUCCGGUGCUUCUUUUCGCUCCUCUCUUGCUCGGUUCGGGUUUGCUGCUCUUUGCAAUAUCAUAUGGAUGGAGCAGAAUAACAUACUUUUCCGGGGUAGACCUCCUUCCCUCUCCGCCAUGAAAGGACAUCUUGAAAGAGUUAUAAAGGAAAAAGCUUUAUCCUUCCAUCAUGUUCCUCCCACUGCUGCAAAUAGAAGACUGCUACAAAGCUGGGCACUCAAUCAUUCCAUUUUAGCGGACUAAUCUUUUUGUUUGGUCAUCCGGCUUUUGAGUAGGAGGUUUCUCCUUCAACCUUUAUUGUUCGGAGGUUUUUUCGAAUUCCUAGAUGCUGCUAUGGAAGCUUGGAGUGGAGGUCUUUUGCUCCUCACUAUGGCAACCGUCGCUUUCUUAUCUACCUGUCCUAGAGCGGGCUUUUGGGUUUCUCUUUUGUUUUGCUGUACCCUCUCUGGUCUCUAUUUUGGGGUAAGCUAGCUGGUUCUCUUUGGCUGCUGUUUAGUCCUUUCCUAUAGCCGCUUGGCUUAUUUCCGUUUACCUUGGCCCUUUUCCACUCGCUCUGACUUCUAUCUUUGUGAGUGCAAGUUUUUGGGUCCGAGAUCUCGCUGUAUAGCUCUAUAUAGCUUUCUGGUUUAAAAUCAAUAUAAUUCUUACCUUUACUAAAAAAAAAAAAAAAACGGCUUCAAAAAGAGUCCAUAAUCGGUAGUUCCAUAUAAAAAUCUAAUAAUGCACUUUACCGCUUGUAACUGAGGUAUACGAGGGCAAUGCAUAAACUGAUUCACAAUACUAACAGCAUACGAAAUGUGUGGUCUAGUGAUAGUUAAUUACUAUAAAGCCCCCCAUCGUGCUUCUAUGUUCGAUAGGAUCCAUCCAUAAAUCUUCUUCCACCGCUGUCCCAUUGGACUUUCUAUUUUUGGUAGUGGAUUAUCAGUGAUUUAUUUUCCCCUAAGUUUUAAUUUGAAUAUUUCUUUAUUAAUGUUAUGGUUUUCUUCCUUUAUAGAGAUCUUGAAUAGUCAACCCGCGCCUCUAUUAUUCUUUGUUGUUGUCAAAAUUUCUUGCAAAUCGUACAAUUUUUCUGAAUUUUGAGGCAAUCUCUUAAUCUGUGUAAGUACUUCUUUCUUUCUGAACUUCCGCUUGCUAUUUUUAUCCUACCGUUAUUACAUUUAUAAUCGGAGUACCUAAUCCACAUGUGAAAUUAUCUUUAUGAUUACAUUCUUGAAUUUCUUCAUCUUCCACUAAUUCAUAGGCGUAUUCUUCCUCUGUUUCUUAUGACAAUGACACAGUUUCUAGAAUUUCCAAUUGAUAUAUGUUCUUUUGAAUUUGCAAUUUGACUCAUAACAGACUACUUCUUUGUUUCUUUUAUUUAUGAAUUUCUUUCCAUACUUUUCUCUAUUGUUCUUAUAUGAUAUGAGCCAUUGAGAUGAAUGACAUGAGCAAGCCACCGUUCGGUGAAAAGUACAAGUUACUGUAAAGCAAAUUGAGCAUCCACCAGGCACUUAUAAAUGCAAAUGGUACUAUAAGCACUUUUUUUUUUCAGUACAUGACAUACAUGCAAGAUCAAAGAGAAGUUAUAUCACUUCAACAAAACUUUAUAUGUAUCUGAAAUAGUUAUUCAAUUAAUAAUAUCAAAGCAAACAUCAACGAGUUAGUUUAUUAAUCAAUCUAAUGCUUAAUAUCGAACUAUGGUCACGUUUAACACUCCGUGACGAGACCUAGCAAGAUUCCCUUUUGACGUAGGUCUCCACUUUAUAUAAGCUAGCGUCUCGACCAAAACAGGACAUAUUGAGAACUGUAUACAUACUCAUAACCAUUGAAUGGGUUCAAAUUAUAGCUGCAAGAGCAUAAACUCCUCCAACCAAUCACGUAAGUAUUUCGCCAUUCAUAAACUAGUUCACUAAUCAAUAUAUGUAUCGUUGCACAAUUCUUUCCAUAAGGAAGAAUGCAUUUCACAUGGCCCUUCUCAAACCAUAUCACAAAUAAUUAAUUUUCAAACUAUUUCAAGAGAUACUUUGCUAUGCCAUUUCAGUAACAAAAGCAUAUUCAAUGUUAGAUCAUGUUUUAUGCAAAAAAAUAUACUCUAAACACCACUGUUUUUUUUUUCCUUUUUAAAUGAAUAGCAUACCAUGUGUUACCUUUUUCAUUGCUUAUGGCAUAAGUAUUUUUUGUCAUUAUCAGGACAUGAGUUCACAAAUCACACAAUAAAUAAGCACCGCUCACCUGAAUAUGCGAAACCAAACAAUGAAAGCUACCUUACAAACAGAAAAAUCAAGUGAGAAAUGUAGAUUGAAAUUAAGUAUUAACUACCUCAACUAAAAGUACAACUAAGCUUAUUUGGCAACAAAACAACUCCAAUGUGCUAACAAAAAGCUCACUUAAAGUAGAACUCACGAGCGAUUUUCAAAAAAAAUGAGCUCUAAAGAAUUUUGUCACAAGUGGGUCCAAAGUCAUUAGAAAUUUAACCCGACCUUCGACCCAAAAGAGGUCCAGCAAAGGGUGAAAACUGGUGUCAAACACAGUAGUUCAUACAUGGUUCCAACAGUGCACAAUGAACUUCAAAAUUUCAUCCCGACCAAAUCGUACUCCCAAAUUUACUUCCAUAAAAUCCCAUAUUUCCGUGAGACGGUAAAUUUCAUCGCAAUAUGAUUUUAUAGCUCAACAACUUCUAGAAUCAACUCACCAACCUAAAUCCCAAAUUGAGUUGAAAUUAUAGCUUAUCCAAGAAAUUUUUUUCAAUUAGAUAAUUUAAGUCCUUGAAUUUUAUCGAACGGUUCGCAAUGGCGCUUAAGAUGACCUAAACCCUCUAUCUCUGUCUCAUAACUAUUCUACUUUCUCCUGUUAACCUAGCUCCAACAUUUACAAAUAAGCUGAAGGAAGUUAGUCCGUUGGGCUUCUAAGAUGGAGCUUCAUGGGAUAAAAUGAGAAUUGGCCCAAUUGGGUCUCUUGGGCCUAAACCCAUUUUCUUUUCAUGGUGGCGGCCUGUAAAGUCUUAGACACAGGAUGAGGGGAAAAUAAUGAAUGAACCCUGAGCAUUUGAGCUCGGCUCAAAUCGACCAUCGAAUGGUGUGGGCUCCUUGUGAAAGCUAACUUUUCACAGUUGCACCUGAAUAAUUAUGAACCUAAAAUUCAUUAUUUACAAUGCAAAAUUUCCCUAUAGAUGGAGUCAGGUUAGUAAUUGGGUAAUUAAAUGUGAGAUGAUUAGUCUAGCUAGUAGCGCCAGUGACCGCGUUGGAAUAAGUUGUCCUGGCGGUGGUGUUGAUGACCACAGCGUGGCAAUGGCCGUGGGAUCGGUGGCGCUCUCUCGGUCGCCCCAUUCCUAAUUUUUUUAAGUUUUGCUGUUUUGUCUUCUCCGUUUCUCUUUAUGCCAUUUUUAUUUUAUCGAACUUUAACUUGUAAACAUAAAUGGAAACCUAGACAUAAUUUUAAUAGACACGCGCAAUAGAGAGUAAUGAAUGAAAAACCCCGACAUGAUUAAACAUGAAAAGAGUUGAAUGAAAAUAGUAUUAUUAAUUAUAUAUAAUACGUGAAAAUUCUGCUAGUAUUGGAAAAAGAGUCACGUAGAAAUGGUAGAGGAGGGAUGCGAAAAGUAAAGCAGCAAAGCCAAUUUGCGUCAUGCAAUCUCUUGAUCUUUGUGGAAUUUUAAAGUUUCUUUCCAUUGGUAGUCUUUCUUUAAGUGCUUCACUUUUGCUUCACAUGUUAGGCAUAGAAAUUACCAAACAAGAUAGCACAGGAUAUCCAAUAAAGUCUUUGGGGUAUAUUCCCCGAAUAUUACAAAACAAACUGUUGUGCACAAAAAAUAUUUUAUUUUGUUGGCUAUAACCUCUAAUAGGCAUCUUUGAAAGUCUUGGUCUUUGAUUAAUCUAUGGUCGUUUGGUGUGGCAAGUAUAUUAUAUGUGUGUGAUGUUGUGUAGUGUAAUUUUCUAUACAUUAUAUGGUAUUAAUUGGUGAUUUUGACUUAUUCAGUAUUGCAAAGCAAGUUGCUCAAUGGACUAGUUGGUGGGGGAAAAUUAUUCAAAAUUCCUAAAUUUUAUUGCACUUUUUACCGAUUCAUCAUAAAUCUUUUAAUUAAGUCAAUUUUUUUGGUCAAAAUUGUAUCAAUUAAAUCCUUAACCUUUUCAUAUUUUGUUAAUUAAAUCCAUUUGCCCAAUUUUAAUCAGAAUUCAUUGAUAUUGACACCAGCUGUCCUAUGUAGCAGGACAACUAGCGUUGAUGUGGAUAAUUUUAAUAUUAUUUUAAUAUAUUUUUGGAAAGAUUCCAAAUAAGUGUCUGAAGUAUUUUCAUUUUCUAAAAUAAAAGUUUGAAAUAGACUUUGUUUCAAACAAAGACUUGAAGUGCCAUUGUUUUCACAAAUAAGGGCUUGAAAUGGCUAUAUCUAUUUCAAAUAAGAGCUUGACUGUUUAAUUACCUAGGGCGCGUUUGGUAACAUUUUUGUUCAAAAAUUGUUCUAGGGAACAGAAAUAAAAAAAAAAAAAAAAACUAUUUUUAUUCCGGGGAACAAUUUUUGAACAAAAGAAGGCGUUUGGUAAACUUGUUCCGGGAAUAAAAAAUAAACAGAAACACGUUUGGUAAAUUUGUGUUCUUUUUUUGUUUCUUUUAAUUUUUUAAUAUAUUUAUUUCUUUUUUCUUUUUUUUUUCUUCUUUUGGCCUGUCGUCGACCUCAGCCAUGGCCGGAGACCGGACGACAAGGGCCGGCGGCCUUGCCUAGCCACGGCGAGGCUCGCCGUGNNNNNNNNNNNNNNNNNNNNNNNNNNNNNNNNNNNNNNNNNNNNNNNNNNNNNNNNNNNNNNNNNNNNNNNNNNNNNNNNNNNNNNNNNNNNNNNNNNNNUGGUGCGGGGCGAGGCUAGGUGUGGCUUGGCCUCGCCGGGGCCACCCCCAGGCCGGUGAGCUUUCCGGUGGUUGGGUAAGGCGAGCCUCGCCAGGGGCCGGCGACGCUCCAGGAGGUCGCCAGCCCUAGACGGCGUCACCGGCUCUCAACGACCGGUGGUCGGCCAUGGCCAAGGCCGACGACCGGUCAAAGAAAAAAGAAAAAGAAAAGAAGAAAAAAAAGAAAAGAAAAAGAGUGGAGAGAGAAAAUUGUUCCAGAAACAAGAAACAUUUGGAACAAAGAAGAUAAUAAAAAAUAAUUUUGUUGAUAAACAAAUGUUUUUCUUGUUUCUCGUUUCUGUUCCAAAUGUGUUUCUAGGAACAAACAAAUAGAUUUGGAACAAAAACGCAAACAAACGCAUUUCUGUUCUUUUUUUGUUCACUGGAACAAAAAAAAUAGAAAUUUUGUUGAUAAACAGAAAAAAAGAACGUUAACAAACAGGGCCCUAAUGGCAUUUUCAUCAUCUAUAUUUUUUACGUUUUUCCUUUUUCUAGUUUUUCUUUCUUCUCUGUUGGUGGUCAGCUGGGCACUGGCAAUGCCCAAAGAGAGCUAGAUGAGGGCCACCCUCACCAGCCAUAAGUAAGGGAUGGCCUCCCCUUAGGAGAGACCACCUUUGGAACCAUCGGCGAGGCUGAUGAGGCUAUCUUCACCCUAGGGGAGGCAGCCCUCUCGACCAUUGGUGAGGUCAGCCCUCGCUAGUGGCAAACAAGGGAUGGCCUUGCCUAGGCGAGGCGACCCUUGCCUCAAGUGAGGUCGACGAGGGUCGUCGAGCCCUCACUAGCCCUUACCAGUCGUCGGCAAGGGCCACCUAACCCUUGUUGACCCUCGCUAGAGGUCGCAUGAUCCUUGCUCAAAAAUAUAUAAAGAAAAAAGAAGAUAAUAAAAAAUAAUUUAAAAUUAAAUUUUAUUUAGAUGAAGACGCCCUUUAACUAGUCAAAAUACAAAGUCGACCAACGAUUGACAUAGUUAGACCCUUAUUUGAAACAAUCAUGACUAUUUCAAGCCCAUAUUUGAAAUAAUUAUGGUCACUUUAGAUCUUUAUUUGACACAAAGUCUAAUUCAUGCUCUUAUUUGAGAAAAUGCUAGCACUUAGGCCAUUGUUUGGAAUUUUCCCUUUUUUAUUCAUUUGUUUUAUUUUCCUUUUUUCUUUUCUUAUAUAUUCCUUCUUUAUUUAUUUUUUUAAAUUUUAUUCUCUUUUACCUUUUUUUCUUUCUUUCUUUUUCCCUUUUCCCCUCCGCCCUUACCUUUUUUUUUUUCUUUUUUUCUUUUUCCCUUUUUCCCUUCGCUAGCCAUCACCUCGUCAAUGGUCAAUGAAAGGAAAAGAAAAAAGAAAAGAAAAGAAGAGAAAUGGAAAAAAAUAAGAAAGAAUUUCGAAAAAAUAUUAAUAUAUUAAUUGCUCAUGUCAAAACCCGUUGUGUCAUGUAGAACAGCCAAUGCCCACAUAAGUGAUUUCUGACCAAAACUAACUAAAUAGACUCAAUUGGCAAAACGUGAAGAUCUGUAGAACUAAAUUGACAUAAUAUUAACGUUUACAACUGAAUUGACAAAAAUACAAUAAGAUUAGAACUUUUGGACCAUUUUUCCUUAAUGAUUGUGCCAAACCUUUUUUGUUGUUUUGCCUUAAGUAAUUAUUUCUAUUUUCCUUAUCCAACACAGAACGUUAGCCACCCAUGAUGACUUGUAGAUGUAUAACAAAAACUAAGCUGCCAUUGCUUGGUGUAUCAUUUGUUUAUCUGAAGAUUCAGUCAGUGCAAGCAGCACAAAGAUGCUCAUUUGCCAGUCCCAAUUAUGAUGGUUAGCUUCAUUCAUCUUAAAAUAUUUGCUAAUCUUUUGGCAAGAACUUUACGUGUUCGUCCAGAUUAAAGGACUAAUCGAGCACCUUCUUAUUUAUCCAUAAUAUACUCAAGGUAAUUGUUUUCUUAAACAUUUGGGAAUUUCUAGGGCUGUAACGGCCACGAAAAAGCCCACGUUGAUUGCAUAUUCAACGAUAUGUAGAAAUCAUUAGGAUACUAGAAAUUUACAGAUGCAUUCAAAGCCAAAAAGCAAACAAAACACAGGUAAGGAAAGAAAAGAUGCGUGGACUAGGUCAUAUUAAAAAAAAAAAAAAAUCUUUUGUCCUCUGUUCUGGACGCCCAAAAGAAAAAGGUCCUCUGCAUCAAACGACAGCGAAAAAUCUUGAUAUGAAGAAAAAGGCGAACAAUUCACGAAAUAAGCACUUGUAGAGAGAAAAUAUUUUACUUUGAUUUGUCUAACCUUUUAUGUACAUCCUUGAGAGUCUUGGUCUCUGUUUAAUCUUUUUGAUUGGUGAAAGUUUUGGUCAUCUUGAACUCUAUAGUUUCUCUCUCCAUAGGCUCAUUAUCACCUAGCUUCACCAUAUCGCGUGUCGUUUUCCACAAUGACCAAUUCAACAUAUAGAGAGAUCGUUCCUGGGUCUUUCAUGGCUCCCUUCUUAUGCUAAUUUAUAGUAUUGUUAACUUUAAACAAGACAUAUAAUAUGUCAAAGUGCUAUUUGUACUGAAANNNNNNNNNNNNNNNNNNNNNNNNNNNNNNNNNNNNNNNNNNNNNNNNNNNNNNNNNNNNNNNNNNNNNNNNNNNNNNNNNNNNNNNNNNNNNNNNNNNNNNNNNNNNNNNNNNNNNNNNNNNNNNNNNNNNNNNNNNNNNNNNNNNNNNNNNNNNNNNNNNNNNNNNNNNNNNNNNNNNNNNNNNNNNNNNNNNNNNNNNNNNNNNNNNNNNNNNNNNNNNNNNNNNNNNNNNNNNNNNNNNNNNNNNNNNNNNNNNNNNNNNNNNNNNNNNNNNNNNNNNNNNNNNNNNNNNNNNNNNNNNNNNNNNNNNNNNNNNNNNNNNNNNNNNNNNNNNNNNNNNNNNNNNNNNNNNNNNNNNNNNNNNNNNNNNNNNNNNNNNNNNNNNNNNNNNNNNNNNNNNNNNNNNNNNNNNNNNNNNNNNNNNNNNNNNNNNNNNNNNNNNNNNNNNNNNNNNNNNNNNNNNNNNNNNNNNNNNNNNNNNNNNNNNNNNNNNNNNNNNNNNNNNNNNNNNNNNNNNNNNNNNNNNNNNNNNNNNNNNNNNNNNNNNNNNNNNNNNNNNNNNNNNNNNNNNNNNNNNNNNNNNNNNNNNNNNNNNNNNNNNNNNNNNNNNNNNNNNNNNNNNNNNNNNNNNNNNNNNNNNNNNNNNNNNNNNNNNNNNNNNNNNNNNNNNNNNNNNNNNNNNNNNNNNNNNNNNNNNNNNNNNNNNNNNNNNNNNNNNNNNNNNNNNNNNNNNNNNNNNNNNNNNNNNNNNNNNNNNNNNNNNNNNNNNNNNNNNNNNNNNNNNNNNNNNNNNNNNNNNNNNNNNNNNNNNNNNNNNNNNNNNNNNNNNNNNNNNNNNNNNNNNNNNNNNNNNNNNNNNNNNNNNNNNNNNNNNNNNNNNNNNNNNNNNNNNNNNNNNNNNNNNNNNNNNNNNNNNNNNNNNNNNNNNNNNNNNNNNNNNNNNNNNNNNNNNNNNNNNNNNNNNNNNNNNNNNNNNNNNNNNNNNNNNNNNNNAGUCUAGGUUUUCCUGAUGAAAAGUAUUUUAAUAGAGCAUAUUAUCACGACAAGCUGUUUGAGUUAGACCGAAGAGAGGACCUUGAUGCACAUUAUGUCCUUGAGUUUAGAUAAAUCAAUCGUUGUCCUUUUUCUCUAUAUCAAGACUUUUGGCUGUCGUUUGUAAGAGAUGGCCCUUUCUUUUGGCAUCAAAAACAGAGGAUAAAAGGUGAUUUUUCUUCAUAUGACAAACUGAGGGUGCAUGCAUAUCUACAUCUAGAAUUUAUAACUUCUAAGUGUGCUGUUAUUAUUAUUAUUAUUAUUAUUAUUAUUAUUAUUAUUAUUAUUAUUAUUAUUAUUAUUAUUAUUAUUAUUAUUAUUAUUAUUAUUAUUAUUAUUAUUAUUAUUAUUAUUAUUAUUAUUAUUAUUAUUAUUAUUAUUAUUAUUAUUAUUAUUAUUAUUAUUAUUAUUAUUAUUAUUAUUAUUAUUAUUAUUGGCUUUUACAUGUCAGCUAUAAGAGCUAAAAAAAUUUGCAGAAAGAUCGGCGGCAAUGAUCCGUUGCAGGGUGCUAAAGAAAAUUGAUAAUCAUGAAUUGCUUGUUAAGAGAAUUGUGAUCCUUUGAACAGACAAAGUUAGUCCAAAGCAACUUGCUUAAUGGAUUAGUUAAGAUGCCAUUGUUGUGUGGAUCCUUAAUAUUUUUUUUCAUCUUUCAAAAAUAUUUGUUUUAGUCCGUGCAAGUUGCACAAAGAUGCUUAUUGUAGUCUACGCCAGUUGCACAAAAUGCUUAUUUGCUGGUCCUUUAAACAAUGGUCUGCUUUAUUCAAUGCUAAAUAAAAAAAGGGUCAAGUAUUGCCAACUAACAAGGUAUAAUCUACUAGAGAUUAUACUCUACGCAUCACACUAAUGACCAGGAAAAUCAUGUGAAGGAUCACGAUUGUCUUAUCAAGCGGUUCCCUAACGUCAACUACUGGCUUAUCACCCUUCAGCCGAUCACUGCUGCUCAUCUUGCUGCAAAUUUUCAGCGCGUAACUGCCACGUAAAGACCUAUAUCGAUCGUCUAUCCACCAAUAGCGCAUAAAACAAAGACAUUAAAACAUACGGUCAUUGAGAAUGUAUGGAUGAAAAAAAGAAGAAGAAAAAAAGAGAAGCCAAUGAGACACUUGUAAUAAAUGUUUAACGAUAAUCCGCAUGCACUCUAAGUUGGUCAUGUGAAGAAAAAUCACAUUUUCUCCUCUGUUUUGGAUCAAGACUUUUGGCUUGUUUUUGAAAUAGGGGAUCUUUUCUUGUGGCCAUGCAAAACAGAAAAUAAGAGGUGAUUGUUUUCCAUAUGACCAACUUAUAGUGCACGUGUAUUUUUCUCCAAAAAGCUGUUGAUUACUAUUGGCUUUCUGGCUCUUUUAGCAGUCAUAUAUAGUCAGUAUCCUUGUUCCAAUAUCUUUAUUUCAUGCUUUAUUGGUGAAUAUGCGAUCGCGGCAAGCUUUCACAUGAUAGUUACAGUAUAAAGAAUUCACCUACAUUUGAGAAAAUAAUACACUCAAAUAAUUUGAGUAUGUUAUGGAAAUAUAAGAAGUUCCUCGGUUCCUCAAAUGGGCGCGAACAUACAAAGCUACCUUUUUCUUAUUCAACGGACAAAGGUAACAAAUGUUAACCUGGAGUAUGUGAACCCAAAUUCACUGUUGAAUGAUGUGAGCUCAACGUGGAAGCCAAUUUUUCACGAUGCCCGUGAGAAACUGAUAACCCUAGAAUUAAUCCUUUACAUAUGAAAUCGCCUCUAGAUCAAUUUAGGUCAGUUAUUAGGUAAUCAGAGGCAAUUGCCUGUGAUGGUUGCUCCGCUUAGAAGCGCCGGCAGGGACAGUAGUGGCGGCAUUGGAUGAGUUGCCCAGGCGGUGGUGCUAACACAACGGUGCGGCCGUGACAAUGGGAUUGAUGGCACGCUCUCUCGCCCCAUUCUUGCAUUUUUUUUUUGUUUUUGGGUUUUUGGGUUUUUCUUUUUCUUUCUUUUAUUGAACUUUAGCUUGGAAAGAUAAACGAAAAUGUAGACAUAACUAUAAAGACAGGUACAAUAGAGAUUAAGGAAUGGAAAACCAGAGUGACUAAAAAUGAAAAAAGUUCGACAAUAAUUGUAUUAUGGUAAAUUUUAAGCAAGAGAAUAACAAUCAAUACUAAUUGUCAAAUAAUAUUUCAUUCAAACAAAAAAAUCACUUAGAAUCCAUGUAAUGAUUGGAAAUUCUACUGGUAAUGGAAAAAAAAAAAAAAAAAGACAUUCACAUAGGAUGGAAGAAGCGAGAUGUCGAAAGCCAAGCAACAAAUCCAAUUUGCAUCCCCUGCAAAGUCUUGGACUUCCUGGGUUUCAUUAAAGUUUCCUCCCCACAUAGGGAUUGAACACGAUUUUCCAGUUCAUUAAUGUAAUGCUUAAAGAGUUAUUUUCAGUAGAUUAUAAGUAUUCGUCGGUGGCUUUCUUAACUUGUUUACUCUUUUCAGACCAAAAUAAACCAAGUUGCUUUAUGGAUUAGUUAGUGUGGCUGACUUGUAGAUGUUUAGGUGCAAAGAACGUUCUUUUGUUUUCCUUGUUGAUCAGACAAAAUUAGCUGUCUUUGAUGACUUGUAGAUGUGUAACAAAAAGUCUUGGUCUUCACUUAAGAUAUCUUGGGAUAAUCUCUAAACAUGAGGAGACAAGCACCCAUGGAUGAAAAGAAAUUUAUUUUUUAUUCCUCUAACUAUUGGCGUGCACCCUUCAAAGUCCUGGUCUUUGUUUAAUGUUUUUGGUAGGUGAAAGUUUUGGCCUUCCUAGACUUUAUAAUAUUCUCUCUCAACUAGCUUAUUAUCACUUUGCUUCACCAUAAUCCAUGCCCGUUCCCUUGCUCAACAGUGUUCUCCUCCAACACGUCUGAACCUAGCUCUCGUGCUUCCUGGAUUGCUGUUGUUGAUCUAAUCCAGUUCGCCAAUCUGCUCCAGGAAGUCCACUCGGAAUAGGUAAGAGAUAUCCAUCUACUUGCUUUCUUUUUCCCUCAAACUGAUGCAGCAAGUUUAACAACAAAAUCGACGGAUUUUGAUGUCAAAUACUUGCUGGCCAGAUUAAAGUUGUCGCUUGAUUGUUGAUAUGGCUUAGUUGUUUUAAUUAGGUGAUGCCUCUCCACGCAUACUUGUUUGAGCCCAAACUUGGACCUCUAUUUUAUGAAUUUUCAUUACAUAUUAUAAUAGAAUUGCAUUAUAUUAGUAUCAGGACAAUUAUAUUAGAAAACUCAGAAUUUUCAUGGACAAGCAUUAUCACGCACAUCUAGGCCAUUUAGAGUGCAUUAUAUUUAAUUGUCAUAUUUGCAUGUUUCCUCUCAUAAGUCACGAAGAGUAUUAUCGCCUCAUUCCUGCAAUUUUUUUUUUCAGUUAUUUAUUUUUUGCUCUUUUUUCUUAAACUUAAAUUUGAAAAUAUAGAUGAAAAUCUAGACAUAAUUCCAAUAGACAAGUAAGACAGAGAUUAAUGAAUGAAAAAUCACAAUAUGAUUAAAAAUGACAAAAGUUGGAUAAAAUUUUUGCCUUUUGUUAGUUUUGAGCGAGAGAACAAUAAUUAAUGCUAAUCGUCCAAUAAUAUCUCAUACAAAAAAAAAAAAAAAUAGCACCCAUGUAAUGCGUGGAAAUUUUACUAGCAAUGGAAAAAAGACAUUGACAUAGGGAUGGGAGAGGAGGGAUGGGAAAAGUGAAGCAACAAUGCCACUCUACGUCUCCAUAAGUCUUGGUCUUCACGGAUAUCAUUAAAGUUUCUUUCCCAUCAGCUCUCUCUCAAUUUUCCUCCCCUUUCGCGACAAAGAAGUUCAUGAUAUCUAGUAAAGUCUUGUUCUUCCUAAAUUUAUGGUUUGCUUACAUGAACAAGUAUAUGAUUGUGGAAACCACAAAUACCUUGGUAUAGUCUAUCAAUAUUACAAAACAAGCACUUGCAGACAAAAAUUCCCAGCAAGAUGGAUGGCAAUAUCUGCUGAAGGGUAAUGAAUUAGCAGUUGAUGAUCGAGAAUCGCUUGAUGGGAGAAUCGUGAUCCUUCGAACAUGAUUUUCCUAUUCACUUGGGUGAUCGGUAGAGUAUAAUUUUCAAUAGAUUAUACGUUGUUAGUUUUGACUCGUUCACUAUUUGCAGAGUAAAAUAAAGCAACUUACUUGCUUAAUGGAUUGAUUGUUGUGCCUAAUUAUUUUUCUUGUUCAGCUCAAAGCAAGUGUGUUUGUUCUCCUUAUCGAUUAGACAAAGUUAGCUGCCUUUUAUGCCAUUGUUGAGUGGAUCCUCAAUAUUUUAUAUUUCAAAAACAUUUAUUUUGGUCUAUGAAAGUUGCACAAAGAUGCUUAUUUGUCAAUCCUAUUAAUUGUGGUCGACUUCAUUCAUCACUAAACAAACAAAGGGGUUGGAUAUGCCAACUAAUCCAUUAAACAAGUUACUUUAUUUUACUUUGUAAAUAGUGAAUGAGUCAAAAAGCAUCAACUAACAAUGUAUAAUUUGCUAGAAAUUAUACUCUAUGCAUCACACUAACAGGAAAACUUAUGCAAAGGACCAUGAUUCUCCUAUCAAUCCCUGCUCGAUUAUCAACUACUGCCUCAACACUCUUCAAUAGAUCAUUGCUGCCCAUCUUGCUACUAAUUUUCAGCACUUCAACUGCCAUGUAAAAGCGUACAUUGAUGGCAUAUUCACCAAUAAAGCAGAGAGCAAAGACAUUGAAAUCAUCAAGAUACUGAGAAUAUACAGAUGCAAAGAAAAAAAAAAGCCAACAAAACACUCGUAAGUAGGAAAUUUUAAAGAUAAUCUACAUAAACUCUUAAGUGAUUUUCCUCUAAAAAUUUAUUACUUUGUUUUGUCAGCUUUUUUUUUUCCAUCCGUAUAUUCUCAAUAUCUUUAUGAUUUCAAUGUCUUUGCUUUCUAUUUUAUUGAUGAAUAUGCCAUCAAUAUAGGCUUUUACAUGGCUGCUAUUGUGCUAAAAAUUCUCAUAUGGUUAAGAAAAAUAAUAUACUCAAAUAAUUUGACUAUAUUAUGGAAAUAUAAGAUAUUCCUCGAUUCCUCCUUCAAAGUGGAUGAACAAACAAAGUUAGCUUUUAAAAGUUAGCUGUUGUAGAUUUAUAACAAAAAGGCUGGGCUUCCUGAGUUUAUGAUUUUUUUAUAUUAACAAAUAUGUGAUUGUAGAAACUACAAAAAUCUAGGGAUAAUCUCUAAAUAUUACGAGACAAGCAAAAUGGCUUCUUCUUUUAAAAAAAAAAAAUUCCUCUAACCACUAAUAUUAAUCCUUGAAAGUCCUAGUCUUUGUUUAAUGUUUUUGGUAGGUAAGAAUAUGGUCUUCUUGGACUCUAUCAUUUUCCCUCUCCAUUAGCUCCUUGUCACUUUGCUUCACCAUAACCCUUUUUAACUGAUCCACCCAUUUUCUCUCUCCAUUAGCUCAUCAUCACUUUGCUUCACCAUAAUCCUUUUUGUUCUCUAUAGUUGACUCAUUCACCCAUGGCCAUCGGGGAGAUUCUUUUGAGUGCAUUCCUUCAGGUCUUAUUCGAAAAUUUGACUUCCCUCGGAUUGGGCUAUGCACAAAGGGAAGGAGCACCACCCUUCUUUGGAAUCAGCACUGACCUGCUUAAUAAGUGGAGGAAGAUGCUAAACACAAUCUAUGUGGUGCUGGAUGAUGCAGAGGACAAGCAACUGAGUGGUAAAGGUCUAGUGAAACUAUGGCUGGAUGAUGUUAGGGACUUGGCCUAUGAUAUGGAAGAUUUGCUUGAUGAAUUCGAGAUCGAAGCUACUCAAGCCAAGUCGAAGGGAAAAUCUAGCACAAUUAUAGAUCGUGUGAAGUUUUCUUUCUUUAGCCAACAUAAAUCCUCUGAAUCGAAUCCAAACCCAUGCUCUCUAAUGUCUAAAACAGUAGUACAGAAGAUCAAUAAUAGGUUGGAAGAGAUUGUCACCAGGAAGGCUGAUUUAAGCUUGAGAGAGUAUUAUGUGGACAGAUCAGACUACACCAACAAAAGGCUACCAAGCACAUCUCUACCUGAGCCUCGUUUUUAUGGCAGGAAGAAGGAAGAAGCAGAUAUACUUGAACUAUUGAUCGAUGAUGCCAAAAAUGGUGAUACCACCAUGAGCAUUGUCCCCAUAGUUGGGAUGGGUGGUGUUGGAAAGACGGCCUUGGCUCAACGGUUGUAUAAUGAUACAAGAGUGAGUAGCUAUUUUGAGAGGAGAGCAUGGGUUUGUGUAUCAGAUGUUUUUGAUGUUCUUGACAUAACAAAGACUAUUAUGCGGUCGAUUACGGGGUAUUCCUAUGAGGGCGAAGAUCUUAAUGGGCUUCAAGUUAAGUUGAAGGACAAUCUAACUAGGAAGAAGUUUCUUAUAGUUUUGGAUGAUGUAUGGAAUGAGAACUACGGAGAAUGGACUACCCUCUUAAAGCCAUUUGAAGUGGGGGCUAAGGGAAGCAAGGUCAUUGUCACGAAUCGCAAUCGUACUGUUGCUUCCACAACAGGAGCUUUGCCAUAUCUAUUGGAGGAGUUGUCCCUUGAUAAUUGUACAAGCUUGUUAGCCUUUCAUGCUCUUGGAGAAACAAAUUUCGAGAGGCACGUAGAUCUUGAAAUAAUUGGCAAGAAAAUAGCUGAAAAAUGUAAAGGUUCACCUUUGGCCACAAAGGUUUUGGGCGGUCUCCUACGUAAUAAAGGGAAUUCUGAUGAAUGGGAAGCUAUCUUAAAUAACAAAAUGUGGGAUCUUCCAAGUGGAGAAAAUGAUGAGGCUCUUCGAGUUUUGAAACUGAGCUAUGUCCAUCUUCCCUCUUAUUUAAAGAGAUGUUUUGCUUAUUGUGCAAUAUUUCCCAAGGAUUACGAAAUUGAGAGGGAUGAGUUGGUAUUUUUGUGGAUUUAAGAGGGCUUUUUAGAUGGACUAAAAGCAAAGGAGAAUAUCUUGAAAUUGGGACGAACUCAAUUCGAUGAGUUAGUUUCCAGAUCAUUUAUUCAACAAUCAAGUGUAAAUGCAUCCAAGUUUUCAAUGCACGAUCUUUUAAAUGAUCUAGCAAAAUCAAUUGCAGGCGGAACGUCCUUUAGCUAUGGGGAGUUUCAGCUAGUAGGUAAUGAAGAUGAUACAUCUCUUGAGAAAGCUCGUUAUGCAUCAUUUGCUUCUUGGAGUGCUACAUCAAAAUGUAUGAGGGCGUAUCACCGGAUGAAGGUACUAAGAAGUUUAAUGUUUUUGCAUAUUGGAUUUAGUUGGUAUGACAAGUUCCACAUUUCCAACAAGGUGCUGCACGACUUGCUAACAGAAUUGAAAUACUUGAGGGUGUUCUUAUUAUGUCAUUGUUCCAUUGUAGAGGUACCGAAUUGUGUUGGUGAUUUAAAACAUCUUCGAUACCUCAAUUUCUCAUACACAAACAUUGAAAGUUUGCCAGAGUCAAUUGUUGGCUUGUGCAAAUUACGAGCUUUGAUCUUAAGAGAUUGUCAGAAGCUUUCUACAGUGCCUUCAAGUAUCACAAAAUUGGUCAGCUUACAGGUUCUUGACAUUAGAGAUACAAAGAGUCUAAAAGAGAUUCCACUAGGUAUUAGUAAUUUGAAAAAUCUUACUAUAUUGUCCAAGUUUGUGGUUGGACAAGAGAAAGGGUCGCAAUUAAAGGAGUUAAAGAACUUGCCACAUCUUCAAGAAGAAUUAUUCAUAUCAGACUUGCAAAAGGUGGACGAAGUUAGGGAUGCAAUUGAUGCUAAUCUGUUUGAAAAGCGAGGCCUUAGAAACUUAUUCUUGCACUGGGGUGAAACUUUUGGAAAUCUACGGAAUGAUAAGCGUGAAGCACAAGUGCUUCACUCUUUGCGACCUCAUACUAAUCUUGAAAAUCUCACUAUCUCCAACUAUGGUGGUGCAAUAUUCCCAUCAUGGUUAAAUGGUCCAUCUUAUUCUAAGAUAGUGUCUUUGUGCUUGCGAGGCUGUCCUCAUGUUGGAUCGUUGCCCUCACUUGGAGAACUCCCUUCACUUAGAAAAUUAUCUCUUGAGGGUCUACAUGCAAUAAGCAUGAUCGGCUCUGAAUUUUAUGGAAGUAAAAGGCCUUUUUUAUCCUUAACAACUUUAAAGUUCGAAGAGAUGUUGGCAUGGAAGGAUUGGUCUCAUUAUUCCAACAACCAAGAAGAAGUCCCAUUCUCCUAUCUUAAGCAUCUUGUAAUCCGAAGCUGUCCUUCGUUAAUUGGGACAUUGCCUUGUCAACUUGAUCAUCUCAUAAAGCUUGAAAUUCAUUCAUGCCCGCUAUUGAAUAACUCAACAAAUGUGAUUUGUCUUCCAUCUCUCCGUGAGUUAUGCAUUGAGGAUUGUAGCAAGGAAAUCUUAAAGUGCUCGGUCAACCUAACAUCUUUAACCACUCUCAAAAUUGUUAACCUUGCAGAGUUUGUUUGCUUUGAUAAUGGGUCUAUGAGUUGCUUGGUCAAGCUAAAGGAGCUCCAUAUAGCACAAUGUGACAAGCUAGCAUACUUGUGGCAAGAUGGAAAUGAAACGCAAAAUCUUACUUGCCUUCAAAGUGUGGUCAUCGAAAGCUGUCCUCAAUUCACAUCUUUUGUGGCAGGAGAAGAAGAGAUAGAGCUACCUUGCAACCUGAAAAUAAUGCAUUUGAAGGAUUGCACAAGUUUAGAAAGGCUUCCAAGCAAGAUUCAAAAUACACUCAAAAUUCUGCGGAUUAUUAAUUGUCCAAAAAUCAUUAGAAUAACCAAUCAUCUGGAUGACCUCAAUAGCAAUAACCCAACACCUCAAUUGAUAUCUUUGUAUUUUUUUAAAUGCAUGAAUCUAAGAAGCCUAACACAAUGCCUUUAUAGGCUAGGCCAUCUCACCAAUUUGGAUAUAAGAUUCUGUCCAGCAUUGGAGAUAGAGUACUUCCCUCCUCUUCCCAUCUCCAUGUCACGUUCCAACUUUGUGAUGCCCGAAGANNNNNNNNNNNNNNNNNNNNNNNNNNNNNNNNNNNNNNNNNNNNNNNNNNNNNNNNNNNNNNNNNNNNNNNNNNNNNNNNNNNNNNNNNNNNNNNNNNNNCGAUUUGAUGAUUGCAAAUAUUAAAUGCUUGCCUGAAGGAGGUUUGCCUCCUAAUUUGCGGGGCCUUUCAAUUACGAGGUGUGAGAAUCUGAAGCAACCAUUGAGAGAAUGGGGCUUACCCCUGCUCACAUCCCUCACAUUUCUACAUAUUGACGGAAGAAGCAUGGGAGGGGAGGGAGAGGAGGCGUGGUUUCCUUCGGAGGACGAGGAUGCAUGGAGUAUUCUCUUUCCUUCCUCUCUAACCGGUCUUGACUUUAGUCAUAUGAGGAAGGUGGAAAGACUAUCAAGCGGUCUUUGCAACCAUCUCUCCUCUCUCACCAAAUUAUGGAUUAUGGAUUGCCCGAAGUUGAGGCACUUGCCAGACGAUGGCCUCCCUCCCUCCCUCCAACAAUUGUACAUUGAAGAAUGCGAGAUUUUGAAAGAUCAAUGCUCAAAGCUCACUGGCGACUAUUGGCCCCUCAUCCAAGAAAUCCCUCUCAUCAUCAUUGAUGGCAUUCAAAUCCAAUGAAUUGAUUCUUCUAUGUACAGUUAGUUUUCGAGGGUUCAAGUAAGCUUUUGGUUUUGAAGGCAUCAAUUUCCGUUCUGCUUACUCAAUUCGUUGUUGGGAAUGACUGAUCCCCAAAAUACCGGAUUUGACACUAAAUCGAACCCCUAAAUCAAUGCGGAAGACGAAGCCCGGGAAAAAACAACACGCAUCACCGAUCCUAAAGCACACCACGGAUUCGAGCGUACCUUUUAGCCACAGAUUAAACACCGACGUUGAUGGAGGAAGAGAAACUGAGCAAUUCGAUCCGAUGAAGCCUUGAAAGGAGGAAGAACAAGCCGUAUGCGUUACUGUUCUUUCUUUUUCUUUUUGAGAGAGAAUACGCGCGGGAGAGAGAAGACGUGAAUUCUGAUUUCACGUUAAUGACUUUCUCUCUCUCUCUCUUCCCUUUUAUACCUCCCUCUUUCCACGGGCCUUAUUCCCAUGGGCCGGGCUUUCUGGGCCCAACUUUGGCGGAUGGGCCUUAAGCCCAAAUCAAAUAAAGCCUUCAUCUCCCACUCGCACAUGGUGGUCCAAAACCAACAUGGGCGGACAGGCCCAUAGACUCUCUCUUAACAUGGUGGGCCGAACAGGAUUCUCUUCACCUCUCUUCAACAUUCAUACUGGUGAAUAAUCCGUGCGACCAGCAUACUUUGAGAGCUCGUUACUAUACAUCUGUUAGGAAUAUAUAGCAGCUCAUAAUGGGCGUCACACUCCGAGUAGAUUUAGUAUGCAGUACCCUAGAUCGAUCGAUCACAUUUAUAUCUCUCUUAAUCUCUUUUAAACAAUGAUAUAUAUUGUAUUCACAAUUAUAAUUAUCACAAAAACAAUCAUAAUUGGUCGACCGGUGAAUACAAAAACUACAAUGUGAUUCUCCAAAAUCGAUCUUCCUCUUUCCUUCAAACUCUCAAUUUCAGUCCAGCUUGCUUUUUCUAAAAAUGCCCCAUUAGAUCGAAUCAUCUCAUGACCAUUGGCAACACCCUAAGAUAGCAAACACUAAAUAGAAAUCUUGAGAAUAAGUAAGAGUCCUGAGGGGACUAAAAAAUUGAGGAACUCUUUUCCUCAAGAGUCUCACACGUCAUAAAAGUUGAGAUCAAACUUUUUGCCACUCUUAUUGGUCGUCUCAUGCAUACGUAGUAUGAAAUAUGUAUUACGGUAUUAACUCCUUUCCCAUGGAGCGUAUGUCUGCACUUUUCAAUACCGUACAGAUGAUAGUUCAGACAUACCUAAUGUCUAACUUGAGUUCACAUAUCUACUCAAUCACAAAAUUCAUAGAACUCACAUCUGGAUCGUAGACAGAUAAAGCAAAAUAUGUGGGGUAUUUUACUUUCGGACAUCGUAAGUAUUAUGUCCUCAUCUUAACACUUAGUUAAUGCGACAUACGUAUUUUAAGCUUGAGCUCUCGAUUAUCACCUAGAUAAUAAGCUUAAAAUCAGUCUCAUCUCUAUUUAUCACACAGUAAACAGAGGCGAUUACCCGUGUGAGUGGGCUAAUCUUUUAUCUGUCCGACAUACUUCUCAACUUAAAAUAAUACACUAAGUAUUAAGAUGCAUAAAGAUCAUACAAAGAUUCAUAGGCAUUAUGAUGAAAACACAAAUUCAUCAAAUUGUGAACACUCAGGGAAAUUAAAAAAAUUCAGUACAUCAGCCUCUACGCAAUCCUAGAGAUUUCAUAUAGCCACAAAACACAUCUCUAGGUAUUGGCUUUGUCAUAGGAUCUGCUACCAUUCUAUGCGUAGUAUGUACUAUAAGUUCACAUCUUUUCGUGCAAUCAUAUCCAUGACAAAAUUAUACUUGGUAUCUAGAUGUUUGGUCUUGCCAUGAUAUUUUGGAUCUUUGGUGUACGCUUUUGCUGCUUUGCUAUCAUAAUUAACCAACAAUUAAUCUGCAGCACUUCUAAUAACACCUAAAUGAUCCAAUAAUCUCUUAAGCCAAACAUCUUCUUUUAUUACUGCUGAUAAUGCCACGAACUCAGUUUUCAUCGUGGACAAGGCUAUACACUUUUGUUUCUUACUACUCCAACAUAUGGUGCCAUUAUUCGGUAAGAAAACAAACUCAGAGGUAGAUUUUCUUUCAUCUAAAUCUCCUCCCCAAUCUGUAUCACAAUAGCCUUUGAGUUGCAGAUCCUUUCCUUAAUAACUCAACGUAUAAUCAGCAGUCCCCUUUAGAUACCUUAGUAUUCUCUUAACAGCUUUCCAAUGUGCUUGACCUGGAUUGGAUUGGUAUCUGCUCACCAUUCCAACUGCAUAACAUAUGUCAGGUCUUGUACACAUCAUAGCGUACAUCAAGCUCCCAACAGCACUAGCAUGAGGAACAUAUUUCGUUUGUUCCUUCUCUUGUGGAGUCCUUGGACACAGUCUAUGGCUCAAUCCUUCACCUUUUGCAAUAGGAGUGUCUUUGGGUUUACUAUCCCAUAUCCUUCAAUUCAAAGUUGGAAGACAACCGACUUUUGACAAUAUUGACAGGCUCCAUAUUGCUUCCGGCAAUUGGUAUAUCAUCAACAUAUAAUGAUAUGAUCACAAAUUGAUCAUUGGAUCUUUUGAUAUAUACACAAUGAUCCUCACUAUCAUUGUAAAAUCAUAUGCCAUUAUGGUAUUAUGAAAUCGUAUAUACCAUUGUCUUGACGACUGCUUAAGGCCAUAUAUCGACCUCGAAAGUCGACAUACCUUUUCUUCUUGGCCUUUCACUAUGAAACCAGCAGAUUGUUCCAUAUAUGUUUCUUCCUCUAAUUCUCUAUUGAGGAAAGCAGUCCUCACAUCCAUUUGAUGUAACUCAAGAUCCAUACCAAACACUAUUGCCAGAAUUAUGCGAAUCAAGGUAAAUCACACUACAGGAGAGAAUGUAUCUUUAUCAUCAAUAUCUUCCUGUUGAUUAUACCCCUUCGCCACAAGGUAAGCCUUAUGCCUUUCUAUCGAGCCAUCAGCCUUUCGCUUUAUUUUGAGAACCCACUUGUUCCCAAUAGCUCUGCGUCCCUUUUGAAAGACCAACCAGUUCCCAGACUUGGUUUGAUUUCAUUGACUCUAUUUCCUCUUUCAUUGCAUAAAUCCAUUUUUCCUUACUAGGGUAUUUCAGAGCCUCAUUAAUAUUUCUUGGCUCAUCCUUAUCUCGUGGAGCAAUUAUAAAAGUUUCCCCUUCAAUGUCAAAACGUCGACGGGGAAUACUUUGACGACUUGUUCGCUAUAUGGGAGAUUGUACACUUAGCACAUCAUUUCCCAUUAUGCUCCCACUCGGAUUAGAUAAUGACGAUAUCAUCUCAUCUUGUGGUUGUAAUUAAGAAUGAGUUGAAUUCAAUUCAUCACUUCUCAUAUUACUCCCACUUGGACGAACUCCACUAAUAUCAUUAUCUUGAUCCAAGGUUUCAAAUAGGGAGUAAUAUUCCCCUAUUUCGCCCUUCUUAGGAAAUUCAUCCACUAAGAAUGUGAUAUCCCGUGAUUCAAAUUUAGUUAUACUCCCACUUUCCUGCUCACCUACGAACACAUACCCUUUCGAGUGUUCGGAGUAUCUCAUGAAAAUACUCUUCUUUCAUUUGGGACCAUAUUUUCUAAAUUUGUGAGAGGAUUCAUUAUAGGCAGCACAACCCCAUGACUUAAGAAAACUUAAGUCCGGUUUUCUACAUGUCCAUAACUCAUAUGGAGUGGAACUAACUGAUUUGGAAGGCACUCGGUUAAGUAUAUAGGCAGCAGUUAACAACGCAUCACUCCAAAAAAGUGAUAUGUAAGUUAGCAUGCGCCAUCAUGGACCUAACCAUUUCCAGUAGGGUUCUGUUUAUUCUCUCUGCAACACCAUUUUGUUGAGGAGUAUUUGGAAUAGACAACUGUCUUUCUAUUCCUUUUUCAUCACAUAAUUUUCUGAACUUAUCAGAUAAAUAUUCUCGACCUCGAUCAGAUCUCAAUGCUUUUAUUUUCUUGUCUAAUUGAUUUUCAACCAAGUUCAUAAAUCUUUUGAAACAACUUAUGCUUCAGAUUUAUGAGAAAUCAAAUAGACACAUCCGAAUCGAGUAUAAUCAUCUAUUAAAAGUGAUGAAGUAAACAGUCACAUGCCUUCCUCUCACAUUCAUUGAACCACAAACGUCAUAAUGGAUUAAAUGCAGAGGAACGUCAGCUCUUUUACCUUUUCCAAAUGGUUUCCUUGUCGUUUUUCCCUUCUAAGCAAUGCUUACAUAUGGACAAAUCGACUUAUUCAAUAUUGCCCAACAAGCCCUUUUUGGCAAGUCUAUUCAUAUGUUGUUGGCCAAUAUGACCAAGUCUAGCAUGCCACACAUUCACAUCAUUAUCACAUGAAGUAAAAGACGUGAAACAAGGGAAUAACAUAUUGACAUCACCACAGUCAACAUUCAGUACAAUGAAACCAUCCAGAAAGUGACCACAACCAUAGCAGUUUGUAUCUAAACACAAAUCUACACCUAUAUUAUGGAAGUUCAUAUAAAAAAAAACAAGUUUAACCAACACCAAAAAACAGACGUUAAAUUUCGACGAAUCUCUAGAGCAUAUGGAACGUCAUGUAGGAACAAGAUGCGUCCACCACGCAUGUUCAAUUGGCAGGUGCCAAUCCCUUUAACUUCAUUUCUGGAGUUAUAUCCCGCAUAGAUCCACUUAGUUCCAGUCGGUAUCGUCGGAAUUCCACGAAGGAUUCUCUAUCCUUCGCUACAUGGUCUGUCUUUCCUGAAUCUACAGUCCACAAAGGAUUGAAUUCAGCCAAUAAUUCAGAACUUGACACAUAAUCAAAGUUCUCAAAUGUACAAGAGGUGUUUACCUUCUUUGGCUCACAACAGUCGCGAGCAUAGUGACCCUUCUUGUCACAAUUGUAACACCUCACCCUUGACAUUUUCUUCACUUGAGGACGUUUUCCUCACUUGUGUUGGUUAACUCUUGAUCUCUUGCAAUAAGGACUUGAUCCUUUGCUUUUCCACAUAUUGAACGAAUCAAUACGUUUGCGCUUAGAGCUCAAAGCCCUUUCUGAGCUAGAACCAGCAUAGCCAAUGUCUAUUUUCGGCUCAAAUGCCAAUAGGCAGUCCUCUACUAGCUUAAGGUGGCGCACAACAUCCUCUAGAUCUUCCAUAAUAUGGUCAAGAGCUUCUAGUGCUUCUAGCUUUUCCAGCACAUAUUGAAUCUUCGUAUUCAAUAUUCCACAAUCGUUGCCGUUCAUAUUAGCAAUUAUGUUCUUAGUUGCUGAAACCAUCGAUCUGAACACAUCAGACUUAUAUGCACGAAUUAUUAAUGCCUAUCAUUUAUGCAUCCUUAUUUACAUAGACCCAUCAUAUUAAUGAAUAAUUUCAAGUAAGGUUUCAGAAUCAAAAGGUCACUAUGUUUCCAAUCAUCCUCCAAAAUCCUAACUUAAAACUAUCAUCAAUAUAAUUGUCUUAUGCAAAAUCAAUUCUAUGAAGCUACAAAAACUUCUAAAACUACCCACAGCUAAUUACCCACAGCAACCAGCAAUAACAGAAAGCAAUAUAUAAUAGAACAUCCAAUAAAAAACAAUAAUGCUUUCAAUUAACACAAUUAGGUAGUAAUCAUUACAUAAUAUGUCCACAAAUCACACUUAACAUAUAUCAGCCAAUACAACUAACACCAAGUCAACACACGAACUGGGAAAGAUCCUCUUUUGUUCAAUUUCUUGAUCUUUUCCCUUGAAACAAUACAAUAAUAUUCAUUUACAAAAUCCAUCACAAUUUUCUUAUAGGAAGCAGCUCCGUUGACAUCCCAUAUGCGAUUCAACACAUCUUGCCAUUCAGGUGGAAGAGUCUUUAUGAAAAAUCGCACCAUCUCUGACUGUGACAUAGGACGACCAUUCCAUACGACCUGUUGAAUUUUCCCGUUGACUUCAAGGACAUGAUCAAUUAAGUCACCUCUCUCCCAUCGAUGAUCAGUCAGCUCAGCUAUCAUCUUAGACAGCCUAUCCUUUUGUUCAUCGGUAAUUGCGCGAAUAGGUGUGCGCAACCUCAAGGGAGGCAUUGUUCCUGCAACAAAUGCAGAACAAAUAAGGGAUCACAUUAUAAUCCACAUAGACUUAAUUGAAAAAGAAACAUAUUCUUUUUUUUUCGGGUCAACGGUCAAAGUCAACGGUCAACGGUCGUCGGUCAACGGUGGUCACCGGUCAACGGAGUUCAACGGUCAACGGAGGUCACCGGUCGUCGGUUGUCGCACCGGUCGGGUCGGACAGACCGGUCCGACCGGUCGGGCCGGUGGGCCCAGUUCGCGCGAACCGACGGCACGUGCCGUGCGUGUGCGCGGGAUGACGUCACGCAGACGUCAUCCGGCACGUGCUGCACGCGUGCCGGGUCUCGCGCGGGUCGGGUCGCCGGCCGGUGACCGUCCGACGAAGCUGACGUCAUCGAUGACGUCACCCUAGCGGUUAUUGACCGUUAGGUGACGUCAUGCUGACGUCAGCACGCGUCGGUCCGCGGACCGGCACGUGCCGGCUCGCCGGCCGGCGGUGCGCACGCGCCGGUUCGUCACCGGCGCGUGUGCCGCACGCGCUGGGCGACGCAACGCUUCUGAGCGCGUCGCGCCCACGCGCAGCGGCUUCUGGCCGCGUGCGGCGUCGCCCGGCGGCGCACGACGUACCUCCAGACUCGUCUCGACGUCGCCUUUCUCCCCAUCUUGUUAGAAAACAGUUUCGACAUACGAAAACUCAGUAAAAAGGCAUUAGAACGCUCGGGUGUCGGGAUUUUUGUCCCGAUCUGUACGGCCGAAAGUUUCUUCGCGAAAAGUCAAUCAAAGAACAUGAAAUUGAUCGGGAAAACGUGAACUAGGGCUCUGAUACCAAUGUUGGGAAUGACUGAUCCCCGAAAUACCGGAUUCGACACUAAAUCGAACCCCUAAAUCAAUGCGGAAGACGAAGCCCAGGAAAAAACAACACGCAUCACCGAUCCUAAAGCACACCACGGAUUCGAGCGUACCUUUUAGCCACAGAUUAAACACCGACGUUGAUGGAGGAAGAGAAACUGAGCAAUUCGAUCCGAUGAAGCCUUGAAAGGAGGAAGAACAAGCCGUAUGCGUUACUGUUCUUUCUUUUUCUUUUUGAGAGAGAAUACGCGCGGGAGAGAGAAGACGUGAAUUCUGAUUUCAUGUUAAUGACUUUCUCUCUCUCUCUUCCCUUUUAUACCUCCCUCUUUCCACGGGCCUUAUUCCCGUGGGCCGGGCUUUCUGGGCCCAACUUUGGCGGAUGGGCCUUAAGCCCAAAUCAAAUAAAGCCUUCAGUUGCUUAAUAUGAACUCAUUUUUCCCAUUACUUUUUAGAUUAAUCUAUGUAAACCAGCCAUUGGAGGUCAAAGACUGACAUUUGCGUGGGUGUUCUCAUUGGAAUGGAUCGGCUCUGUUUCGUUGAAUAAUAAAGUGCAGGACAAAAUGCUUACGGUGCUGCCUCUUGCUAUAUAAAUGACAUAUCUUUGACUCUGCUUGAUGCCCAAAAAGUUUGCUUAUUUUGCACUCGAGCAACCCACCAAACAAAUUGUGAAUGAAAGUGCACUAUGCUUUGCAUGAAAAUCACCAAGAAUCAUAACGUUCCACAAUCAUAUUCCCCUGCAUUUUCAGCAUUUGUUGUGUGUUCUCUUCCCAACAUCUUCUUUUGUUCUAGCUCAUUCACUGUGGUUGUUUUGCAGAUACCAUUAUGAUAUGUGUUGGCAAAAUCUCUUGAAAGGAUCACUUGCAAAUGUUGUUGAGGUAGGGCUAAAGCUGUCAAUGUUAUGUGCCAAAUUUUGCAACUCGAAAGAAAGAAAAGAAGUGUUGGAUUUUAUUUGGUGCGCUAAUAUGUUCUAUAUGUUCUUCUAGUGAAAACUAAAAGGAUGAUUAGUUAUGGGAGGCUGUGAUCUGAUUGUAAAGAAAGGAAAUGCAGUUUCUUUUUUUCUUAAUGGUUUUCUUUAGAAUUGAGAACCUUCUUUUUGUCAAUAAUUAUGCUUUGCAGUAUCAGGCAGUCAAUCUGGAAUAAAAUUCUGGGGCAGCCCAUUGCUCGAAGCUUUCAACACAACUCCACUUCACAACAGCAUUGAUAUUCCGUAAAUCUCCUUCUGUUUGGGUCUUCAUCUUGGGUGGGUUAGUAACUAUUACUUGUAGCUUGCUAGAAAUUUUUAGUCAAUAUACUUGUGCUUGUUUGGUUGAGAUUGUAAUGAUAUGCUGCUUGCCUCUGUGUUUGAAUUGUCAGUAGUGACUUUUGAGGCAAAUCUAUUCGGUUCUUCAAAGUAUCAAUUGUUUUCUCUUACUCCACCACAGAGUAUGAAUUCAUCGUAAAUUAUGUCAUUUUAUCUGAAAAUAACUUCGUAUGGCAUUCUUCCUGUGGAGAGUUCCCGAGCAAAAGCUUCGAUUUCACUUGGGUUCCUUUGGGGUAACUAGAAAUCUUGUGCUUCAACCAAUUUAUACCUUGUUUGAUGGAUCUCCUCCCUCUCUGCCACUAUGGCAUAUGCCGAAACAUUUGUUGAAGCAAUUUUAGCAUGACAUUGUAAAGCUCUAAUAGAGGUUAGUCAAUUUGUAAUAUGAAUUGUAGUUCACUUUGUACUUUCUCUGAGGCCUUUUGGAUGUUAUUGCAUGUAUAACAUGGUGCUUUGACCAUAUGAAUAGGUGGUCAGAAAAUUAGAGUUGCAUUUGCCAGGAUAACUUUCAAGAAACCUCACAUACUUUUGCUUGACAAGCCAUCCAAUUAUCUGGUAAGUUUUACUCAUUUUUCUCUGCCUUAUGAUUUUAAUUAGUUUUUCAGUUAGUUAUUAAUGUUCUUGCACUAAUUGAACUUAUUGGAAUGUGGUCUUUACAUUGAAAAUAAGUUAGAACCAAUGAGUGCUCAUAGCUACAGGGAGCCUCUGUCAUCAUAAAUCUAAGUCAUAAUUAACGAAACCAAUCUAAUUGUUCCAACUUGGAAAAUAUUGGGAAUAGAACAGUCAUGCUAGCCUGAUCAGUUUUUUAGUAUUGGAGUAAUCUAUAACACAAAAUAGUUCUGAUAUCUGUCCCUAUAGGUACUAGUGGGCUCUGCAUAUAAUUAAUGUGUUCCUCUUUUUGUUUAUAAAUGUGGUCUUCAAGUUCUGCUUUAAUGAUCAAUGAUUACUACAGUAUAAUCUUUGUAAGUUGUUUGUUUCUUCUCUAAGGAUGAGUGAGUAUGAUUCUGCAUUGUUGCACACCAACAACUGUAGGAUUUGGAUGCGGUUGAGGCACUCAUUCAAGGUCUGGUCUGUUCCAAGGAGGAAUUCUGAUGGUGAGAUUGAUAUUCUUGUCAAAAUACUUCAAUUUGACCAAUGAUGGAUCAUUUUCACAGCUAAUAGCCCCCCUCUUUCACCUUGAUAUGCAGGUUAGUCACAAUGAGCAUCUAAUAACUGGAAGCUUGGAUGAUGUCUGGAUGGUUUCUCAAGGCAAGGUAGCGCCUUUCCAUCGGAAUUUGGAGGACUAUAGGAAGAUAUUUUAGUUUUGGUCGAAUCAGAUGAAUCUGGUUAUCGUUAUCAACUAAGAAUGGUUCACCGGGUUCACAUUACCUUACAAACCGAAAAUGAGGCUUAGCUAUAGAGAGAAAGGGAAAAAAGACAAAAAGAGGAUUGCUGCGGAUAUACAGGAAGGAUUCACAGUUACACGAGCCCAUGUUUGUAAUUUAUACUUGAUUAGGGUUCGUGGAGGGAUGAAUCUAAGUUUUUGACAUUAAGCAUGCAGCAUCAUCUGGCAAUAGCUCAAGAACUGAGUUGGGAUUGCAGUCGUGGUAUGAUUUACAACCCUUUGCGCAUUUUUCCCUCGCAAUGGAUCAUUUGUUGUGCCCCUGGAAGUUUUAUACUCUGUCACCGCAGAAGGCAGCUUUCUAUACACAGUAGAAUGAUUUAAACAUUUGCAAAAGAACCAUGUUAGCACAGUACAUUAUUUUGUAGGAGAGUGAGAGUAGUUUCCAAGAAAUUAGUUGUAUUAAUAUAUUUUUGUUGUUCGGCACUAUUUAGGAAAGUUAAUUACGAAAAUAUAAUCAUGGUCAACAAAAACUUUGUACAAAUACCGUUGGCCUUGCCUAGGCAGAAAAUGCUAUAAUGAAACUCUGUACAAAUACCUGAAUUUGUUAGAUAACGUUCUGGUCAAUAUUCAAAAUAAGAAGUUUUCUUUCUUCCAACUGCUACGAUGCACAUGGAAGAACGGCACCGAAAACAGAGGGUUUUGAAUAUGCUAAUGUAACAACUAAAUUCUGAAUGAGCCGUGCAGGUCAAAACCUAUUUCACAAACUGGUUGCCUGGUCAAAGAUUAAAGUUCAUCUUUCUUUUAUUUAAAUACCCACUCCAUCUCUUGGCAACAUUUUUAGCGGUCCUACAUCUUAUAUUUCCUGGGCAGGAGGGGAAACAGGAGGGAGAUCUAUAGGUGUGGCUACACUCUGGAUUUUACUUUGAGGAUUUGCGUCCGCUAUGAGAUAAUCUUAUUCCAAGAAGAUCGUCACAUAGCACCAGUAAUGACCAAUUCCCUGAAGUAGGCAAGCCCCAUUACAAUUUCCCUCAUUAAGGUGCCAAAGGUCCAGAACCAUUCACAUGCAAAGAGAUACGCGCACUACCAUUGCAAAUGGUUUCAAUCUCGUGAGCUCCCAUGUUGAACUUAUAUCUUGAGUUGGAGCAGAUGAAGGAAAUUUGAUCCGGAAAGGAAGUGUGCUUCUAUGGCUUCAUGAUAUACGACAUUGAGGAAUGUUGUUACAUGAGUUCUAUUAUUGGACACUUCUGUUACAUGAUAAAAGUUAUUGCCAGCUACAUGACCUUUGUGCCAUAACAAUCAUUUUCAUGUCAAGGAGCAAAAACUGUUUUCUACUUCUUCAUCAUCGGAACCUGCUUGAGACAUUGUCUCACGAACUAUUUUCAGCAGUCUUUUGAUCUGAAGCUGCCGCAAGUUGAGCUUGAUGUUGACUUUUGUUGAGGAAAAAUUGAGUUUGCUCUGGUAGUCUGCGACUUUGACUGAGUAGGAUUUGCAGCGAACCAUAAACGCUUCUUCGUUUGCAAAUUACGGGGCAAAUUUUGCCCACCAUUUAAUUUUUCAAUUGUCUUUUAAGCGUAGAGAAUGUCACGGUCUAUUGCACAUUAUCUAACAUGUGAACAAUCAUCUCCAUCUCUUAGAAGUAUCUAACAUGUAAAGAUGAGGAGGUUCUUGAACAUUUCGAGUGAACUAAUUAUCUCCAUUUGAAAACUCUGGAGGUAAAAUAUGAGAACCUGGACCAAAUUAGAGUAAACCAGCCUUGGAACCAAAUAGGACUCGUUUCCAGAAAUUUUUUUAUCAAAGAAGAAGAAACAUAAAUGAUCAAAAAAAUUUCUGACUUGAAAAGUUAUACCAUGUUUGCAUAUAAUCGUAGUAACUAUAUGAUUGAGGCUUACAUGAAUUCAUAAAAAGUUCUGAUUUUAAGAGGAUGAUCUGUAAUAUAAUGAAAAUCUGGAGGGAUGUGACCCAACAUUAUUUUUAUGACCGAGUUUUUAAAAGUUCAUCUAGGAUUUUGUUUGUUCGGAGAAAAAUAUUUUAAUCAAAAAUUAUUAUUUUCAUCUUUCACUAUAUAGAGGGGUAAAAAAUGCUUGUCAAAGGAAAUUACUUCGGUCAAUCAGAAAAUCAAAUCAUAUAUAUAUAUAUAUAUAUAUAUAUAUAUAUAUAUAUAUAUAAACAACCUUUUAAUUUUAAAAGUCGAAGUACAAAAAUAGCAUGGACACAAGAAUCUAAGCCGAACUAUUUUAGGCAAAAAUAAAUAAAUAAUGGAGUUCCUCUGGUUUGCUGUCACAAGAAGUUGCCGCCGGAUAUAGUGGUGAUUCCUUGAUUUACAUGAGGGGGAUCACCACUCAGAUGAUUUUCCUUUUUGUUAUUAUGUAUAAAAUCUUUUGAUUGAUUAGUUGAGGCGAUAUUGAACUCACUAAAUUAAGACCAACUUGACCAUAUAUAAACCCAUGUCAACUUGUUUAAGAUUAGUAGGGGAUAAGAAUGUCGAAUGAAAGAGAAAAUCAACGUCGGUUCAGUUGAUUUGAGAAAAGUAAGAACGUCGUUUCAAGUUGUAUGUCUACAAGACUAGAGUAUGUUUUCUUCGCAAAAGAUAGUAUAAAAGUUCGCUCCGAACUUUGCUCGUUUGAAUCAAUUUUUACAUGACUUUCCAGAUGAUUUUACCAUUUAUGAUUAACUUGUUCAUCCUGAAUUUGUUACACCAUAGAUGAUAAAUCGAUGAAGCUCCACUACUACCUAAUAUCAGUUCACUUGUUUCCUAAAAUGGACUCGUUUGAUUUAGUCGAGUCUAAAUAAUAUUUUCUCAUUCUUUUAAUAAACAAAGUACGUAUCUUUUCAUGAUUUACUAGUUUGUUAUUCAGAAAGGGACAGACUGAAUGUUUCGCUAUUUACCUACUUUCCCCCUUUUUCUGGACUAGUAAUGGAUCAGUUGCUCCAUUUGGUUUUUCUUUUGGUCUUACUUACCCAGCCGGUUGCCUUAUCUUGGUGUAAGAUAAUUGUGGUUCAGAGGUUCAAUCCGAUCAAGCUGCGGCAAAUUCCGAUUGCACACUGUCGAUUCUCAAGGUAUCACAAUGUCUUUUCGUUAAAUUUUUGUUGGUGAUAUUAUUUGUUUGUCGAUUGGCUGCUGUUUUUGUGUCGAUGAAUGAGUUGAAGAAGAACUAGUUCGAGAGAUAAGUCCCCGUUUUAGCUAUUAGCAUCAUUUUUCGGAUAAAGUUGGUUAGGAUCACCGAGUUUAUUUGAUGAGUGGACAUAAAGCUGAUUUAUGCCUGCUUAACAUCGUCUGCUUAGCUGGCCAAGCCCCUUUCGUUGUGCUUUUUGAGUCGUUGAAUCGAAUUUCAAAAGGUUCGCUGGAUUUUUUUUAUUUAUUUCGAUACUCGUUUCUUUUCUGGCUGGAUACUGCUCAACUAAAUCUGUCCUAAGGAGCAAAAUUAGCAUUUGCAGAGUGAAUUGGGAAUUGGUUUUAGCCUAUAUCUCUCUCAUUUUCAUCGAUUUGAAGUUCCCCUCUUUUCGAACUUGCCUGUUCUAUCUAGCUUGACUCUGAUGGGAUUUUGUUAUCUUUAACACCAAAGCUGCUAGUGGUUCAUCAUACGCUAAAUCAUUUGUAAACAUAGGAAGCAUGAUGAAGAUAAUUCAACGAUACAAUACGAUAUCCUUGAAGUUUUUCUAGUUUCUUUAGCUAUACGGCUCUAUGUUUUGUUUGUUUACCGACUAAGACGGUUCUUAAAUUGGUGGUUGACACCUCUCACUGAGAAUCCAAAUCAUAUGCUAAUUAAGGGCAUUUCCAUCAUUUUGUUUGCUUGAUCUAGGCGUGGAUGGUGAGGACAUAACCAAUUUUGACUGUGCUUUCGUCCAGAAGAUUAUCAGCAUGAUGUUCACCUACUUGAGACUAAGGGAUAAGGUGGUCCUUCUUCUAUUGAGUGGCAAAAAUUUAUCUUUCUUGCAUAAUGAGAUGAUAUAAAUGUCACAACAGAUUGCUCUUGCGCCAAUGGUCGAGCCCCUUCGGCUAUGUAUUUCUAAAAGAAAUGACUGGAGAGUGAUUUUCCUUUUUGGAGUCAUCAUGGCUGUUAGAGAAAUUAACUCUAAUUCUGUGAUUUUUUUUUUCUGAUGUUAGGAGUGAUUCUAUUUGUUUUAUGAGAUUGGUUAGAAGCGUAGCUGUAUGUUUUUGUAGUUGUUACUAUAAUUAGCUCGAGAGGUGUUCGUUAGAAUGUCCUAGAAAAACUUGAGUUGAAUAGCUUUUGGGAUAAUCAUCUUUUAUACACACACACUUUUGUACAAAGUGGAGGUGUGAGAUUUUAUCUCUUCAUUUUUUCUAAUUCUUUGCUUAUUUGAGUUCUUCACUACGUUCAUCUUGGGUAUAAUGUUUAUCAUUUCAACUUGCUCAAAAAAAAAAAAAAAAACUUGCUCGAUAUCUUUUUUGUGUAAUUCUAAUAAUUAGUUGUCUUAGUGCUUAUAAAAAAAAAAAAAAAACAAGCUUUCUAAUCAUUGUUUACAGAUUUGGGACCUUAUAGCAUCUCCUUGGAAAUUUGAAUUCAAUGAAAAUGCAUUUAAAAUUUGAUAAUAUAGCAUGAAAAUUCCUUAUAUGACGUGAAUAAAGUAUGUCUCUUUAGGCAAAUUUUUCUUUUCAAACAAUGAAAAGUAACAUCCUGUUCAUUUUCAUAUUUCAGCCCAAACGUCACAAAUGUUGCUAUUUUCCUGGUUGACAUCUGAAUUUUCUCCAAUAAAUUUAACAUACAUUCGUCUAAAAAUUCAAAUAUAUAAAAGAAAAAAAAUAAGUUCAAAUUAAAAAACAAGAGAGAGAAAAUAAAAUGGUAAAAACUCAAGCUCACCAGAGGAGGUUCAUAGAUCUUGUCCAAUUUGCGCAACCCAAUUCGGCCCAAAACUCAUCAAAUACGUAAAGCCCGCUCAUCAGCCACACCAAGAGGCCCAUCAGCCCAAAGCCCACGAAAGGAAUCAAGUUCGGCCAUUUCUUUUGGCUUUUCCUCUCUCUCUCUCUCUCUCUCUCUCUCACCUUCGGAAGCCCCAAAGGUCACGCAGAGGAAGGGGUUAAGGGAAUUGAUCCUUCGCUGGUUUUAAUAUCCUGCAUCUCCGCCGCGUCGCAUUGGCUUCUCCGGUCUUCAUUACUGGAAAAUCUACUAUGUGCUCGUUCAUACCCCUGAACUGUAUUGAUAUGCAUGUUUGAGGACUGUUUCUUCAUUUAAGAUAUCCCAUUGUGUAGUGCGUACUUGAGCUGCGACAUUCUUCAGCAUACUUGUCAAUUUACUUUCUUCAGUUGGUUCAAUGCAAGUAUGUAUAACCGUCAAGUCUCUCAACACGCUGUGCUGACCAACAAUUUAGAGAAGUUGCGCGUGGAUUUGCUGUAACCAGCUUAUACUCAACCGGUAAUGUUAAGCUCAUUGAUGUUUAGAGCGUAUGUGCUAUUUUAGAACUGAACGCGUCAAUGGAUUGCAAAGUAUACAAUGGUCGUAGUUUGUCUGCCGCUGCUUUGUCGAUCAUGCGGCCACAGGAAAUCCACUCUUAUAGAUUCAAGCAGUAUGCAGAAAGCUUGCACUAUACUUUGCUCUCAGCAAAGGCGGCCAUUAAGCUCCACGAAAGUGCUCCCAGAAGACCUGGUAAAACCAAAGUAAUGAUCUUCUUCAGUAACCAAAAAGUGGGACGGAGUCACCGCAACAGCCAUCUAGUUCGUGAAUAAUGUCCCUACAAAUGAAAGUAAAUGCGAUUUUUUACGUGAAAAAAACGCCGUCCAUAAAAACAAGAUAAAAAUAAAGAGAAAAUGUACCGGGUAAUUCCGUAUAGAGGUUUGAUGAGCCGUGAUAACUGGUAACGCAGAAGAACCAGAUAUCAUAUCACGGCUGCCUAGUCCAGCGCAAACGGAUCGCUAGUCCUGUUAAGUAUCAGAGCAAACGGAAGCUGAUCAGCGCAAACAGAUUGUUAGAUCUAAUUUUCCAUUAAGAAAACCUUCGAUCUAGAUGCCAAUCAUCUUUCGAAUAAAAAUGUAUGAAGGGCCCAAGACACCUUGAACAACAUAAAUCAUCGCAACUGCAACUUUGUCCGGGGACAAGUUAACCCCGAAAAACUCUACUGAGCUUGUAUAGUUCUUUUCUUCCGAAGAAGAUUUUUUCUGGAAGUGGCUGUUUCUUCGUCAGUGUUUGUCGUCAACGUAUCCCCGUUCCUACACCUAAAUUACUAAUGGAAAAGGAUAAGGAAACACGGCAUCAGAUCAGCAGUGGCAUUAGGGAAGCAGCAUCAAGUUUUGUGGAUACAUGUUAGAGAAAAGACAUGUUCGUGAGUAAAAUCUAACAGCUGCCAAAACGAACAAAAAAAGAAAAAAAAAAAAAAAAAAGCCACUUCAGAUCGGUGACCUUGACAGAGAAGUCUGCUUCGACAUAGGUUGUAAAGUUGCAUCAAAUAUACAAGUCGACUCUUUUUUCAUGUUCGAAAAGAUUGAGUGACAAGCUUGCGCUCAAUUCCACGCAACCAAGAAGCAGCACAUAUUUGGCCGAUAAAAUUCGAUAUUUCAGCAGGUUUUUUACUUCGCUCGAGCAGUAUUUUCCGUUGCUCGAAGAAUACUCUCGUCUCUAUUUGUGGAACUUCAACUAGAUUAGACAGGUGAUAGAUCAGCUCAAAUUAUAUCAGAGACGUGCAUGAGCAAAGACGAUCGGCCAGGAGCACCAAUAUCCAGCAGAGUGAAUUGAAUUAUAACCAUCACCACUUAAACCAGUUAAACGAGCAACAACUACAUUGCCAAUGUCACGUAAGUGGGUACUUAACAAUCAUCCUAAAUUCAGGCAUAAAUUCCCCAAAAGGAAAACAAAUAUUUCACCAAAGAACAAAAGGCUAUUAUUAUUAUCCACAGUUGGGGUAAAUCGGUGAGAAUAACCAUCGGAGACUGAAAAAUUUUGACGCAAUAAAAAGUUAACGAUUCUGGAAUUCGGAAGCCAAUCACGAUCCUCUUUGAAAUGGCAAGGCGCCGCCGACAUCAGGACGGCAGCGGCAUGCGGUUGCCCAGUGGCUCCGGUGGACUUUUCCGGGGAGCACGUCUCCGGGAACCGAGCGUCGAGGUUCGACGACGUCCUGCGAGAUGGAGGACAAAGGUAGAAUCUUCGGGGAUCGGCAGUUCGAAGAACGAGAUGGUUGUUAGGAAUUUUAUCUUGUCGCCUUUUGGAUGGUUGGAUUGAUUGAACUGCCCUCCUCGCGUGGGAUUAUUCAUGGGCGGACCUUGGUUGUCACUGUAUUGAUUAAAUCACCUUUACCAAUGCAAUUUUCAUAACCGAAAAAUCGUGGCAAUGAAACAUUUCAUAGCUAAAAAAGUACAAAUUCUUUUUUGGCCACCAUUGUAGCCACGGUUUUUUUUUUUUUUAGUGACCCAAGAACCGCUGUACAGCCGACAGCCGACGACGUAAAUUCGGGGCGGUGCCGCAGGGACCCACCUCCCAUGACGUCACAGGUUAGGCGAGCAAUGCGCACGCCGGGACUCGAACCUCCCCCCUUCCGCAAUUAGAGGGGGAAAGGCCCAAGCCAGCACACCCACAAGCGGGUGGGUGUAGCCACGAAAGUUUUCGUUUAUAUUUUCGAAAGAAAUUUGGUUAGGAUCACCUAGUUCAAUUGAUAAAUUGGUCUCAAUUCAGUCCUAAACCUUUUGAUAGUACUAAUUUAAUCAUAAAUCUUUUGAAUUUGUGCUAAUUUUGUCUUAAACUUUUUGAACUAUUGCUAAUUUAAUUCUAAACGUUUUGACUUGAUGUUAAUUCAGUUCUUCUAGUUAAUUUUGAUUGUAUAUUGCUGACAAGGAUGCUGGCCAGCUUACGUGGCAUUGUCGAUGCUGAUAUAGAUAAUCUUUAAUAAUAUUUCAAUAUUUUUCAAUUUUUUUUGUUCCUUUUUACUAUUUUUUCUUCUUCUUCCUUUUCCCAAUGACUGGCCACUGGCCACGGUUGAACAAGCUAGCCUCACCUGGUCAUGGCGAGGCCGAGUCUCGACGAGGGUCGACCUCACUGGAUUUGGCUUAGGCAAGGCCGACCUUCCCUAAGCGUCACCUUCGCCCGUGUUUUCUUCUAGAAGAUUAUCAGCACGAUGUGCACCUAUUUGAGACUAAGGGAUAAGCUGGCCAUUCUUCUAUUGAAUGGAAAAAGUUGAUCUUUCUUGCAUAAUGAGAUGAGAGAACUGUUACCACAGAUUACUCUAGCACCGAUCUGCGAGCUCCUUGGGUUCUGUAUCGCUAAAAGAAUUGAUUGGAGAAUGAUUUUCCCUUUCAAAGUCAUCAUGGUUGUUAGAGAAAUUAAGUCUGAUUCCGUGAUUUUUGAUUUUCUGAUGUUAGGGGUGAUUCAAUUUGUUUUGAGAUUGAUUCUAUGAAGAUGGCAAGAAUCGCAGUUAUAUGGAUUCGUAGUAGUUGCUAUAAUUAGCCUGGUUGGUGUUCGUUAAAAUUUCCUAGGGAAAUUUGAGUUGAUUGUCACACUGGACAAUCAUCUUUUGUGAAUGAUAAAUGUGUCUUCACUUUUGUGCAACGUGCAGGUGUGAGAUUUUAUCUCUUCAUUUUCUAUAGUCCUCUGCUCAAGUUAUUUUGGGCAGUUCCAAUAAUCAGCUUAAGUAAGCUGUCAUUGUGUUUGGUAAGCUUUCCUAGUAUUUGCUUUACAAAUUUGGUACCUUACAGCGUGUUAUGAAAAUUGAAUUCCAUAAAAUUGUAUUUAAAGUUGAUUAUAUAACAUGCAUAUCCCUUAUAUUGCACGAAUAAAGAAUGUCCAAGUUUUCCUUUUUUAACAAUGGAAAAUAAUUUCUAAUACGGUUCCAAGUUUUAGCCAAACAUCAGGAAAUAUUAUCAUUUUCUCAAUUGACACCUGAAUUUUCGCUGAUAAACCCAGCACACAUUUGUGUAGAAAAUAUAAUCGUAGUUAAGAACAAAAAUAAAAUAAAUAAUUACAAAUGAAAAAGAGAGAAUAAAAUGGUAAAAGUCAAGCUCGCCAGAUGAAAGUCAUCAAUCUAGUCGAAUCCGUGCAACCGCUUCGGCCCAAAACUCAUCAAAUAGGUAAAAGCCCGCCAGUCCACACUUCGCACAGGCCCAGAGUCACAAGUCUGAGCUGAAGGAACCAAGCCCACAGAGGAUUUGCGUUUUCUCCCUCUCUCGCCCGAAGCUCCAUCUCCACCAUUCGAGUUUCACAAUGGCCGAUUCUAGUAUUCCGCCAUCUCCACCGCCUCGCAUCGGCUUCUCCGGCCCUCAGACGUAACUCUUCCAGUUCCUCCCACGGGGAAAAGCUUUCUGAGUUGUGCCGAUAGCUCUGCGGUUCCAGCCUCGACUCGUCUUGAAUUUCCUGCAUUCCCUUGAAGCUUCUCAAUCUCACUCGAACUGGAGCCAAUCGUAGCCAAGCGCCUCCCUCGCUCGACAACUUCAUUAUCGUUUGUUUUUGUCACUGCCUCCUCCUUCGGUUUCUAUCGUCUUCGUUCUCCGACGGAGGAGAAUAGCCGUGACUGAAACUCGAUCAGAAUUGGAUUCUUCACUUUGAGCUCUUCAUCAUUCGGUUACUGCAACCAUUUUGAAGGUAAGUCGUCUCUCAUUCUCUGGAUUUCAUUUUUCAAUUCGGUCAAUAGCAUCGAUUCUCGGCCUUUUUCUGAAUUUCCAGAGACCUCUUCAUCGAAACUUCUUCUCUAUUUCCCUCCAGACACUGUCAGCCACUGCCAACCGCAACCGAUCGUCACCGUUCCCAUUUCCACGGCUGCCGUCGGAAGCUCUGUUCGCCCCUGUUCUCCGUCACCGAUGCUGAAGUUCUCGGACCGCAGUCACCACCGUCUCUCGUGACGGUUCCAUUUCAUGAAGCCGCGUCUGCGAUCACCUUACCAAGGUCCGAUCAUUAAUCGCCACAGGUAAUCAUCCCUUAUUCAAUCGAAUCACAUAUGCUCUGUUUCAAGUUGCUCUACGUACAGACUACUGCAUGGGUAAAAUCUACUAAUUGCUUUGUGAUCAUCUCGUUCACAUAACUGAACUUAUUGAUAUGCAUAUUUGAGGUUGAGGUGCUUUUCUGUAUCUUCAUAUCAGAAUUGUGCAGUGCGUGCUUGAGCCGAGAGAUUCAUCAGUAUAUUUAUCGACUUACUUUCGUCGAUUUGUUCAAUGCAUGCCCGACCGUUGCUCUCAACACGUUGUGCUGAUCAACGCUUUAUAGAAGUUGCGCUUGGAUUUGCUGGAACCAGCUUAUACUCGACUGGUCAAGUUGAGCAAAGGUGGUCACUGCAGCAACCAUCUAGUUCGUGAAUAAUUCCCCUAGAAAUGAAAAAAUAGGUGCAAUUCUUAAGAGAAACGGCCGCGGUCCGUGAAAACAAGAUGAGGAAAAGAGAAAAUGUACCUGAUAAACCCGUAUAGAGGUUAAACGAGCCAUGGUAAAGCAGAAAAACCAGAUGUCACAGCUGUAUAGUCAAGCGCAAACAGCUUGUUAUGUUAAUCCUGAUAAUUAUCGGAGACUGAAGCUGUUCGGCUGCUUAGAAAGACACUCCUUUGUAGAUGCCCAAAAACAAUAAAAAUAAAAACCAAGCCCACAACCAGACUUCUUAAGUACGCGCGUUUCUCUCUUCAUACUGCCGGAACAUACGAAUUAAAUGUUCUCGAAGGAGUCCUAACCAAGCCCACAGCCUGACUUACUGAUUGAAUGUUCUCUAUUUUAUUUUGUGGUGUCCCAGUUUUGUGGGUUUUCGAUUGUUGAAUUGACUGAAUUGACAUUCUCUUGUGAGAAUAUUCUCGGAUGGGACUUCGGUUGUGAGGUAAUUAGACUCGGUUUCCUUCGUUAAUCGAAUGGCAGAUUUUUUAUUAGUUUGGCUUUUUAGUUAGGGCUUCUAGGUGAAUUCGAAUUCAAUGCGACCAUGUGAACAUCAUGUUGAUAUAGCUAAUUCGAAAUUAAUAUGAUUUGACUCUUUUUGGAUACUUUUUGGUGAAAAGGGCGAUUCCUCGUAAUAAUUAAAAUAAAAAAAAUUUAUAUUGAAAAUUUCAUGAUAAGAGAAAGUAUUUUUCAUGAAAUUUUGAUUUGUUUAAUAGUUUAAAAAAAAGAAGUGAUUUCCUUCUUGUUAUAAACGAAAUGCGGUUUUUCCCCAAUUUAAAAUUGUUGCUUUUCAAAAAAUAUUUUUUUAUAAAUUAAUUAAUUUUCCGUCAUCUAAACUUUAAAAAGUCAAAAAGGAAUUUCCCGAAAAAUAACUUUCCUUCGAACAAACAACCCUAAGUUUAAGUAAGUUCAGCGACUAUUUAAAAGAAAGGAUCUUGUAACUCUGUAGAAGACUACUAGAGACGUUGGCAGAGGCUUUCAAACACGCCCAGGCGCCCCCCCCCCCCCCACCCCCCUAUUAAUGGGCAAGAUCGGAGUCACUUGAAUCUAAGUUUAAUUCAGCUCAGAGAAGUGCUAAGAUGUUGGCAAGAGGCCCUUGAACAGGCCCUCUCUAUCUCUUUAUGAGCAAAAUUAGCGUCACUUAAAUCUAAGCUUAGUUUGACGAGUAAGAAACUAUCAAAAUAUUCGGAACAAGACAUGCGCUUAAAAUAUCACUAGAACUAGAGGAGAUUAUUACGUGAAAUGAUUCCCUAGGAUUCAAGAAUUGGACGUGCUCUUACAAUAUCACUAGAAUUAAAAGAAAUUAUUACGUGAAAUGAUUCCUUAAAAUUACUCCAUGUCACUAGCUAAUCUUUAUGAACUAAGAUCUUAUCAUUUCAUUGUAAGUUGCAAAAUGUGAAAUUGGUGCAAUUCAGCUUGUCAAAUUAAUAAAUAAAAAAAAAUAGAGAUGUGCUUGUCAUUUUAUAUACAGUAUAGGUAGUUACAAUCAAAUCUUUUGCAAAGUAUACAUGGACACUGAAAAGAUUACAUAUUAGAAAUUGAAAACCACUGACCAAUAAAAUUACAUACAAAAAACUUGUAAUUGAAAAAUAAAUAACAAAACAUAUAUUAAAGAUACUCUGAUAGUAACCCUAAAUUUGAACUAGGUGCCACCACAAUGAGAUUGUCCUUCAAAAGAUUAAACCAAUAUAAUUUAUAAAAGUGUCAGCUAACUAAUUAGCAAUUGGAAUACAUAUUGAAAUAAUUUCACCAGAUGCGAUUUUGUCCUGAAUAUCAAUGUGCUUGGUGUGAGCAUGGAAAGCCAAAUUAGCAGCUAAAUAAGUGGCUAUAAUAUUAUCACAUAUGAUUUACAGCCGGUUUAGGUGAAAAUACAUGAAGAUCAUAUGACUUCUCUAAAAUCCAAUAAGUUUCUACAACUGCAGAGGCGAAAACUCCUGUAUUCAGAUCCCGCAAUGUCAUAUUGUACCCAAUAAAAGCUAAGUAUCCAGAUGCUAAGUGAUGAGUAUCGGGACAACCGACCCAAGAGCAUGAGUUAAUGUUACCAAGGAGCUGUCGAAUGAUGGCUUCAAUAACAGUCCAUGAUCAAUUGUUCCAUUAAAAUAUAUAAAAAUGAGAUUAAUCGCUUGUAAGCGAGAUGUUUGAGGGCAAUGCAUGAACUGAUUCUCGACACGGGCAGCAUAAGAAAUGUCGGUAGGAUCCAUCAGUAACACACCAUCAUGUAAAGAAGGUUGAGACUUAAAACUGUAGAAGAUUCCUAGUGUAAUGUGUUCGAGACAGCAAAAUUCCCGUACCUCUGGACUGGUCCUCAACGCCAAGGAAGAAUGCGAUGGAAAAAAAAACUUUCAUGGUAAAAGCAAAAAGAAGUUUCCGAAUGAAACUAUGUAACUCUGUGGCACUACUACCUGUUAAAAGAUUACCAUCAACGUGACGUAGUAGAAUCAAGAUUCUAGAGCUUGAAUUAUGCACAAAUAUGAGUCAUAUGCCUUGCUGUAAAUAAAAGUGUUCGAAUGCUUAAAGAAGAACUCGCCUUUGACCUAAAAGAGGUCCAUAAACAUGCGAAAAGUAGUGCUCAACACAAUAAUUCGAAUCUGAUUCCAACAAUGCGCAGUAAAUUUCAAAAUUUCAUCCCGACCAUACCAUAAUCCCAAGUUGACUUCCAUAAAAUCCCAUAGUUUCACGACACACCAAAGUUUCAUUACAACAUGAUUUCAUAGCUCAACAACCUCUAGAAUCAGCCUAGUAACCUAAAACCAGAAUAGAAUUGAAAUUGCAGCUUAACCUAUAAAAUUUCCUUCAAUCGGGUGAAUUAAGUCUUUGAAUUCUUCUCAAGCGCUUCACGUACCACAUUAAUCCAAUGCGUUAUGAACUUGAACUGAACCCUUUCUCUCUCUACCGCACAGUUCACUUCUCUUUUCCAGUUUUCUUGAUUCUUCUUUCUCCCUCUUGACUAUUCCUCUUUUCUCUAAUAAGCCAACUACAACAAUUAUAACUAAGCUGAAGGAAGUUAGUCUGUUGGGCUUCAAAGAUGCAGCCUCAUGGGCGCAAUAAAUGAGAAUUGGUCUCUUGAGCCUAAGUCCCUUUCUUUUUUUCUUUUUUUUUGUAAAGGGAAGACUAUCGUUAUGGCUGCAACUCUGGUUAAAGUCUUAGACAUGGAUGGGGGAAAUUUUUUGAAUGAACCCAGAGCCCAACUUGCAUCCACUAUUGAAUGAUGCGAGCUCCACGUUGAACCCAACUUUUCACGGUGCAUGUGAGAAAUUGUGAAUCCCGAAAUUCAUUCCUUCCAUUGUGAAUAUAUCUAUAGAUUAAGUUAGUUAAGUCAUUAAGUAAUUUAAGGUAAUUGGCCGUGAUGGUUAGUCCAACUAGUAGCACCAAUUGCUACGGUGAUGAUGGAAUGAGUCAUCCUACGGAGCUGUUGACGACAUUGGCAUGCCAUCGGCCGUUGGAUGGGUGGCGCUCUCUAUGUCGCCCCAUUCUUGAUUUUUUUUUUUUUUCAUUUUCAGUUUUUUGCUUCUUUUUUUUUUCUUAUUUGCUUUUCGUUUUGCCUUUUUUCUUUUAUCAUACUUGAACUUGUAAACAUACAGUAAAACCUAGAUAAAAUUCUAAUGGAGAAUUACAAUAGAGAUUAAUAUGAUGAAAAACCCCUAUGAUUAAACAUGAAAAUAGUACAACGAAAAUUAUAGUAUUGUUCUUUACCGAAAACAAAAAAACAAAAAAAAAAACAAGAAAAAACAAAAAAAAAAUUAUAGUAUUGUUAAUUUCACAUGUAACACAUGUAAAUUUCACUGGCAAUGGAAAAAAAGACAUUCACAUUGCGAUGAACGAGAGAUGUGAAAACUGGAGGAACAAAGCCAAUUUGCAUCCUGCAAAGUCUUAGUCUUCUUGGAAAUGAUUUUUCUCCCAUUAUCACUUCUUCUUCUUUUCGCAAAGUCUAGAUCUUCGUGGUUGAUUAAAUUUUUUUCUCCCAUUAUCACUAUUUUCACAAAGUCUUGGUCUUUCUAGAAAUGGUUAAAGUUUUUCUCCAAUCAUCACUUUUAUUUUUUUGCAAAGUCUUCAUCUUCGUGCAAUUGAUUAAAGUUUCUCUCUCAUCGUUAGAGCCGUUAAACGGGUGGGUCGGGUCGGGUUUGGGUCGGGUCAUUAAUGGUCCGACCCAAAUUGACCCAUUAACCCAUUUAUGACCCAUUAAUGUUUAAUGUAAAUUUUUCGACACAAACCCGACCCGACCCAUACCCAACCCAUACCCGACCCGACCCAACUCAUAUUAAUAAAAUAUUUUCAUAUUUAACAAAUUUAGAAAAACUUAUUCCCAUGUUUUUUUUAAAGAUUAUAUUAUUAAAAUACUUCCAAGCUUUUAUAUAUAUAUAUAUUAUUUUUUUUUUAAAAUUGUAUUGCUAAAAUAGUUUUAUACAAUAUAAAUUUAAUGGAAAAUUUUUAUAAAUUUUAAAAUAAUUAUUUAAAAAAAAAUCGAAAUUUAAUUAUUUAAAAAAAUUAAAAUUUUUAUUAUUUUUAAAAUAUAAUUUUCUUUUUCUUUUUCUUUUUCUUUUUCUUUUUUCUUUUUUCUUCUCCUUCUUCUUCUUCUUUGGCCGGCCGCCGGCCACGACGACGGCUGGCGACCGGCCACGACGACGGCCGGCGACCGGCCACAGGUGAGCCUCGAGCUCGAGCUCGCCGACGCCGGCGAGCUCGAUCUCGCCCGACGCCGAGAGCUCGAGUCUGGCCAGAUCGGCGAGGCUCGAGCCUCGCCAGAUCUGGCGAGCCUCGAGCUUGCCGACGCCAGCGAGGCCUCCGCCUCGCCAGAUCCGGCGAGCUCGAGCUCGCCCCUCGCCGGAACUGGCGAGGCUCGAGCCUCGCCCGACGCCGGCGAGCUCGAGUCUCGCCAGAUCUGGCGAGCCUCGAGCUCGCGGACGCCGGCGAGGCCACCGCCUCGCCAGAUCCGGCGAGGCUCGAGCCUCGCCCGAUGCGGGAGAGCUCGAGGCUUCGGCAGAUCGGCGAGGCUCGAGCCUCGCCCGACGCCAGCGAGCUCGAGGCUCGCCAGAUCGGCGAGGUUCGAGCCUUGCCGACGCCAGCAGGCUCAGGCUCGCCAGAUCAGCAGGCUCGAGUCUCGCCGGGCGUCGGCGAGGCCUCCGCCUCGCCAGAUCGGCGAGCUCGAGCUCGCCCGACGCCGGCGAGCUCGAGGCUCGCCCUGGCCCGGUCGCCGGGCUGUCGUCGUGCCGGCGACCGGAAGGAGGAAGGAGAAAGAAAAAAAAAGAAAGAAAAAAAAAAAAGAAGAAAGAAAAUAAAGGAAGAAAAAGAAAAGAGAAAAUAAAAAUAAAAAAAAUUAUAAUUUGGAUUUUUAUAAAGUUGAAGAGAGAAGGGAGGAAUUAUAAUGUUUUUGUUAAAGAUGAGUUUUCAACCCAACCCAUUUAAAAACCCACUUAAGACCCACCUAUCUUAAGCCUAUAAUUGUGAAACCCAUUUAAUUAUCUUUUGUUAUAAACAAGUGACCCAUUUUAACACCUCUACUCAUCGUCACUUUUUGUCCGGCAAAGUCUUGGUCUAUUUGGAAUUUAUUUAAAUUUCUCUCCCACCAUCACGAAUUUUUAUUAAAGUGCUUCACUUUUGCUUUACAUGUUUGAGUGAAAAUUAUGUAAUUUUGCUUCAACUUUCCCAAAAAAAGACACAUGAUAUCUAGCAAAAUCUUUGGGCAUAUUCUCUAAAUAUUGUGAAAAAUGCACUUGUGGACAAAAGUAUUUUAUAUCGAUUUCUCUAAUCUCUACGUGCAUUUUUGAAAGUCUUGGUCUCCCUAUAGUUUGUAGUUUUCUCUUUCCAUUAGCUCAUUAUCACUCAACUCUUGUUUUUCUCUUUAGUGACUGAUUCACCCAUGACCAUUGGAGAGCUCUUUUUGAGUUCCUUCUUGGCUUCCUUGUUGUACUAAUUUCUAGUAUUGUUAAUUUUAAGCAAGACAUGUAGCAUGUGGAAAUGCUACUAGUAAUGGAAAAAGAGACAUUGACAUAGGGAUGGAAGAGGAGGGAUGUGAAAAGUGAAGCAACAAGGACAAUUUGUGUCCUGCAAAGUCUUGAUCUUCCUAGCAUUGAUUAAAGUUUCUUUCCCAUUACCGCUUUUUCCCUUUGGCUUCACUUUUUACACAAAAAACUUGAUGAGAUCCAGUAAAGUCUUGGUCUUCCUAAUACGCCAAAAAGCUUGAGUUAGAUGGAAGAGGGUAUGUUUUGAUGCACAUUCUGUCCUCGAGUUAGAUUGUUCCCCUUUUUUUUCUUUUGACCAAAGCUCAUGAUUUUAUCUUCCUUAUCAAACAAACAAACAUAACAGUCUUUGAUGACUUAUGGAUGCAUAACAGAAAAUAAGAUGCCAUUGUUGGCUUUAUCCUCAAUAAUUUAGGUUUCAAUUACAUCAACAAAGUGGAGAUCCUUUGAUGCGAUUUUGGCCCCAUGAUGCAUGAGGAACUGUUGGGGAGGCAUAUGUUGGCACGAGAUGGCUAGCUGCAGAGUCCUUGCGACAAGUACCAUGUCAUGAUGGAGUUUGACAUAAUUUUGAGCCUUCGGAUGUAGAUGUCCAGCUUCAAAUUCAUUAUAUGGUCUUAACUCAAUUCUCAAAUUGUUUGUGUACAGGCUCUUAAUAGUGCAUGAUUGUAAAUUCUCUAGAAUCAUUAUAAUCAACCUAUACACCAACACAUAAUACUAAUUCGCUUCAAGUAAUAUUAGAGGAAAGGCAUAAUACUAAUUUGUAUGCUCACUCAAAAUAAGUUGGUUGAAUCGCUCUCAAAAUUCUAAAAUCAUAGAUAAUCUAGAUUCAUUGUCUAGAAAAUAUUCCAUACCAAAUGGUUUGUUCUCCCCAUUGAAAAAAGAAGACCAAUCUUGCUUUAAGAAAGCAAAAUUCAUGCAAGACAUGCUAGACUCCAACUUGACAUGAUUCGAUGGCUCUCUCUCUCUCUCUCUCUCUCUAAUUGGUUAAACCCCCUGAGUCGUUCCAUAUCCACACACAUUACAUGUUCCGUUCAUGCAUAUUUAGAUUCUCAACUUCUGUUAAUUCUUAGAACCUACAAUAUCUAAAACAUGAUUGAGGAAAGCAUUCGAAAUAGUAUGGACUAAAUUUAUAGUAACCAAUUAGUGCCAAACACAAUAGUUCAAAUAUGGUUCCGACAGUGUGCAAUAAACUUCAAAAUUUCACCCCAACGAAACCGUAAUCCUAAGUUGACUUCCAUAAAAUCUCAUAGUUUCAUGACCCCAAAAUUUCAUUACUACAUGAUUUCAUAGCUCAACAACCUCUAUAAUCAACCUUGCAACUUCAAACCCGAAUGGAAUUGAAAUUACAACUUAAUAUAGAAAAAAUUUCUUCCAUUAGGUUUAUUAAGUCUUUGGAUUCUUAUCAAGCGCUUCUUGUACGACAUUAAUCCAACGCAUUAAGAUGUACCCAGCGAACUUGAACCGAACCCUUUCUCUCUCUAGCGCGCAGUUCACUUCACUUUUCCAGCUUUCUUGAUUCUUCUCUCUCUCUUAACUAUUCCUCUUUUCUCUGAUAUGCCAACUACAACAAUUAUAACUUUCUUUGGAGCAACUUGCUUUUGCUGCGGGUUUGAGGGUUUAACGUCGUUGGGGGCUGGUCCGUUCAGUGGUUGCCGCUUUUGCUGCUGUGUGGAAUGCUGCCGGUUGCUGCUUCCCCUCACUGUCCCUUUUCCAUUCCUUUUUUGCCAUUGUUUGGCUGCCCUCUUUUUGCUGGUUGGCUGUUUCGCUGCCUUUGUUGGGCUGUUGUGGCUCUUUUUCUUGGGACCAUUCCACUUGUCUUGACAUGUAAGUCUUUAUGAGUGUAAGUUCUUUGGUGGCGAGAUCCAUCAGUUGUACAUUUUGUGGUUAAAAGUCAAUAUAAUUCUUACCUUACCAAAAGAAAAAAAAAACAAUUAUAACUAAGCUGAAGGAAGUUAGUCUGUCAGGCUUCAAAGGUGCAGCUCCAUGGGCGUAAUAAAUGAGAAUUAGGUCUCUUGAGCCUAAUUCCUUUAAAAAAAGAAAAAAGAAAAAAAGAAAGACUCUUUUGUUGCGGUAGCAACUAUUGUUAAAGUUUUAGAUACAGGAUGAGGGAAAAUUUUUGAAUGAACCCAAAGCAUGUGAGCCUAGCUCACAUCCACUAUUAAAUGAUGUGAGCUCCACAUUGAACCCAACUUUUCAUGGUGCUCGUGAGAAAUUGUAAAUCCCAGAAUUCAUUAUUUCCAUUGUGAAUAUAUCUAUAAAUUAAGUUAGUUUAGUCAUUAGGUAAUUUAAGGUGACCGGUUGUGAUGGUUAGUCCGGCUAGCAGCGCCAACUGCAACGGUGGUGAUAGGGUUGGAAUGAGUCAUCCUACGGAGGUGUUGACGACAAUAGCAUGCCAAUGGCCAUUGGAUGGGUGGCGCUCUCUAUGUGGCCAUACUCGUGAUUUUUCUUUUCCUUUUCAUUUUUUUCGCUUUUUUUUGUUCGCUUUUUUUUUUUUUUUGGCCUUUUUUCUUUUAUCAAAUUUCCAUGGAUGAAAACCUAGAGAUAAUUCUGAUAGACAAGUACAAUAGAGAUUAAUGAAUGAAAACCCCAAUAUGAUUAAACAUGAAAAUAAUUAACCGAAAAUUAUAGUAUUGUUAAUUUUACAUGUAACACAUGGAAAUUUCACUAGCAAUGGAAAAAGAGACAUUCACAUGGCAAUGAAUGAGAAAAGUGAAAAGUGAAGGAACAAAGCCAAUUUGAGUCCUGUAAAUUCUUGGUCUUCCUGCAAAUGAUUAAAGUUUCUCUCCUAUCAUCACUUUUUCGCAAAGUCUUGGUCUUUGUGGAAUCGAUUAAAGUUUCUCUUCCACCAUCACCUUUUUUCGCAAAGUCUCAGUCUAUCUGGAAUUGAUUAAAGUUUCUCUCCCAUUGUUACUUUUUCUUAAAAAGCUUCACUGUUGCUUCCUAAAUAUAACCGACAUAGACACGUGAUACACGACACGAUUUACCGACAUUUCAUUUUUCAAAAAACAAAAAAUUCCGACAUGUUGAAAUACGUUAUAUAUUAAAUAAAUAUUUUUUAUAUAUACAUAAUAAAUUAUUAUUUUUAUGAUAAAUUUACAAAUAGAUAAAUAAUAAAAAAAAAAAGCCUAAAAUGAGCUUACAAGUCCUCUAUCCCGCCUUGGCUACCGCGCCUUUUUGGCAAUUCAUUUGAACACACGUUCUUAGAACAAGAUAGAAAUUCUUUUACAUUUUCUUUUGAAGAUAAUUCAUAUAAUAAUAUAUUAAUCUAAUGAUUAAUAAAAAUUAAAAAUCUACUCUGACCAUCUCUCUCGUCCUCUUCUUGGGGUUUUCCAGACCAAGAAGCUUGCCCUCAACAAAUAACUGUGGACUUUAACCGUCAAGCGUUGCUUGUCGGGAGCCCCAAGUGAAAGCAAGGGAUGCCGUUCGUGGAACCUCACCAUGGUCGCGAUGGGCGAGGUCAAGAUUCCGACAACGGACUUCCAGAUCUGGAGGUGAGAUCGAGAUACGGUUGUGAUUGUGCUCCAUCUUCCCCGUUGUUGCCAUGGUUGCUGCAAAUCUAACUGUUUAGAUCGGAUCUGCAGUGGCGGAGGCAUUGGGUGGGGACUCACUAUUGGGCGCGGCGGCCAUGUGAGUCCUCCACCUCCCGCUUCUCCGCCUCCCUUAAGAACACCAACCCCCACCUCCCCUAUGGUGGCACAUGGCGGAAACUCUCAUAAUUACUUGAAUGCCCCUACGCGUGUUGGAAUCGCAUGUCGAAAUUUUGGACUCGCGUGUCGGAGUAUAUCAAGAAGAGUUGACCAUUUGUCGAAUUUUCCGACACUUAUUGACCACGUGUCGAAACAUGUCGAACAUGUGUUGGAGUGUCGGACACGACACAAAAGCUUUUGAAAAGUGUCGGUACUUCUUAAGUUACUUCACAUGUAUUGCGUGGAAAUUAUCUACUUUUGCUUCAGCUUUCCGUAAAAAAAAGCACAUGAUAUCCAGCAAAGUCUCGUGAAAUAUUCUCCAGAUAUUACGAAACAAGCACUUGUAGACAAAAAGUCUCUGGAAAUAUUCUCCGGAUAUUGCGAAACAAGCACUUGUAGACAAAAAGUAUCUUGCAUCUAUUUUCUCUAACCUCUGAUGCGCAUCUUUGAAAGUCUUGGUCUUGCUAAAGCUUAUAGUUUUCUCUCUCUACUAGCUCCUUAUCACUCAAACCUUGUUUUUUCUUCAGUGAUUCAUUCACCCAUGACCAUUGGAGAGAUCUUUUCGGGUUCCUUCUUGGCUUCCUUCUUAUACUAAUUUCUAGUAUUGUUAAUUUUAAGAACGGUUAAUAUCUUGAAAAAUUCCAAACUGGUACACAUGUGACAAAUUUACCUCAAAUUAUUUUUUUAAUCACCGAAAACUCUAAACUGAUAUACCUUUGAUAAAUUUAUCCCAAAUUAGUAUACUUAUAACAAUUUUACCCUAUGUUAGUUUUCGUUAAAUUUUAUUAUCAAAUUAUUAAGUUAAAUAAUAUGUGACAGUUGAUUGGUGUACCGAUUUGGGAUUUUACGCUCCAUUUGUCAAAGUUUACAAAUUUUGUAAUUUUUGUGGUAUUAAUUUAAUUUAGCGAAGGGUAUGUUUGUCACAAAUUUAUUAGUUUCGGGUUUUUUACGAUCGAAUAAAUUAGUUUGGGCUAAAUUUGUCAUAAAUGUACCAGUUUAAGAUUUGUUAUGAUUAGUUAGGGUAAAUUUGUUACAGGUGUACCAGUUUGGGCUUUUUCAUAGUCAAAAAAAUAAUUUAAGAUAAAUUUAUCGCAUGUGUACUAGUUUUGGAAUUUUUCAAUGUAUUAACCCUUUUAAGAAAGACGUGUAACGUGUGGAAAUUCUAUUAGUAAUGGAAAAAGCGACAUUCACAUAGAGACGGGAGAGGAGGGAUGUGAAAAGCGAAGCAACAAAGCCAACUUGCAUCCUGCAAAGACUUGGCCUUCUUGGAGUUGACUAAAGUUUCUAUCCCAUUGUCACUUUUUCCCUCUUGCCUCACUUUUUACACAAAAAAGUUGAUUCUCCAAAUCAAGACUUUUGGAUGUCGUCUAAAACAGAGGACCAUUUCUUUUGGCCAAAGCACAUGAUUUCGUUUUCUUUGUCAAACAUAUAAACUUACCCAUCUUUGGUGACUUGUAGAUGUAUACAAAAAAAACAUAAGAUGCCAUUGUUGGUUGUAUCCUCAAUAAUUUAGGUUUCAAAAACAUUGAUGUCGAUCUGACUUGAUUUCUACUAUUUACCUUGUAUAAUGUAGGAAAAAUAAACUUCAAAUAAUUAAAAUAUAUUUUUUUAAUUGAAAACUCAAGAUUUAGAAAAUAUUUUCAAAAAACUGAUUGAGUUUUUUGAUUUAUUGCUCACAAAAAUGAACAAAUCAAAUUUUUUCACCAUUUACCGAAAUAGGUAGGUAUAAAUUGAGGUUGGCAAUGAAAGAUAUCUUGUGUUGGUCAAUUUUUUUAAAUGAUGUAAAUUAUUUUUCGGAAAAUGUUAUCCAAAUCUUAAGUUUUUCACACUCUAGGUGCAUUUGGUAUGCUUCAUGGAUAAUUGUUUAGAUUUUUUUGUUCCCGAAAAUAGAAAUGGUAUAAAAAUGUAUUUGACAAAUUUUUUGUUCUUGAGAAUAAAUGUGUUCGCAUAACAUCUUUGAAACAGAAAUCAAACAAAAGAAAAAAGAAGUAACUAUUGCUCCAAGAACAAAAAUAAAAAAACGGAGUUAAUUCUCAUCCUUUUUAAAACUUCUUGGCAGACGUCUUUCUGUCUCUCUCACCUUUCUCUCUCGCGAAGUUUGUUUCUCCUCCACCUCCUCUUCGCAUCGUUCGCCGGAGAAGACAGAGUCGCGACACCUUUCCUCCUCCGUUGUUGCCGCAACUAGUCUUGAGAAACGGUAGGCGUCUCUCUCCUUGGCAAUUCUUGCUCUCUCUCUCUCUGGCGAUUCUCGCUUUGUUUUUCAUUGCUCCCCUUUGCCUUUUUUAUUUGGGUUUGAUUUGUCGCUCGAUUGAGCGAGAGGGUUAGUCGUAGAUCGUUUGCGUUUUGCUGUUCGUUCGAUUUCUUCCUGUCGUAGCUCGUCUCGUGUCGUUUUUGGAGGUGCUCUCACUUUCGCCAUUGACGUACGGACCACCGCUCGUGCUCUCGCUUCCCGUUCUUCUUAACAACGAAUCUGCAAUUUGGGUGUUCCCUGCAAUUCUUCUUUCCUCGUGGGUUUCUCCCCCUUUGCGGAAUCGAAGUAGUGGGUAAAAGGAAAAAUGAGAUUUUGGGGUCGAUGGUUCGUGUGUUUCACAAGUGUGGUAGAAGCGGUUGCUUGAGAAGAUUACCAGUGUCACAAAGCGGUGGGUUCUCAAAUAGUGCCGUCAAAUCCUCGAACAUUCUCGAACUCGCUCGAAAGGCUCCCCUUACCUUAUCUAUGCUUUUAUACCUGUCUGUCCCCAGCAGAGUUUUGGCUGGGCUUUUUCUCGAAUAUACGUUUUCCAGCAUCCAUUCUUGAAGUUUCAUCCCUUUCUAUUCUCUUGUACGAGGUUCUUUGAAUUGAAAGAUUUGAAGCAACGUAUUUUUGUUCACGGUUCUCUGGGUUCUAGCAAUUUCAUGAUAAGCUCUUCAUGUUUUGAUUGUUUUCAAUUUGCUUUGAGAUUUAUUAUGUGAUGAAUAAAAGUUGGGUUUUUGUUUUUUUUUUUUUUUUUUUUGGUGUUUUGCUUCUUUUUGUUGGGUGGUGGUGUUUCAGAAGCGCACCUGAAGUUCGGAUUUUGGAGUCGAAAGACCAGGAGAUAAAGUAGCAUUUUUUGACUCGAAGCAGGUAUGAUCAUGAAAACUUUCACCCGCAAUCAGACAUGCAAAGUUUUAAUUUUUGGAACUGUGUUGGUGGCUUAUUUGGAAAUGAGCAUGUAUAUGCGUGGAGUGGCCUCUUGUUACAACCUUUUUUAAUUUCUGUCUGUUUCAUCUUGAUUCUCCUGCUCCUUUCUUUAAAACCACACCGCCUCACUUUUUCUUCAUCCACCACCACCACCAUCAUCAUCAUUAAACUCACGCCCACAGACUUCACCCUCAUUCAAUUCAUUUAUUGCGUGCAUAUCGAUUGUCGCCAAUCACCACCAUCUCUAGUCGUCGCUCAACUAAUACCAUCGUUCGUCGUUGCAAGCAGCGACCACGCAUUGCCGUAGCUGAAUACGCACGCGUACAGUGAACUGCCAAACCUAGCACUCGUGCUUGCUGGAUUGCUGUUGUGGAUCUUAUCCCAUUCACCUGGUCAGCUCCAGGGAGUCUACUUGGAAUAGGUCAAAGACAUCUUUCUACUUGCUCUCUUUUUCCCUUGUGCUGAUGCAGCAAGUUUAAUAGCAAAAUUGGGGAAAGUUGAUGCCAGAUACUAGCUGGCCAGGUUAAAGUUGCAGCUUGAUUGCAUAAUUCAUGGUGAUUUGUUAAUUUUGUUUUAAUCAGGUGAUACAUCUGCACACAUAAUUGUUUGAGCCAAAACUCAGACCUUUAUUUUUUGAUUUUUCAUUACAUAUUAGCAUAGAAUUGCAUUAUAUCCAUAUCAGGACAAUUAUAUCAGAAAACUUAGAAUUUUCAUGGAAAAGCAUUAUCAUGCGCAUCUAGGCUUUUUGGAGUGCAUUAUUGUUAAUUCUCUUUUUUGCACAUUUCCUUUGAUAAAUCACAUGCUAUAACUUGGGAAAUUUGGGAAAAUCAUAUCUUGCAUAUUAAUAAAUUUAGAUUGCAUCUUCAUAAAAAACAAAACAAAACAAAAAUGUGAAGUGGAACUCUCCGCGAGUCACGAAGAGUAUUAUCGCCCCAUUCCUGCAUUUUUUUUUCUUCAUCAGUUUUUUGCUGUUUUUCUUAUUUAGUUUUUCUUCUUGCUUUUUUUCCAUUUAUUAGACUUAUAUUUGAAAAGAUAAAUGGAAAUCUAGACAUAAUUCCAAUAGACAAGUACAACAGAGAUUAAUGAAUGAUUAAUCACAAUAUGAUUAUUAAUGACAAAAGUUGGACUAAAAUUAUAGUUUUGUCAAUUUGAGCAAGAGAACAAUAAUCACUGCUAAUUGUCAAUCACACACAUAAACAAAUAAAAAUAAAAAUUGGCAUCCAUGUAACGCGUGGAAAACUACUAGUAAUGUAAAAAAGACAUUCACAUGGGAACGGAAGAGGAGGGAUUUGAAAAGUGAAGCGACAAAUCCAAUUUGCAUCACCGUAAGUCUUAGUCUUCUUCGAUUUUAUUAAAUUUUCUUUCCCAUAAGCUCUUUAUCAGUUAUACUUCACUUUCAUGACAAAAAAGUUCAUGAUACCCAGUGAAGGUUUGGUCUUCCCAAGUUUAUGAUUUUUUUAUAUGAACAAGUAUAUGAUCGUGGAUACUACAUAUGUAUGGGGAUAAUCUCUAAAUAUUACAGAACAAGCACUUGUGAAGAAAAGAAAAAGAAGAAAAAGUUGCAGCAAGAUGGGCGGCAAUAUCUGCUGAAAGGUGAUGGGUUAGUAGUUGAUGAUGGGGAAUCGCUUGAAACGAGAAUCAUGGUCCUUUGAGCACGUGUUUCUAUUCUCCUUAUCCACUGUAAAUGGUAAACGAGUCCAGUAUUAACAACAUAUAAUUUACCGGAUGUCACACUCUACCCAUUACACUAAUGAACUUGAUAAUCGUGUUCAAAGGAUCGCGAUUCUCCUAUCAAGGUGAUUCAUGAUUAUCAACCACUACCUCAACACACUUCAACAAAUCAUUAUCACCGAUCUUGCUAUGAAUCUUUCGCAUAGAAACUCCCAUGUAAAAGACUUCAUUAAUCUCAUAUUCACCAAUAAAGCAUAAAACAAUGACAUUGAAAUCAUGAGGUUACUAAGAAUAUACAAACGCUAAAAAAGCCAACAAAACACUCGUGAGUGAUAACACUUAUGGCGAAAAUAUGCAUACACUCUAAGUUCGUCACAUUAAGACUCUGUUUUGGAUGGCCAAAAGUAAAGAUCCAAUAGCCAAAAAGUCUUGAUCCGAAGAAUAAAGAGAGUAAUUGAUGUAACUAGCACUUGUGGACAAAUAGUAUUUAUUUUGAUUUGUCUAACCUUUGAUGUGCAUCCCUUGAAAGUCUUGGUCUUUUUUUUUUUAAAUCUUUUUCGUAGGUCAUCAUCUCAGUGUUCCCAGGACUUCAUAGUUUUCUCUCUCCAUUAGUUCAUUUUCACUUUGCUUCACCAUAACACCUUUCUUGUUCAUUACAGUGACCGAUUCACCUAUGGACAUUGGAGGGAUCGUGUUGGGUUCCUUUUUGGCUUCAUCCUUUCAGGUCCUGUUCGACAAGUUGGCUUCUUCCGCAUUAAGUUAUGCACAACAUAAAGGAAUCAGCACUACCUUGCCUAAGGUGUGGAAGGAGAAGCUAGUCAUAAUCAAUGCAGUGUUGGCUGAUGCGGAGGACAGGGAACUUAGUGGUAACCAUCAAGUGAAGCUGUGGCUGGACAAGGUUAAGGACUUGGCCUAUGACAUGGAAGACUUGCUCGAUGAGUUUGAGAUCAAAGCUGCUCAAGUUGAGUCAGAGGCAGAAUCCAGCACAAGCAAAGGUUUGGGGAAAUGGAAGUUCUCUGUAUUUGGCCGACCACCCUCGCUCAUGUCUGAAACCAAGGUACAAGAGAUCAAUGACCGUUUGGAAGAGGUUGUCACUGGAAAGGUUCAUUUAAACUUGAGAGAGAAUGUUGUGGACAAAUCCAACUAUACCAGUAAAAGGAUAACCACUUCUCUAUCAGAGCCUCAAUUUUUUGGUAGGGAGGAGGAUGUAGAACAAAUACUCGAACUAUUGAUCAAUGAGGUCAAAAAUUCUAAUGCCACGCUAAACAUAGUCCCCAUAGUUGGGAUGGGUGGUAUUGGAAAGACUGCCUUGGCUCAACAGCUAUAUAAUGAUGCAAGAGUGAAUAGAUGUUUUGAGAUGAGAGCAUGGGUUUGUGUUUCAGAUGUUUUUGAUGUUCUCGACAUAACAAAGACUAUUUUACGGUCAAUCACUAGGUUGCCCUGUGAGGGCAAAGAUCUAAACGAGUUUCAAGUUAAGUUGAGGGACAAUCUUUUCGGAAAGAAGUUUCUUGUGGUUCUAGACGAUAUCUGGAAUGAGAAGUACGAAAAAUGGACUGAUCUCUUAAAGCCAUUUGUAGUGGGUGCUAGGGGAAGCAAGAUUAUUAUUACGACUCGCAACCAUGCUGUUGUUUCAGUAACAAAAGCACCGCCAAUUCCGUUGAAGGAAUUGUCCCUCAAUGAUUGUACAAGCUUAUUGGCCUUUCAUGCUCUUGAAGCAACAAAUUUUAAGAGCCACCCGGAAUUUGAAACAAUAGGCAAGAAAAUAGCUAAAAGAUGUAAAGGUUUACCUUUGGCAGCGAAGAUGUUUGGUGGUGUCCUACGACAUAAAAUGAAUCCCAGUGAAUGGGAAGAUACCUUAAAUAACAUAAUAUGGGAUCUUCCAACGACAAAGAAUGAUGAGGUUCUCCCUAUUUUGAAAUUGAGCUACGUCCAUCUUCCUUCCUAUUUGAAGAGAUGCUUUUCUUAUUGUGCAGUAUUUCCUAAGGAUUACGAAAUUGAGAGGGAUGAGCUAGUACUCUUAUGGAUAGCGGAGGGAUUUUUAGAUGGACAAAAAACAAAGAAAANNNNNNNNNNNNNNNNNNNNNNNNNNNNNNNNNNNNNNNNNNNNNNNNNNNNNNNNNNNNNNNNNNNNNNNNNNNNNNNNNNNNNNNNNNNNNNNNNNNNAUGCAUGAUCUUUUGAAUGAUCUAGCAAAGUCAAUUGAGGGUGGGAUAUGCUUUAGCUCUGGGAGUCUCUACCGGCAAUUAAUGAAGAUUAUGCAUCUUUGGAGAGAGCUCGUUAUGCAUCAUUCAUCCGGUCGCGGUUUGUUACAUCAAAAUGCUUGUGGGCAUAUCAUGAUAUGAAGGUAUUAAGAAGUUUAAUUUUGGUGCGUAUUGGAUCUAGUGGGAACUGUCUCCUUAUAUCCGACAAGGUGCUACAUGAGUUGCUAACAAACUUGAAGUUUCUAAGGGUUUUUUCAUUAUGUCAUUGUAACAUCGUAGAGGUACCAAAUUGUGUUCAUGAAUUAAAACAUCUUCGAUACCUCAAUUUCUCGAACACUUAUAUCGAAAGGCUACCUGAGACUAUUGGCAACUUGUGCAAAUUACAAGCUUUGAUCUUAAGAGAUUGUCAUAAACUUUCAAAGUUGCCUAACAGUAUCACAAAGUUGGUCAGCUUACAGUUUCUUGAUGUUAGAGAUACAAAAAGUCUAAAAGAGAUGCCACUGGGUAUCGGUAAUUUGAAGAAUCUUACUAUAUUGUCCAAGUUUAUGGUAGGAACAAAGAAAUGGUUACAAUUAAAGGAGUUAAAGACCCUAUCGCAUCUUCAAGGAGAAUUAUGCAUAUCAAAAUUACAAAAGGUGGAAGAUGUUAGAGAUGCCGUUGUUGCUAAUUUGUCAGGAAAGCAAGGCCUAAGAAAAUUAUCCUUGCAUUGGGAUGAAGAUUUUGGAAUUUUUAGGAAUGAUAAGCACGAAUCACAGGUGCUUGAGUCUUUGCGACCUCCCAUUGAUAUUGAAAAUCUCACUAUUUUGAACUAUGGCGGUGCAAUAUUCCCAUCAUGGUUAGAUGGUUCAUCAUAUUCUCGGAUAGUGUCUUUGAGCUUGUGGAAUUGUCCUUAUGUCACAUCGUUGCCUUCACUUGGACAACUCCCUUCAUUGAGAGAAUUAUCUCUUAAAGGUCUAAAUGCAGUAAGAAUAAUAGGCUCUAAUUUUUACGGAGGUGAUAGGCCUUUUUCGUCCUUAAUUACUUUGCAAUUCGAAGAGAUGUUGGCAUGGAAGGAUUGGUCUCCUUAUGUGGGGGGCCCAAAAGAAGAAGUCCCAUUCUCUUGUCUUGAGCAUCUUGUUGUCCGGGGAUGUCCUUCGUUGGUCGGGACAUUGCCUUGUCAACUUGAUCAUCUUAUAAAGCUUGAAAUUCAUUCAUGCCAACAAUUGAAUAACUCAACCAGUGAGUUAUGUCUUCCAUCUCUCGAAGAGUUACACCUUGAGGAUUGUAGUAAGGAGAUCUUGAAGAGCUUGUUCAAGCUAACUUCUUUGACAAUUCUCAAAAUUAACAAACUCAUAGAGCUUGUUUCCUUUGAUCAUUGGUUUAUGAGUUGCUUGGGCAAGCUAAGGAAGCUUCAUAUAGGACUGUGUGACAAGCUAACAUGCUUGUGGCAAGAUGGAGAUGAAACACAAAAUCUCACUUGCCUCCAGGAAUUAGUAAUAAAAAAUUGUCCUCAAUUCACAUCUUUUGUGGCAGGAGACGGAGAGAUAGAGCUACCCUGUAAUCUUGAAAGGAUGGAAUUGGUGGAUUGCACAAGUCUAGAAAAGCUUCCAAGUAAGAUGCACACACUUAGACAUUUGGUGAUUGAGAAUUGUCCAAAAACCAUGGCUCUAAACAUUCCUCAAGGUGACCCGAGCAGCAAUAAUUCGAUUUCUCAACUUGAAUCUCUUAAGAUAUGUUGCUGUGAUUCUCCGAUAUCCUUUUCAUUUGCCAAGGGUAGACUUGCUCCUCUGAAGGCACUUCAUAUAGACAAUUGUAAGGGAGUGGAGUCAUUGGAAGGGAUUGCCGUAGAAUCGCUUGAAACAAUGACAAUUAACUAUUGUCAAAAUCUGGGAAGCUUACCACAGUGCCUUCACAUGCUCUCCCAUCUCACUCGAUUGAAUAUUCAUAAUUGUCCAGCACUGGAGAUAGAGGACUUCCCUCCCCUUCCCGUCACCCUCUCGAGUCUUGAUCUUAGUUCUUGUUCUAAGAUAAAGUCUAUUGCCAACUGUAACAUUGCCAACUGUAACAAUCUCACUAAAUUGAAAAUAAAGAAGUGUCCGGUAUUGGAGAUAGAGGACUUCCCACCCCUUCCCAUCACCCUGCAGAGUCUUGAACUUUGGUAUUGUCCGAUGAUAAAGUCCCUGCCAAAUAAGUGGCAUCAUCUUACCUCCCUCCAAGAGCUAAGAAUUUACUAUUGCGAAAAUAUCAAAUGCUUCCCUAAAGGAGGUCCGCCUCCCAAAUUGCGAGACCUUGCAAUUAUGGGGCUCGUGGCUCUGAAGCACCCAGUGAGAGAGUGGGGCUUACCCCUACUCACAUCUCUCGAGAGUCUGACCGUUGCGUUUAACAUGGGAGGGGAGGGAGAGAAGGAGUGGUUUCCUUUGGAGGAUAAGGAUGCUUGGAGUCGCUUUCCUUCCUCUCUAACCUAUCUUUGGAUAUAUGGUUUGAGAAACACAGAAAGACUAUCGAGCGGUCUCCGCAACCAUCUCUCCUCUCUCCGAUGGUUAUCUAUUAAGGAUUGCCCCAAGUUGAGGUACUUGCCAGAGGAUGGCUUCCCUCCCUCCCUCCAACAAUUGAAAAUAUGGAGAUCCAAGAUUCUGGAAGAGCGAUGCGCAAAACUCACUGGCGACUAUUGGCCCCUCAUCGAAGAGAUCCCUUCCAUCAUCGUUGAUCACAAACAGAUCUAAUGAAUUGAUUCGUGCAUCUACACUACAAUGAGUUUUCUUAGGGUUCGAGUAAGUUAUUUUUGGUUUUGAAGGCAUCCUUUUCCAUUCUACUUUCUCAAUUCGAUGCUCAAUACGAACUGAUGUUUGGGUGGGGGAUUGCGUUGGGUUGGAUUGGCUCUAUUUCGUUGGACGAUGAACUGUAGGAUGAAACGCUCGCAGUGCUGCCUCUUGCUAUGUUGACGACAUAUCCUCAUUUAUGCUCGAUGCCCAAACCAUUUGUGAAUGAAAUCGCACCAUCACGAAGAAUCGUAGCAUUCCACAAUCAUAGUCCUCUGCAUUUUCAGCGUCUAUUGUCUGUUCUCUUCCCAACAUAUUUUUUCUUGGGCCCUUAAGCUCAUUCACUCUGCUUGUUUUGCAGAUACCAUUGUGAUCUUGCAUUGGCAGAAUCUCUUGGAAUGAUCACGUGCGAACGCUUCUAAGGUAGGGCUAAUGCUGUUGGUGUCAUUGUCUUGCUUCAUUUUUUUUUUCUUUUGCAAUUUAUCAAUAAAGGAAGAAGCAAUNNNNNNNNNNNNNNNNNNNNNNNNNNNNNNNNNNNNNNNNNNNNNNNNNNNNNNNNNNNNNNNNNNNNNNNNNNNNNNNNNNNNNNNNNNNNNNNNNNNNUGAUGUGAUUGUGAAGAAAUGGAUGCGGUUUUUUCAUUUUAUGGAUUUCUUAAGAAUAGGAACCUUCUUCUUCCUUUUUUAUGAUGAUUCUUUGUAGUAUUAAACAGUCAAUCUGGGAUAAAAUUCCGAGGCAGCUCAUGGCUCCAAGCUUUCACGUGACAGCAUUGAUAUUCCAUAAAUCGCUUUCUAGUUGGGUCUCGAAUUCUGGUGGUUUAGGAACUGUUGCUCACAGCUUGCUAGAAAUUUUUAGCAAAUAUACUUAUGCUUGUUGGGUUGAGAUUGUUGUGAUAGGCUGCCUACCUUCGGGUUUCCAUCAUCAGCGGUGACCAUGUGGCAUUCUUCCCAAAAGGAGUUCCAGAACAAAAUGUUCGAGCUGACAUGGGUUCAUUUGGAGUAACUGGAAAUCUUGUGAUUCAACCAAUUUGUAUCUUGCCUGGUAUAUCUCCUCUCUCUGUGCUAGUGUUGCAUGUAUAAAUUUUUUGUUGAAGCAAUGUUCUUAUGACAUUGUGAAGCUCUGUUAAAAGUUAGAUAAUUUGUAAUCUGAAUUGUGGUUCACUGUGUACUUUCUCCAAGGCUUUCUGGAUGUUAUUGCACAUAUAACAUGGUGCUUUGACCACAUAAAUAGGUGGUUAGAAAAGCAAAGUUACAUUUGCCAAGAUAACUUUCAAGCAACCUCACAUAGUUUUGCUUGACGACCCAUCCUAUCAUUUGGUAAGUUCUACUCAUAUUUCUCCAUUUUAUGACUUUGAUUACUUUUUCAGUUAGCUUGUUAUUGUUCUUGCACUAAUUGAACUUGUCGGAAUCUGGUUUUUACAUUAAAAAUAUAGUAGAACCAAAUGGUGGUCAUAGCUACUGGUAGCCCUCGUCAUCAUACAUCUAGCAAAUAAUGGAACAGACACCAAUCUAAUUGUUCCAAUGUGGAAAAUAUUCAGAAUAGAGCAAUCUACAAUACCAAAUGGUACUGAUCUUUAUGCCUAUAGGCAGUAUUGGGCUUUACAUACAAAUAUGUGGACCCCUUUUUGUUUGUAAAUCCGGUCUUUAAGUUUUGCUUUAAUGACCAGUGACUAAAGAAUUAUCUUUGUAAAUUGUUAGUUUCUUGUCUAAUGAUUAGUGUUUUUGUUUUUUUUUCCCUAUCCACACCUGUAGGAUUUGGAUGUGGCUGAGGCGCUCAUUCAAGGUCUGGUCUUGUUCCAAGGAUUAAUUCUGAUGGUGAGAUUGAUUUCCUUGUCAAAAUACUUCAAUUUGACCAAUGAUGGAUCAUUUCACAGCUAAUAGCCCUCUUUUCACCUUGAUUUGCAGGUUGGUCAUGAUGAGCAUCUAAUAGCUAGAAGCUUGGAUGAGGUCUGGGUGGUUUCACAAGGCAAGGUGGCACCUCUCCAUGGGAAUUUCUAGGACUAUAGGAAUGUACUCCUAUUUUUAUUGAAUCAGGUGAAUCUAGUUAUUGCCAUCCACUAAGAGUGGUUCAGUGGGUUCACAUUACCUCACAAAACAAAAAAUGAGGCUUAGCUACAUAGAGAAAGCAAAAAAGGAUGAAGAGAGGAUUGAUGCUGAUAUACAGGACGGACUCACAGUUACACCAGCCCUCAUUUGUCAUUUAUACUUGACAAGGGCUUGUGGAACGAUGAGUCUAAGUUUUUGACAGCAUACAGUAUCAUUUGCAAUAGCUUAAGAACUGAGUUGUGAUUGUAAUCUUGGUAUAAUUUAUGAUUCUUUGCACAUUUUGUUAUAGCAAUAGGUUCAUUUGUUGUGCCCCUGGAAGUUUGAUGCUCUAUUGCCACCGAAGUCAGUUUUCUCAUGCACACUAAAAUGAUUUAAUCAUUCGCAAAAGAAUAUUUUAGCACAGUAAAUUAUUUUGUAAGACAAAUCUAUUUUGUGAGAAAGCUAUAUCAAUAUAUUUUCCCCAUUUUCACUAUUUUGCACUAUUUUGGAGAAUUAAUUAUGAAAAUAUUAUCAUGGCCAACAAAACCCAUUCUUAGGAUGUAGGCAAGCUCUACCACUGAAAGUCAAAGACUGACAUUUGAGCGGGAUUUCUUGUUGGGUUGGAUCAGCUCUGUUUCGUUGGACAAUAAACUUUAGGUCGAAAUUCACUCAGUGUUGCCUCUUGCUAUAUUGAUGGCAUAUCUUCAACUCUACUUGAUGCUUAAACAAACUUUGAAGAAAGAUGCACUAUCACGAAGAAUUAUAGCGUUCCACAAUCAUAUGUCUUUGCAUUUUCAGCGUUUCUUGUAUGUUCUCUUCCCACCAUCUUUUUCUUGUGUCCUAGCUCAUUCAUUGUUUUUUUUUUCAAUGGUUUUCUUUAGAAUUGAGAACCCUUUUUUAUUUUUUUUAUUUUUAUUGAUGAUGAUCCUUUGUAGUAUUAAGCAAUCUAUUUGGGACACAUUUCUGGGGCAGCUUAUUGCUCCAAGCUUUUAAUACAACUCCAUCAUGAUAGCAUUGAUAUUCCAUAGAUCACCAUUCUGUUUGUGUUUACAGCUUGCUAGAAAUUUUUAGCCUAUAUACUCGUGCUUAUUUGGUUGAGAUUGUAACGAUAUGUUGCCUGCCUUUGUGUUUGCAUUAUUAGCAGUGACCUCUGGGGCAAAUCUAUUCAGGUCUUUAAAGUAUUGGUUGUUUGCAUUUACUCCAUUGCGGAAUAUGAUUUUGUUAUACAUCAUGUCGUUUUAUCUGCAAAUGCCUUCUUAUGUAGCAUUCUUCUUGCAGGGAUUUUCAAUCGAAAAGCUUCGAGCUCACUUGUGUUCCUUUGGUGUAAUUGGACAUCUUGCACUUCAACCAAUGUAUAAUACCUUUAUGAUACAUCGCCUCCCUCUCCGCUACCGUUGCAUAUGUAAAUUAUUUUUGAAGCAAUUGUUUUAUGACAUUGUGAAGCCCUAAUAGAGGUUAGUCAAUUUGCAAGUAGUUCACUGUGUACUACUCUGAGGCUUUUGGGAUGUUAUUGCAUAUGUAACAUGGUGCUUUGACCAUAUAAAUAGGUGCGCAGAAAGGCAAAGUUGCAUUUGCCAAGAUAACUUUGAAAAAGCCUCACAUAGUUUUGCUUGAUGAGCCAUCCAAUCAUCUGGUAAGUCUGCUCUUUUUGUCCACCUUAUGACUCCAAAUACUUUUCAUUUAGCCUGUUGUUGUUCUUGCACUAAUUGAACUUAUUGGAAUCUGAUGUUACAUUGAAAAUACAAGAGAAUCAAUUAGUGAUAACAACUAUAGAGAGCCUCUGUUCUGUCAUCAUAUAUCUAACUUAUAAUGGAACAGAAACCAAUCUAAUCAUUUCAACUUGGAAAAUAUUUGGACUAGAAUAGUUAGCCUGAUCAGUUUUUUUGUAUUGGAGUAAUCUGUAAUACCAAAGAGUUCUGGUAUCUGUGCCUGUAGGUAGUAUUGGGCUCUGUUUAUAAAUGUGGUCUUUAAGCUCUGCUUUAAUGAGUAGUGACUACUGAAGAAUUAUCUUUGUAAAUUGUUAGUUUCUUGUCCAAGGAUGAGUGAGUGCGACUUUGCUGUUUUGCCUAUCCACAACUGGAGGAUUUGGAUGUGGCUGAGGUGCUCAUUCAAGGUCUAGUCUUGUUCUAAGGAGCAAUUGAGAUGGUGAGAUUGAUUUUGUUGUCAAAAUGCUUCAAUUUGACCAACCAUGGAUCAUUUUCACAGCUAAUAGCCCUCCUUUCACCUUGAUUUGCAGCUUAGUCACAAUAAGCAUCUAAUAGCUGGAACCUCAAAUGAGGUCUGGGUGAUUCCAUAAGGCAAGGUGGCGCCUAUCCAUGGGAAUUUUCAGGACUAUAGGAAGGUACUCAAGUUUUUGUUAUAUCAGGUGAAUCUAGUUAUUACCAUCAACUGAGAGUGGUUCAUUGGGUUCCCAUUACCUUACAAAACUGAAAAUGAGGCUUAGCUACAUCGAGAAAGCCAAAAAAAGAUGAAGAGAGGAUUGCUGCUAAUGUAUAGGAUAGACUCACUAUUACCCCGGCCCUCGUUUGUCAUACAUACUUGAUAAGGACUCGUGGAAGGAUGAAUCGAAGUUUUGACAUUGAGUGUGCACUAUCAUUAGCAAUAGCUUAAAAACUGAGUUGGGAUUGUAUUCCUGGUAUAAUUUAUGCUUUCUUGUGCAUUUUGUUCUAGCAAUAGGUUCAUUUGUUGUGCCCCUAGAAGUUUGACACUCUGUCGCCAUGGAAGUCAGCUUUCCCAUACAUAGUAAAAUGAUUUAAUCAUUUGCAAAAGAAUCUUUUUAGCAAAAUAAAUUAUUUUGUAGGACAAUCUAUUUUUAUAUGAAUAUAUUUUCCCUAUUUUCAUUCUUUGCACUGUUCAGGAGAAUUAAUUAUGAAAAUAUUAUCACGGUCGACAAAACUUUAUAUUCAACUCUAAGUACAGAAUUGCGUUGACUAAUUAUAAUGUAGGCCUUGCGUAGCCAAAAAAUACUAUAAUGAAAUUCCAUAUAAAUACUUGGAUUUGUUAGAUAAUAUCCUUUUAACAUGUUCAGGUCAUCACUGAAAAUGAGAAGCUUUCUUUCUCCCAAUUGCUACGGUGUAGAUGGACAAACGGAACUGAUAGCAGAGGUUUGAGUAAGCGAAUGUGACAGCUAAAUUCUGAAUGAGUCCUGCAAGUCAAAACAUGUUAGUAAACUAGUUGCCCGGUCAAAGAUUGAAUUUCAUUUUCCUUUUAUUCAAAUACCCACUCCACUCCAUCUCUUGACAACAUUUAUAGAGGUCCUACAUAUUAUAUUUCCUGUGCAGGACGGGGAACGGGAGGGAGGAUGUUUCUUUGAGGACUUGCGUCUGCUAUGAGAUAUUCUGAUUCCAAGAAGAUCGUCACUUAGCACCACUCAUGAUUAACUCCUUGAAGCGCGCAAGCCCCACCACAUUUACUCCCAUCGAGGUGCUGAAGAUCCAGUACCAUUCACACGUGACAAGAUACACGCACUACCAUUGCAAAUGGUUUCAAUCUCGUGAGCUCACAUGUUGAAGAUAUACCUUGAAUUCAGGCAAAUUAAGGGAAUUUGAUCCAAAAAGGAAAUAUGCUGCUAUGGCUUCCAUGAUAUACAAUAUUGAGGAAUACUGUUACAUGAGUUCUACUAUUGGACACUUCUGUUACAUUAUAAAGUUAUUGCCUGCUAUAUGAGGUUUUUGCCAUGACAAUCAUUUCCAUGUUGAGAAGCGAAACUGUUUUUCUACUCCUUUAUCGUCAGACCCUGCUUGAGACACUGUCUCACGAACUACUUUUUAGCAGAGACUUUUGAUCUGGAGCUGCUGCGAAUUGAGCUUGAUGUUGACAUUUGUGGAGGAAAAAUUGAGGUUGUUCUGGUAGUCUGUGGCUUUGACCGAGUAGGUUCUGCAGCAAACCAUAACGGCUUCUUCAUUUGCGAAUUGAGGGGUAAAUUUUGCCCACCAUUUAAUUUUUUAGUUGUCUUUCGGGAAUAGGACACUCACGGUCUACUGGACAAGAUCUAACAUGCGAACAAUUAUUUUCAGGUCUGAAAAUAUCUGACAUGUGAAGAUGAAGAGGUUCUUGAAGAGGCUUAAUUGUUACAGAAAAUCAUUUCUCCGUGUAUGGUGCUUGAUUCUCUUAAUUGUUACAGAAGAUCUUUUCUCCGUGUAUGGAGCUUGAUUAUUCUUUUUUAGAGACUUGAAAUUUUUGGCUCGGUAUUUCAGUAGGAUCCUUGACAUUGGUUAUGAGUAAUUUCGAUAGAGUUUGUAUAAACGAGAAUGAACUCUUAAAAAAGUUUUGGUUAUAAGAUGAUUUGCAAUAUAAUGAAUAUCCGGAGGGAUGUCACCCUGCAUUAUUUUAUGAUUGAUCUUUGAAAAGGUCUUCUUCUAGUAUUCUGUUUGUUUUGAGAGACAUUUUAACAAAAAAAAAAUGUUGUUUUCAUUUUUCGCUAUUUAGUAUGAUAAAAAAAAGCCGGUCAAAGGAACUUACUUUACUCAAUCAGAAAAUCAAAUAAAAAAAUAAUUUUUUUAACUUAAAAAGUUGAGUACGAAAAUAGUAUGGAGGAAUAUCUACACGGGAAAAGAGGUCUGACGUGUCGUUCUGCUGCGGUCCUUCAUCCACCACAUAUUUCAAAAAAUGCAAAACCAAGAAACUAGCGACUAGCAAUCGUUUUUAUGAUAUAUUCAGAAAGUUUGGCACAAGAUUGUAAGAUGAACUAUUUGAGGGGGAAAAAAGAGUAGUCCCUCUAAUUUGCUGGUACAAUAUAGUGGUGUUUUCUUGAUUUAGAUUGUUGGGAUCACCACUCAAAUGACUUUCAUUUUAGUUAUUACACAGAUUUUCUUUUGAUUGAUUAGUUUGACACCAAUUUUUUUUUUUUGGGUCGAAAAUUUGACGCGGUAUUGAUUUGGGCUCCUUUUUAAGUAACUGGAAAUUUUGCAGUUCAACCAAUGCAUACCUCGUCUGGUACAUCUCCUCCCUCUCUACUACCGUUACGUAUAAUUUUGUUUCUCUGAUAACUUUUAUAGCUGUUUAUUAUAUAUGAAAGAUAGUUUUAAUUAAUUGUUCCUUUGUGGAUUUUUUAAAUUUUCUUAUGUUCAUCUCGCACCUUAUGUUGUUUUUCUUGUUGAAGAGUCUCCGAUACAAAUGACGGCAUUAUUCAGAUUGUGUUGGUUGAUAAUGAUGGCAAUUAGCAAAAGCCAGGAAAUUAAAGAAAAAUUAGGGGCUUUUACUUUGUUUUUCAAUACAUAUAUAUUUUGUGACUGAAUAAUUUUGGAGUUGGUUAUUAAUUGAAGCAAGAAAUUCUCAACUAGCACCAAGAUGAAAAAAAAAAAAUGCCAACUUCCUCACAUUUUGUAUGACAGGACAAAAAUUUUCUUAUCUAGAAAAUAAAAAACCAGGGGAAGUAUAGAUUGUCCAUUGAAAAUUAGUCUUUUCAAUUAAUUGGCUCCUUGAAAUUUAUUUUAUAUCAUUACACCGUUAACUUUCACAAUAGGCAUCAUUUUAUCCAAACUCCUUUGGAAUGGUGUCUUUAUACAUUUAGAAUGUUGUAUGAUACGAUAUGUGGAUUGUGAGCCCGAUAGAAUUAGACCUGAAUAAAGUAUUUUGUAUCAUAAGCAUACAAAGUAACAGCACAAAAACAAUGUGCAGCCAAGCAGGAAAUUCUCAACUAGGAAUAUCGCAUCGGCUUCUUCUGCCUUCAGACGUAACCCUUCCAGUUCCUUCCAUGGCGAAAUGCUUUAUGAGUCCCGCCUAUGGCUCUGCGGUUCUGGUCUCAAUUCGUCUUGAAUUUACUUUAUUCAGAUGAAGUUUCUCAAUUUAAACUGGUGCCAAUCGUAGCAAAAAGCCUCCCUUGACGACUUCAUUAUCGUUCGUUUUUGUCACUGCCUCCACCUUCGGUUUCUAUCACUUUCGUUCUCCGACGGAGGAGAAUAGUCGUGACUGAAACUAAGAUAGAACUCGGAUUCUUCGCUUCGAGCUCUUCAUCAUUCGGUUACUGCUACAAUAUUGAAGAUAACUUCUCUCUCGUUCUCUGGAUUUCAUUUUUCAAUUCGAGCAACAGCAUUGAUUGUCGGCCCUUUUCUGAAUCUCCAGUGGCUUCCUUAUCGACUUUCCCUCACUAUCGCCCUCCGGACACCGUUGGCAUACACCCGUCGUCGCCGUCCGAAGCUCUGUUCGCCCCUGGUCUCAGACAUCAUUGCUGAAGUGCUCGAACUGCAGUCAGCAUGUCUCUCAUGACGAUUCCAGUCACAAAGCUGCUUCCACGAUCACCUUACUAAGGUCAGAUCAAGACUAGCCACAGGUAAUCAUCCUCUAUCC
This 145692-nucleotide long non-coding RNA is filed under the name Eucalyptus grandis. RNAcentral's name for it is "long non-coding RNA (EGRA_LNC006764)". Lineage: Eukaryota; Viridiplantae; Streptophyta; Magnoliopsida; Myrtales; Myrtaceae. The record is from RNAcentral.